UCCUGCAUGGAUUAAUGUCUGAAACAAUAGUCAAGCAAUUUGGAGAUUUCAUUGGGAGUUCUGUUGCUUAUAUGCUAAAUCAAUUGCUAAUGGUGUUAGUAGCUAUAUAUGUAUUCGAGUGAGGGUGGAUGUGUGGCAUCUACUCGAAAGGAGGAAGAAAAUAGUGCUCUCGCAAUCAAAGCAGGUCAACGAAAAGAAAAUAGUGCUAAGGGAGGAAGGCAGUUUUCGAGGAGUGAUUUUAUGGAUAGGAUGAACUUAAAUCUUGGAAUUAAGGUAAUUCCAUCAGGUAAUGGAUGGAUAUCAGGUUGGGCCGAAUGGAUAUCGGUAAAGUAAUGUAUCAAAUAUGCCAUUUUGAUAAAUAAUCUUGUAGUGGGCCAAAUUUGUCUGGUCCGAGCAAACAAAAAACAAAACAAAAAAAAUCAAAAAAUAUUAUAAUAGUCCUUACAGUCCAAUUACAGAAACUAGAGGCCCAACUACAAGAACAGGCCCAACAGGCCUAUAGCUCAGUUACAUGACCCAAAUUCAAAAAAAAACCUAAUACAAGCCCAACCUCAAAAUUACAUCGGCCCAAAUGGCCCAAAAAUUUUAGAACAGAAACCCUAGCAGUUCCUGCUUGCGCCUCAGCCUCCCACGCGCGCCACCACCUCCGUACGAUGCCAGCGCCGUACGCUCCGUACCGUCCAGCAGCCACGCCCGCGCCAGCACAGCCCCGUACCCGAGCGCCAGCACAUCCGCACCUGCAGAGAAACAAACAAGCAACAACAGCAAAUACAAACAAAAGAAAAAUAUUGUAUGAUUAUUUUGUUAAAUUUCUUUUCUCUCUUUUUCGGCUAUAAGGCCGAGAUUUCAAUCCUUGUAAUCGGUUACGAACGAAAAUAUACGCACAGAGAAUACAAAAAAGCAGAGGUGACUUCUUUCUUCCUCGAAUCCUUUUAGUUUUCUAUGCAUCGUUUCGUUUCUAGUUUGGGUCAUUCACCAUUGCUGUUUUAAAGAAAAAUAAACAAAAGAACGGUGACAGAGGAGCCUUACCGUGCAAGCGAGCCAUGGUUUUCUUCUCCCUUCUUCGUCGAAAUCGAAGUUGAGGAGGGAUUUCGGGCUAAGAUUCCCUCAGGCUCGAAGAGUCCCACACGAUGAAGACGAAUCGGCAUUUAGCAAAUGGGAUUAGGGAUUUGAAAAUAGGCAGAAUGGGUGCUUGUUGAUUCGGUUGGUUUAGUCCAUAUAAGAGACUGGGAACGGCGCCGUUUUGACCAAUUUUAACGGUCUAGAUACGGCGUCGUGUGGUGGCUUUCACCCAAUGACCCGACCCACGCCUGGUUAAGACCCAUGUGUUAGGUCAGAAAGGGAUAUUUGCACCUUAAGUCCACUUGUUCGGCGUUGUGUCAUGAUUGAGUUCUACCAGCUUUUCCCUUUGUUUUUUUAAUUUAUACAUUUAAUUUACAAGUGAAAUCAAUUCGAUCCACCCUUCAACGCAGCACUCAGGGAUCUGGUAUAUUGCCAGUUUUAACCCCUAUGAGUCUGCACGCGUUAAGCUUUGGUCCUUCCUCUAAUUUCAGUAAUUUAUUGUAUUUAUUAAUUAUCCUUUUAGUUUCAUUUUUGUUUCAAUUGAGUUUCUUUUUAUUUACUCAUUACUCUCAGCAUAUUUUAUUCUUUGAAACCCUUUUAUUUUUGAAAAUUUACUUAUUAUUCACCUUUUAAUAUAUUAUUUUGGAGUAUUUUAUUAAGUUUUGCAUGGUUUUAGUUUGCUAUUCAUAUUUUCAUUUAUAUAUGUAAAUAUAUCUCUACAUGUAACUAUAUAUAUCUAUUUGUUUAUUUUCUUUUAAAUUUGUUUGUUUAAAAUGUUCUUUUAUAUAUACAUACAUAUACACUUUAUAAGAAGGUUAAUUCUUUUUAUGCAUUUUAUUAAUCUUAUAUUAUUUUACAUACAUAAUUCCUUUUAAAUUUAUUCUUAUAUAUUAUUACAUGAUCCUACAUAAUAUAUUUUUUAGGUUAUUAUUACGUAAGUACAUAUGUUUAUCGAUACCUAUAUUUGGUAUAUAUAUUACUAUUAAAUCUAUGUAUUUUACACACACAGUUUUCUUGAUAUACAUAUUUAUAUAAGCAUGUUCUUAAAUCCAUUACAUAGUUUAUUAUAAAAUUAACUUAAUCUCGUAUGUAUUUCUAUGUUUUUUUACGAAUGAUUAUUUUCAAAGUUAUUUAUGCAUAUAUUUUGUAAAUCUAUUUUGUGAAUUACAUCUCAUCAUGUAUUUUAUUAUCCUUUCAUAUUAUAUAUUAUUUGAAUUAUCAUAUAUUUUGUAAACUCUUAAAUGGACUUGUGUUUAAAUUAUUUUACAUGCAAUUUGAUUCAAACUUCUAUUCUAUAAUAUUUAUUUCGGUAAUUAUAUAUUCUUAGUUUCUACGCAAAUUUUUCAACUUAUGCAUUAUGUGUUUUAAAAAUGUUCAUUCUACAAUAUAUGUUUUGAUGAUUGCAUGUAUAUACCAAGUUUGUUUUUAUAAAUAGUUUCUAAUUUAUCAAUCCAUCAAUUCAUAUAGUGUGCAUUGCGUACUUACCAUUGUUUAAAAUAGUUUUAUACCAUAUUGCUUCUUCGAUUUGCAUUUUGUUUCGUGCGACUAAUAGUAAUCAUUUGUUAUUAUGCCAUGUAUGUUGUCGUUGCAUAUUAUUUAUUUAUUGUCAUAUUAAUUAUUCUCCAUGCAUGGUCGAAAUUGAGUUGUAUUUCCAAGUUAGCUAUACUUAGUUGCUUAAGUGCUUGUUAGUUGAUUAAAUAAAUUGCAUUACCUCCACUCUUCCAUUGUCGUAUUUUAUGCGUACAUAUAUUACCCCAUAUCAUCGUUUUCCACUUGGUUUUUGAAAUGUGGUUUUAUAAAAUCCCAAUUUUUAUGAUUAAUUUCGUCUUAUUUCAAAUCGAAUUAAUGCAUUUUAAACUAGUUUCACAAUUAUUUAAGAAUUCUUUAAAACGAAGGUAAUAUUCGAUAUUUGGCAAUUCGCGGAAUCGUGCCCUAACGUGUUGGGUUGCAAUUUCUCGUUUGCUCAAAGUAAUCGAAGGUUCCUUUAGAAUUUCACCCAUGUCUUUAAAAAAUCCUUUAAACGAAGGCGAUGUUCGAUAUUUGGCGAUUCGCGGAAUCGUGCCCUAUCGUGCUGGGUUUCAAUUUCUCGAUUGUUCAAAAUAAUCGAAGGUCCCUUUUGAAUUUCACUCAUGUCUUUAAAAAACUCUUCAAAACGAAGGUAAUACUCGAUGUUUGGCAAUUCGGGGAAUCGUGCCUUAUCGUGCUAGGUUGCGAUUUCCUGUUUGUUCAAAAUAAUCGAAUAUUCCUUUGGAAUUUCACUCGUGCUUCCUAAAGCAAGGCAAUGUUCAAUGUUUGAAAAUUCGAGGAAUCGUGCCCUACCGUGCUGGGCUUCGAUUUUUCGUUAGGACUGAAUAAUUGGGCAUCCUUUUAUACUUUUCAACGUAUAAACUUUCGGAAGUCAAAAUUUAUCGUUGUUUUCGGGGGUAUAAAGGAUAGUGUCCUACCGUGCUGGAUAUGGUGCUGCAUUCCUCCGAAAUAAGAGAAUUUUGGCAACCAACUCGAGCCAUUCAAAUAUUUCAAAAGGAAUCACCUUUCAAAAACUCUUUUUCAAAUCUUAGACAUAAGGACAGUAUUUAAUCGAUUUGGUACCAAUUUUGGGCGUAGUGAGGGUGCUAAUCCUUCCUCAUACGUAACCGACUCCCGAGCCUAUUUUCUCAUAUUUUCGUAAGACCAAAAUCGUUAUUUUAGUAAAAAGAAAUAUUUUAUUAAAAUAACUGAAUUUCUAGGUGAUACGAUCACACUUAAACAAAAAGGAUUGGUGGCGACUCCAUGUUUUAUUUUCAAAAAGUCGAUUUCCCAUUUUUUUAUUAAACUUAAAAUUUCGAAAGAUGGUUUCGACAAAUCUCAUGAGCAUACCAUAUACCAUUUGAGUUAUUAAUUUUUAAUUUUUAAUUUUUUUUAUUAUUGGAUUAAAAAGGGCCAAAAAGAACAUCUCUUUAUCUACAACAUCGGCAAUGUAUAAAAAACAGAUUGUGAUAGAGGUCAAGCUCUCGCUGCAAAUCGUAGCAUAUUAUUUCAUUAAAAACUUUGUUUAGAGUGCAAGAUACACUACAUAAAUCAUCAACCGCCAAAAAGGAUUAAUUACACUUUCCAAUAAUUACAUGGAUGAGGAUCUAUACAAUACAAAAGUUGCCAUUAAUUGAGGCACAACAGCGUUCAAGAGAACAAGAGGGCAAGAGAAAGAAAGAAAGAAUCAUGAAUGUCGACAGACAGGAGCACAAGGUAAGCAAAACCUAAACCACGACCCAAAAAAAUUUUGCGACACACGACACGCACAUAUAAAGGCAUGCAAACCAAACUUAACUCGUCGCUGUAGUACAUAGAAUACAUCGCAUCCGAGGACCACCAGCCUCGCUACCAUUGUCAUCCUCCUGCUCGUCCUCAUACUCAUACUCAUAUAACCCCUCAGAGGGACCUCCAGUCCCUUUUUUGUUGGUGCUAUUAGUUUCAGUAGAUUCCAUCAAGCAAGUCGUGUGAUAAGCAUGGCAGCAAAAGAACACGACGACUGAUACGUUUUGUAUCGAGAAAGGAUCAAAACACAUGCAACAUCUGCCACCUCCCCUUGUUUUAGAUUUAACCUCCAUAUUUCUUACACUAGGUGUUAUGACUUGAGAAGCUCUACUGGCAUCCCUCUUGGAUCGUGCAUCAUCUUCUUCAUUACUCAAGCAAACUGCUCGUUUCGCUUCAUUGUAGUAUUUUACCGACAGGUUAACACAAUCAGCCUGUAUAUUUCACAUUUACACCAAAUGUCACGUUUCUCAAAUCAGAAUUCCGAGUAUUACAACAAUUUGCUAAGAGUAAGAGGAACAGUAGUACCUUGAGUAUAUCGUUGCAGCCAUGUCUGAGAGAAGUUUCAGUUCUGUAAUCAGUAAUAAUUUUGACUAGACGAUCCCUCAGCCUAAAAAUAAAAUAGAUGAUUGAGUCAAAUUAAACUGAAAUAGAUUCAGUAAGCAGAUAAGGUGAUUCAGCUUAGAUCUCUGCAAUUUGAAGUUCCAAGUUUUAUGCAUCCAAUAAGAUGCUCCUUAUGGAAUGCCUGGGGACAUGAAUUAAGGUCAAAAUCAUGAAAUAUCAGGGUACUACAGUAGUAGAAUUAUACUGCAGUCAUUCAGUGACCUUCAGUUUUCUGAUUCAUUUUCUCUUUCUUGGUUUGCAUAAAGAAAUAGUUUAUAGCAACAUAAAAAUGGAUGAUAGAACAGAUUUCAUUAUGGUUCAUUAAGAAAAAUCAUGAGAUGCCAGGCAUAUUUGGAGGCAUAAAAAGGACAAUUAAAUGAAAUAUUACUAGAAGAUAUAUAGUUGGCAUCACAUACAUGGAAUAUGGGACAGAUCAGUACGGCAGCAUGAAUAUCUAUAAAAAGGCUCACUUAAAGACAAUUAUUGUGUUGCAACACAAGCAACUGAUGAUAUAGAAAGAAAGAAUGCAAAACCUCGGGCUUUUCUUCCUAGAUUUGGCACCAAAUGCUUAAACAACAAUAAAGUCACUUUAUUAAACAACAGCUCCAACUAAAUUUGAGCUUGAUCCAAGUAUGAAUUACAGCAUUGUCAGUUAACUAUCAGAUAAAUGCUGUUCUUGAAACCCGCUAAGGUUUUUCCUUUCUCCCUUUUUAAUUUUCUUUUCCUUUUUUCUUUUUAAACUGAGAAACCUCUAUAAUAUUGUAGAUGAAAAUUACUUGGAAAUAGAAAAUUCUACUCAACUGCAAUUCACAAACUUCCCUUGAGAAAAGAGGAUACUAACCGAGGUAUCUCUAGGCCAUUGGGCACCAUAUUUACAAUAUAGAGAGGAUCAAGAUUGCCAACAGUGUGUUCCAAUAAGACGCCCACCUGCCAAUCAGUGAGAGAGAGCUAAGAAAAAGAGAAAUACGGCUAAUCAUUAGACAACAUCUCCAUAUUUCCAGUCUGCAUUUUCCAUCAUUACCAUUUCUGGUUUAUGGAGGCAUUGAUGAAUUAGUUCUUCCCAAAGAUCGUCAUCAUGCUGCAUGGUCACAAAUUCUACAGCCUGUGGAUAAUAAAUAGACCUUUAUUGUUAGUACCAAUCCUUCCAAGGAACAACAGCAAUAGCUUGUUUUGAACAAAACAGAAACUCGGGAACAAGAGCUGAAAGCGGCAGAAGCUCCAACUGAAAACAACCAACGUACCUCUUCUAUAUCUCCUAAUUCAUUUAUGAUGACAGCAAGAGCUUGUUUUGAAUUCCCCAUUCUUCCAAGGAUGAAUACUUGCUCCCUUAAAAGAUCUCUUCUGUCACAGAUCUCAUACGCCUGAAGUUGAAAUUCAGCAGUGUCAUUUUGGAAUGUUAUGAUGCCAUUAUUACAUAAAAACUACUAUUUAGACUAUCCAAACCUUCUCCAAUGUGUAAUGUUGACUACUGCGAAGAAAAGGGAGUAGCAUCUUUGGCUCAUACUCAACAUAAAGCUCCACCUAUCACAGCAAGAAAAGGACAACACAUAGUCAGAAAUGCAAUUAACAUGAGAAGCUCCUUGCCCACAUGCGAUAUCCAGUAAACAGCCAUAAGUAUUGAGUUAGACAAGAGCAUGCUCACAGGCAAUAACUAACCUGUUGACAAGGCAUCAAAUGUAGCACAGAAAUAACAAGAAACAUCAACUGACCGGAAAAAAUUCCAAGGUUGUUAAUAUCAUACUCAACAGGUCAUUCAUUUCCCUAAGAAAAAGGGGGUACAUAUUGGUGCCAGUUGUUUCAAUAUAUCGUUUUCAGGGUUUUCAAUGUUAUAUAUAACAACCUAAAAUAUAUAUCUAAAUACAGAAUAUCACUAACAGUCAGAAGCAUUUAAGAUUUACAUCAUUCAUAGAUCCAAAUACCUUUAAACACCAAUUAAAUGAAUUCACUAUAUAACAUAUAAACAGAACGUAACAUCCAACAAACGUAUCAAAACUAAAGAAAAUCAUGCAUAUCACUUAUUCUUUUAUCAGAAAGUUAAGAGAAAAAAGAGAUAAACUUCGGAACCCAUAAAAACUGUUUAAAGUACAGCUGACAUGGCUGGCCUUAUUUAGUCAAAACCAUGUAAUUUUGGAACCUACUGCCAAUUUGUUUCUUCAAACUUUGACCACACACAGACAAGGUGUAAAGCAUUUGACCUCCACAGAAAUGUAUGAAAUCUAGAAAGUAACAAUGAACAUAAAAAAUUGAAAUUUUGAAGGUAACUGAUGCCUACAAUAUUUACAUAAAAGCUAUUAAAACACUAACGUAGCUGUCUUAUCCAUACCUGCAUAUCAUGAAAAUCCUUGCCAGCAUGCGGGUUUACUUCAAACAAGGAAUGCAGAUAUAAAUGCAAGAAAUAUCUCGAAUCACACUUAUUUCUAGUAUUCAGAAGCUGUGAAACAACUUCAGAUGGUGCAAUUAAGUCCCUAUUUUGGAUCAACGAAUUAACCGCUUGCUUACAAUCAACCAUCAUCAACUGCACAACCUGCAUCAUGCACAUAGUAUUUUUGGCAUUAAAAAUUAUAUUUUGCUGGUAUCAUUCAAUGUUAAGAAAGGAAAUGAGAGAAAAUUUCUUUUUUAAUUAUAUUUUGCUCUUCUUUCCCCCACAGCUCUAUUGAAUAGAAAGAGCUAAUUUCUGCCCCUAUAAUUUUGGUUGCAUUGUGAAAUGUAUCUAUCUAAUGUAAAUAAAAGUGUCAACCUAAGUGGUGAAAUAUUGUAAUUUUGUAAAGAAUCAGUUUCAGAAUUUACCAUAUCGGCCUCAUAUGAACAGGUAUUGACAUUCUCUACAAAAAACAAUAAUUUUUAAGAAAGCAAAGUAUCCCAUAAUAAUACCUUUUCACGAAUAGAAUCAUGCAAGUUGUGCUUUUCAAUGAAGUCAAAUAUAUCUGGCUUCAUGAGCUGAAAUCACAGACAAGUUACAUCAACAAAGAAGCAAAGAAAUGUCCAACUAGAGAAUGGAUGAAAACCUAUUUUCCAUAAGCAAUUUGUAUCAUACAUAAUUUUAAGUUUGAAAAAAUAAAUUAGUCUGAGCACAAAUACAUUAAAUACUUACAUCAGCAUACAGUGAAAAAGCUUUCUCAUACUGCCCAUUAAUAACAUACAACUCUGCAAGUGCCUAUCAAGAAAAAAGGAUAGGAUCAUUCAACAUAUGUAGCAUCAACAGAUUCAAUUCACAUCAGACAUCUAGAAACAGUCUUAUGGACCUCUUUAAGGGCAUCAGUCAUUGACGAAGUAUUUAGCUGGGGCUCAAUUGCAGAAAUGACAGGCAAUGCGGAAUAAAUGACACGUGGCCAUGAUUUAACAGUUGACAAAAGAUCCUUAUGAAAUGAUGGAUUUGUUGCCAGAGCCACAAGAGCAACCUGCAGCAUAGCAAACAGGUGGUUUUCAUUCCAAGUUUGACAAAUGAAAAACUAUAAAAGAAGACUACAUGUACAUCAGCAGACAAUUGCCGUCCUGACGAACCUCAUAAGCAGUAUCACGCAGCCUGGGGUUUUCUGUUGGCAUAUAUGGAACCAAUACAGGAAGCUGACGGAGAUGAGCAAAAUGGAAUACCCAUCUGUCAAAGCAAUUGCAUUUGAUUAACAGGAAAUGCAUAGAAAGAGUUGCAUAUAAUGAUUUUCAGUACCUUUCCCAAGCUGUAGCAGAUCCUCGCAACAAUUUAGGACACAAGGAUGCAGCCUCAGCAUAUUUCCUUUCCACAAUCAAAUGAUCAAGGUAUCUAGAUCCCACCUACACAUAAGGUGAACAGAAAUGAAGAAAGCAACAACUAACUUUAAGAAUUACAUAGAUAAAGAAAUAGCAAUUACUUAGUGCAACAAGUGGAAUCAGCAAGAAUCUUUUAAAUAAAGCAAGGAUUAUAUAUUAAGCCAGUAAAUUUACAUGAUAAGUCAUCUCAAUUAUCAAGCCAUUACAAAUACAUUAUAUCAAAAUAAAAAAAGAAGAAAAAUACUUCAUCAAGAAGUUCACUUCGUCCCUGCCCAGCCUCAACUGCUGCUAAAGCUUUUUCAUGCCAUCCAUGUUGAAGAAGCCAUGAAAUGUGAUCCUCAGCAUCCCUAAAGUGUCAAAAAUGCAUAGGUUGAAAAUCAAGAAUUUGCAAGAAUAAUUUUAAAAAAGUACCACAUAAUAUAUCAGACAAAUUUAAUAAAACAAACACAAAUACAGUAUUAUUACAAGUCGUCAAAGACCAUAUUAGGAGAAUCUUAACACCAAAAUUCAAACAAACCUCACUAUGUCCCGCAAAACACACCACAUAAUAUGCAUUUAAUGGCAACUUACAGCAGUUAUUCACUAUUAUAAACAUUUUGCAUGUUCUAUAAGAAUUUGCAACAUAAUUGUUCAUCUUAAGAAAAUUUAAAAGUAUUUAUUUGACUAUUAUAACUGUUUUGCCCGGCUGCAAAUCUAUAAUAGUACUACAGAGACCUUAAAUCAAGCCCAAUGGAAGCUUGUUUGGCAUCAGCUUAAAGGGAUAUGAUACAUCAACAGAUGUACUUAUAGUCCCAAGACAGAAAGUAAAUUCGAAGUAUAGAAGUCAUGGUGCAAAAAUUAAUAUCCAGGAAGAGAGUUAUUCAGAAAAUCCAAAUCCAUUUAGGGCAAAUAAGCAACCAGAGCCAAAUCGACACAGCUACAUUUCAUAACAAUUAAGUAUAUAUUACUGCAUGUUACUACAGAAACCACAAUCCUUUUCUCAAUUUUUCUUUUUUAUGAAAAGCAAUAUUUAUCUUUCAGAAGCAACAAAAAUAGGAAGAAUCGGAAGUAACCUAGGUUUUGCUAUGACAACAUCCUUUGGCGAUACAAUAUAAUAUAUUGGUUCAUCACCAGCAGCCCACUGUCCACCGGCAUAACUGCUGCCUACAUUCAUAUGAGAAGAGCACUAUAACUAUUGCCUGAAAAUUCUGUCUAAUAACCAUAACAUCAAAAACAGAGAUAUCAACCUGAGAAGGGAGCAUGGGCCAAGGAAUAGUCCUUUGCUUUAUAGUGCUCAAAGCCAUGUACAGGUAGAGCAUCAGUUGCCAAUUCAUCAUUGUUCCAAGACACUAUACGUACCUCUGGUCUCUGUGCAUUUCCCUGCUACAGUGGAUUAUACAUGGGCAAAUGGAAUUUAUUAUAACAAGGAUGGCAUAGCAACCACAGUCAGACCAUCCAGAAAUAUUGGCAAUUUUGUAUUAAUGGGAGCUGGUGAUGUACCAAAGAUAGCAAAUAAAAAACUCAAAAUAGAGGGUAUAAAUCAUGACAAGAACUUGGUUUUUUUCAUAACUGUAAAGGACACAUACCUGUCUUGAUGGCAUUGCACUGCUAAAUUCCUUCUCUCCAUCUUCACUAGGAAUAUAGGCUAGAACAACCAAAGCAUCAGCAAAAGGCGCAAUCCCUGAUAUAUAAUAGCUGGUUUGAAACGAUGCCACAAUAUCUACUUGGUUCGUGUUAGACAUAACACGCUUAUAUGUUCCAUUUGUUCCCUUGUUCAGAUUUGUUCUUAUUGCAGCAAUUUUAACAGAAGUACCCCAGCCAAUCACCAAUAAAGUAUCAUCCUGAAUAGAUUCAGACAAUGAGCAACAGAAAAAAAUGAUUGAACAACCUAUGCAUCACAAAGGCCCGGGCCUAGGAGAAGUGAAAACUCCAAAAGAAUGAAUAAUAACAAAUAACAUUGCAGUUUAGACAACAUAAGAAAGUUUGGAACAACCUCAGACAUUUUCCAUUUUAAUCUUUUGACUCAUCCUGAAGAGGUUCAGACAAUGAGCAAUGGCAAACAACCUAUGCCUCACAAAGACUAGGGCAUAGGAGAAGUGAAAACUUCAAAAGAACGAAAAAUAUUGCAAAUGAUAUUGCAGUUGUUUAGACAACAUAAGAAAGCCUGGAACAACCUCAGAUGUUUUCUAUUUUAAUCAUUUGACUAACCUGCCAAACUAAAUGAGGGAGCAAGAUUUCAGGAUGAGGAGUCCCUCUUGGUCUUUCUAUAAAUGUAAUCCGCUGAUCAUUUGCAGCAUCAUAAACUUUUACUCCCGCAUCAUUAGCCCAAGCAAUGAGACUCGUUCUCCAUUUCACUGCAUGGAUUGGACCUUCACCUGAGUGCAAAACCUAAAAACACAUUAAAAUAGACAACAUUCAAAAUUCAUGAACAUCUCAAUUUUCAAAUAAAUUAAAGUCAGGCAAGUAUCACGAACCUGAUCCUUAUAGCCAAGCCACUUUUUGGUAUUAAAAUACAAGUGACCAGCUAAACCACCAGUUACAAAUCUCCUAGACGUUUUUCUUGCAUAAUCAGGGUCAAGUGCAAUGGCUUUCAUAGGACGAUGAUACUCAAAUUUCAAUUUCUCGUCGGUGAAAAGACUAUUUAGUACAACAGAGCCAUCAUCUGAACAGCUUCCAAUAUAUUCACCUUCUAUAUCAAAACUAAGGUCAUUCACUGCAGCUGAAUGAGCAGCAAAUUCCUUAACCUAGAAAACAGCAGAACACAACUUUAAUAUAACAAAAUACAUUUUCCCUUCUGAAAACUAAUUAAUAACUGAACGCAGCAAAAAGUUUAACUUAACUAACUUAUUCGAAAUUACUUGCUUAUCCAAAAAAAAAAACAUUCAUUCAAAAAUCGAAUUAUAAGAAAAAGAAUGUUGGAACCCAAAAACAUAAAAAAUAAAAUGAGAAAUUAAGAAUUGAAACGAAACAUAAGAUCUAAAGUGCUGAAAUGAGAUAAAAUUUCACCUGAUUUCCCAAAAAGUCGAGGAUAUGAACGGUUCCAUCGUGCGUUCCGAGUGCGAUCAUGCGUUCGGCGACGGAGAUACAGGAGGCGGCCUCGCCUGAGAGCAGGGAAGGGAUGCUACCUCCCAUUCUUUGAUACUUAAGCCUGGGCUCCUCUUCGUCCUCCUCCGCUUCUUCUUCUUCUUCUUCAUCAUCAUCUACAUCUUCGUCUUCUUCUUCUUCUCUCUCGUCGUCUCCUUCGACGCCGUUUUCGGAUGGGAAGGGAGACAUUUGCAGGGUUCCUGGAAUUGAGAAAGGAAAGGGAAGGAUCUGAGUCGGGUUUUGGAUUUGGUUUUGGUUUGGUUUAAGUUAAUAAAAUCAGUUAAUCUGAAUUAUUUAUUAGCUAGGCAACAAAGGCACGGUGACGAAUGUUGGGUAUGCGUGCCAUCCGUCAUGUUACUCUGUUUUUCUUUUUCUGAUUUUCUCUUUUUUGUUUGGGAUUUUCCAUAUGGAUGGACCCUGAUUAAUAUAAUAUAUAGAUGUGUUGAAUUAGUUAAACCAAUUCGAAUUAGUAUUAAUUAAAUUAAUUUUUGAUUAAUUAUUAAAUUAAUUAAAAUUUAUAUAUUUUUUAUUAAAAUAAGAAUAAAACAUAUCAAAAAUUAAUUAAAUUUAAUAUAUGUAAAAUGUAAAUAAAAAAUAUAAAUUUUCGAUUAAUUAACCGAUUUCAAACCGAAUUAAUUGUUACCUGAACUUCCAAAAGAUUUUAACCAAUUUCGACUGAAUUAAUUUGGUUAAUUGACUGAUUAACUGAAUUAAUUUGAUUCAGUUGAUUAAACCGGUUUUACUCGAAAUUUGUACACCCCUGUUAAUCUCUAUAUAACAAUCCCAUAUUGUAAAGCAAAAACACUAUUUGAAAUAUAAAUCAUAUUUUAAAAUUUAAAAUUAAAAUAUAUUAUUAAUAUUAUUAAUUUGUUAGAUUUAGAUUUUGUUUCUAAUAAAAUUUUAUAAAUAUAACUUCAUUUAUUAAAAAUUAUUUCUAUUUUAUAAAAUACUAUUAAUAUAUUUUUAUAUAAAUUUUAAACAUUUUAUUGAAAUAGUAUCUUAACUAAAAUUAUUAUGUUUAUUUCGUUUAGAACUAAAAUUAAUUUUAUUAAAAUUUAAGAUGAAAAGGUUGUUAUAAAGAACUUUAGUUAAUAAUGCACUUUAUAUUUUAUGGCUAAAUCGGAACAAUAGUUUUGGGACUCUAAAUUUGAAAUUGAAAAUUUUAUUUUAUUAUUAUAUUGAGGUCUAAAGUAUGAUAGUAUGAUUGUGUGAAAAUUUCGUUAUGAAAUUUUAUCGUUUGAAUGCUCAAUUUGAUAAAAAGAACUAAAUCGCGUAAAGUGCAAAAGUGGUGUUCUAAUAGCUAAAGGUGUCUAAUAGCUAUGGAACCUUAAAUUAGAGGUCCUUAUGUUGUAAUUAAAGCAUUGUUAAUAUGAGUGGACAUUCUUGGACAUGAUUAAAUGAAUUUUAAUGAUUUAUAACAAAGGUUAAAUAAUUAAAUUAAUAAUUAAAGUAAAUUAAAAUAAACAAAAACAAUGUAUCGUCUUCCUAAUUGUCAUCUUCCACUAAAAAUUCAUAUUGGAGAAGCCAUAGCUAGAGUUUGAAGCUUCGGUCACUUGCUUAGCUUGCAUGUAAGUGAAAUUUCAUUCGUUUUUAAUAAUUUCUAUGUUUUUGGAGUCGUUGUAACUUAAAUUGCUAGCCUAGGGACUAAUUUGAAAUUUUUUUUAAAGGUUUAGGGUUUUUCCAUUGAUGAAUAUGUGUGUAUUUUGAUGUUUGAUGAUAGAAAAUGAAUGGCUGUUGUUAGAUAAACAACAUUUGUUAAGUGAUUUUUGAGAAAAUUGUCAAUAAGGAUUAAAUUGAUAAAUGUGAAAAUUUCAAGGUUAAAUUGUGAAAUAAAUAAAAAAAUAUGGGCUGCUAUGUUAAUAAGGGAAAUUCGGCUAGCAUGAUUAGGGACCUAAUUGCAUGAAUUUGUAUUUUUAUAAGCUAGGGACUAAUUUGUAAAUAUGUUGAAAUAUUAGGGGGAAAAGUGUAAUUUUUCCAAAAUAUGAUUUUUGGGCUAAAUUGAAUAGAAUGAUAAUUGAAUAAGUUAAAUUUGAUAUUAUAUAGAUGAAAAAAAUGAAGUUCGAAUCUAGAUCAGGGGAAAAACAAAGUAUUGGACUAGUCAAUCCAUAUCGUCGUUUUUAUGAUCGAGGUAAGUUCAUAUGUUAAUAAGCAUUAAUAUAAUUAUAUUUUAAAUGCUUCAUUAUUGAAUUAAUUGUGAAUAUGACCUUACGGAUAUAUUCGACAAAGAUUCGACAAUGUGAAAUCCCAGUUGAACCAUAGGACUAGAUUAGGAUACGAAUGACAUGCCAUUAGGGCUUAUGUGUUUGGGUGCUGGUCCAUACGUCCUAUCGGUGGCUGAGUUAUUCGGCAUGUGUUGCGGAUUCUUAUCAUCUUGUGUGAGCAACACCGUGUAGCUACAUCAUGACCGUCAGCUUGUGUGAGCAGAUCCAUUGAUAGCUCGAGAGUGAACAUUAUAUGAGAUAUGAAAUUGAGAUAGCUUCGGCUAUGUAUUGGCACUUAUGGUGCGAGAUUCUCGAGUACCCGAUAUUAUUUUGAAUGGUUCAAUGGGUAUAUCAAGGAUAUGGAUGAGUAUGAGAUUGAUACGAGUUGAUACAGGCAUGUACAUGAAUCAUACAAGCAUUGAAUCGAAGAAACUUGUGAAUUUCAUAUCUAACCUUAUGAAUGAAUAUAUGAUAGGUUUGUGGAUCGAUAUGAGUUAUACUAUGAUAUGUUUAAUUGCUUAAAUUGUGUAUAUAUGGUAAGUUGAGUUUAUUUCUAUACGAACUUACUAAGCUUUAUAGGUUACUCUGUUUACUUUUCUGUGUUUUAUAGUGAUUAUCGAAGCUUGCUCGAAUUUGGGAGUCGUCGGAGAUCUCAUCAAACUAUCAAGCUUUCAUUUUGGUACUUUUGAACUUAUAUAUUUGGUUAUAUGGCAUGUAUAGGAGUUGUGGUGAAUUUGGUCUAUAGUUUGGUAAUGGAUUUAACCAUUUGAUUUGGCUUGUAAAUUAUGAAUGUUUAGUUAUAAAUAUAGCCAUGUGAUUUGGCUUACUUUGGGCAUGCUUGGUGAUGUGUAUAUAUAUGUGCAAAUGGCAUUUUGGUAUGUUGUGCAUAAUGGUUAAGUUAAUGCUUGUUGUGAAUUGGUAUUUUAAGUACCAAAUGGUUGAAAUUUGAGAUUGGUAUGCUUGUGAUUUUAGGUAAAAUAAUUCAUAAUUGAAAGUGAUCAAUUAAGUGAUUUUGAGAUGUGAAAUUGGUAUUAAAUGGAAUGGAUAAUUGUGAUUCUUGUGGGUCUUGUGGUUGUUAAUAUUGAGAUGGCAUGAAUUAGACAUGUUUGAGAUUGGUUUGAAUGCCUAUUUAUGCCAUGUUAUAUGUCAUUUGAAUUGUGUAGGUGAAUGCAAAUUUGGGUGAGCAAGAUGGCUUGGUAAAUAGCCUAUUUUUGUCCAUACAGACAGAGACACGAGCAUGUGUCUCAGCCGUGUGUCCCCUGGUGUUUAAUUAGAAACCAAGUCAGUAUAGUCUACACGGCCUAGCACACGGGCGUGUAACUUGGCCAUGUGGUAUAAGUCAGUAAACCUUACAGUUUUGGCACGGCCUAGCACAUGGUCUGGCACACAGGCGUGUGAGGCCAUUUCGAAGGGUACAUGGGCUAGUCACACGGGCGUGUGGUUGGCCGAAUGACCCAAGUCAGAGAGUUACACAGGGUUGGGCACGAGCUGGGAUAUGGUCAUGUGAUCCCAUUUCGAAUGUCCAUACGGCUUGUGACACGGACGUGUCUUUGGUCGUGUGUCCACACGGGCAUGUGUCCCCUGUAUUUUAUAAAAUUUUCUAUGUUUUCCAAAAAAAUUUACUGAGUUAUUAGUUUAGUCCUGAACCACUUCUAAUGCAUGAUUUGGGCCUCGUAGGCUUGUAUUAGGGACAACGUGAUUGAUUAUGAAUGAUUUAUAUUUGGAAAUGGAUAUUGUAUGUGAAUUGUAUGAUUAUUUAUGAAAUAAGUCUGGUAAUGCUCCGUAACGUUAUUCUGGCAACGGAUACGGGUUAGAGAUGUUACAAUAGCUAUUACAGAUGAAAAGUUAUUAUAGAGAAUAAAAAUAAAACAUAAAAGAAAUCAAUUCUAGAAUAAACUUGAUUGUUAUUGUUGUGAUUGAUCUCAUGGCUCUUCUCGAUGGCACAACCAUUACCAUAAACAAUGAAGUUAUCCCCAAAGAAAAAUACAAACUCUAAUUCAAACAAAAUCAAUUAAUGCAUAAUGCAUUACUAGCCUGAGUUGAUCCUACCAUAACUUCCACACUUUGUAUGCAAACAAAUCACAUACAUGCAUUUUAAGUUUUUGCAACCAUCUAUAAGUCAUUACAAAAGGCUCGAAGACAAUUAUAGAAUAUCUUUGAGAGAUCCAUACAAUUGCAGAUGAACUUGCAACUAUCAGUUCUCCAAUAAUUGAUGAAAAUUUGGUUUUAAAAAUCCUAAGUGGUCUUGAUCUCUAGUAUGAUUCUAUCACAGCAGCUAUUCAGGCUCAAAAUGAAGCCAAUUCAUAAAAGAGCUAUUUGGUAAGCUUAUUAAUCGUGAGAUAUUCCUUCAAAACUCUACUCCUUUACAAACCAACAAUUUCCAUUACUAUCACUAAUGCUCAAAGGUCCACUCCCAGCUUAUCUUCGUUUCACCUUAAAAAUAGAAAAAAUCAAUCACAACAAUAACAACCAUGGUAUUCAUAGUAGAACCGCCUUACAUCGCAAUGGCAUCCCUCUUAGCAACAACCCCCUAAGAUUUAAUGUCAACUAUGUGAUCGCUAUGGCUACACUGCUUGGGUUUGCAGAUCUAGAUCUCAUAACGAUCAAGAAGCAAAGGUUAACUUUGCAUCAAACAAGAUGCCUAACAUCAUCAUGGAUCUUCAACACUAGUGCAGCCUAUCAUAUCACAGAUGAUCCUUAAAAUUUCCAACUUGCAGAAAUAUACCCAAGCACGAAAGAAGUUUAUGUGGGGGAUGGUAAUAUGGCUCCAAUUACACAGAUAAGUUUUACUAAAUUAAAUGCAUUAAACUCAUCUUUUACACUUUCUAUCACCUUUUUUGCAUCACCUAUUAAGCAAAAUCUUAUUUCAAUUUCACAAUUUUGUCAACAAAAUUUAGUGUCUAUUGAGUUUUUUUUUUCCUUUUCAUUUUUGUAUGAAGGAUUUGAAUACAUGAACUCUAAUGGUUUAUGAUCGGAGUAAAGAUGGGCUUUAUGUUUUUUAGAGAUGUCAAUUUUUUUUAAAACAUUUUUCUUUUUGAAAAUAUUUUCUCUAAAAUUAAGAAAAAGAAUUCCAAAUAUUGAUUGGGAUUUUAAUUCCUUAUCUAAAAGUCUCCCUUCAACAAUAUCUAGCUCUAAUAUCGAUUUCUCUCUAUUUGUUUUGCUAGAUAUUCCAAAUUUCAUCAUCAUUCCUUCAAGCACACAAACUUUAGAAAGACACCAAACUUCAUUAGCUCUUGUCGCGCAUAGAGAAAGUUUUUCAAAUUUAGGUAUUUCACACUUAAAUUUAAACUCUUCUUCUUCCCAUCAAUCUUUCAACCCUACCUAUGAAACUCACCCAUCUUUGCUACAAACUUCUAUUAUCACCUAUUCUUGAUGAAAUAAAACUAACCCAUUUUUUCCUACAUCUAGUCACUGUUUAUCUAUUCAAGCUACUAUAUCUAAUCUUAUUUUUGCCACUCAAACUUAUUUACCUUCUACCUCAAAUCCUAUCUUAACAUGCCAACACCAAACCCUUACCAUGUCGUUAACCAAUCCACCAGCUCAAAACAUCUGCCAACCUGAACUAUCUCCACUAGUUAUCAUUCUCUCUACCCGGCCAAAUUGUGUCAUCACUCGUUUUCAAAACCAAACUUUCAAGUCUAAUUUUUUUUUGAUUUUCUAGCACGCCUUUCUCCCAUACCCAUAUCUUUCAAACAAGCUACUAAGUAUCCAUACUGACAAGCAUCUAUACAAAAGCAGUUUGAUUCCUUAAUAAGCAAUAAAACCUGAACCCUUGUUCCCUAAGAUUCAAAUGCUAAUGUAAAUUACUAUAAGUGGAUUUUUAUAAUCAAGUAGAAAUCAGAUGGGUCAAUUAAGUGUUACAAAGCUCAAGUUGUUGCAAAAGGGUACACUCAACAGGAAUGUGUGGACUAUCAUUCUAGUUUUAGUCUUGUCAUUAAAACAAUAACCAUUUGCCUUGUACUAUCAAUUGUUGUUCAAAAUCAGUUGUCAUUAUAGCAGAUUGAUGUAAGCAAUGCCUUACUACAAAGCUAUCUUGAUGAGCCGGUUUAUAUGUGGCAACCACUGGGUUGUGAAGACCUAAAUCAUCUUGACUAUGUUUGUUAGUUAAAAAGGCGAUAUAUGGACUCAAGCAAGCACAUCAAAAAUAGAACAAAGAACUCACUGAAUUUUUAUUGAAAACUGGCAUCAAACAAUCUGCUUGUGAUACAUCCUUAUUUAUCCGUGAUGAAUCUAGUAUUUUUUAAAUUUAUCUACUUGUUUAUAUCGAUGUCAUUAUCAUGACUAGCAGUAAUUUAAAAGUUGCUUGAUAGGUUAUUACUUUUAUUUUACAAAAAAAAAAUUCAUUUAAAGAACUUGGUUCAUUAAAAUUUUUUCUUGGGAUUGAAGUAAUACCAACUACAGAUGGCCUAUUUUUAUCUCAAAGUAAAUACAUCCAAGAUAUUUUAAAUAACAUAAGGAUGUAAGAUAGUAAAGGGGCUCUUACUCCUAUAGGCUUAUUGUAACAGUCCAAACACGGCCUAGACGUUAUGGCCAAAUUUGUCGAUGUCACAUGGAAUGAGAUUGGAAAACGAGUUUGUCAAAUUAAAACCGUUCCAGUUAUUUAACCUUUAUCUUAAUUCGGAGUAAAAUACAAGUUCUUUGUUAUGUCUAAAAUUGUAUCUUUUUAGCGGAAGCGUUGGAAACGUUUAUUUUUGGAAAUCUGUUCGUGUUGAGGGAAACCUUUAUUUUUUGCAAAAAUCGAGUUUUUACCUUCUAGCUGUAAUAAAGCCGUAAUGCAGUUAAAAAUCCAAAAUUUAAAAACCAAUCGGUCCAAAGUCCCAAAAUUACACAACAAUACCCAAAAAUAAUGUAAAUUCAAAAACUGAAUUAAAGUAGCACGAAACAGUGGUGGUCACAAUCGAGUCCUUCACCGUAUCGGUCCAUCUAAGACUAAGGAUUACCUGUACAGAUCAACAGAAAAAAAGGUGAGUUUUCGUAAACUUAGAGACUAAGGAUUACCUGUACAGAUCAACAGAAAAAAAGGUGAGUUUUCGUAAACUUAGUGUGUAAUCCCCACAGAAAACAUGCAUACAGAUACAAUCAGAAUACAGUCAAAUACAGUCUGGACCUGAGCCCAUUACAGAUUCAGUUUGGGUCUUAGCCCAAUUAGAUACAGUCUCAGAUAUAAAUAUGGCCUCGGCCCAUCUCAGAUACAGUAUGCGAUAAUAGAAAUCAGAAAUCAAAAUCCUACCCACUAGCCUCUACACACCAUCUCCGACCAUCCUUACACACCAUGUGGGGUUUAAAAUACCCACCCAUCCUUACACACCAUGCUGUACCGAAAUGUGACACACAAUCAGAAAUUUGCAAAUGAGCUGCCAAAUAACCAGCUUAAGAGCCUUUUAGAACACUUCCUCCAAAUAUCAUCAACCCACCCCGAUGCAAUGCAACAUACAAGAGAUGUCAUGUUAUUAUGCAGUUAACAGUCAAUACAUUCAUAUCAGUAUACAUGUUCAGUUUAGAUGUCGUAUAGACAGUUCACACAAUUAGGGGUCUAAGUAAUGCUUACUGACCCUAUAGUAGGUUUAUAGUCGACUUGGACGACCCGUGCAAACUUAGGAAACUUUUUAGAAACAUAGGCUCAUACACCCAUGUAGCCUGCCCGUGUGGGCCAACACGGCCCAAAUUAGCCUUGGCUGUAUAGGUUGCAUGACCUGGCCCAGAAUCCCACAUGCCAGUGUGGACUACCCGUGUGGACCCACACACUCGUAUGGCCCACACGGCCCAAUUCAGUCUAGCCCGUGUUUCGCACACGGCCUACCUGGCCAUCACAUGGUCGUGCCUUACGCGCACAGCCUGGCUCGUCGAUCACACGGCCAUGUCCCUCCAUAUAGCCUACCAUACGAGCAACCACAUGCCCAUGUGACGUUGACAGAAUGAUUUUUCGACUUUCGUUGAAUCUUGUUUUCUGAGUUAUCGAGUACACACCUGUCUCGAUUUUGUAGCACAUGCAACUCCAACACCACCAGAACCUACAUUUGACCAAUGAAUCACCAAUUUAGUCACUUAUAUCCAUACUCAAAUGAAAACACACGAGAUGAUCAAAAAUUAAACUAACAAAAACAUUACCUUUGGUUGAACAAUAGGGAUUUCGCAGACUUGAAACAUCAAUUAAAGAUCUCUAGCCCUUUGAUUGUCUCCUAAACACCAAACAAACCCUUCUUAACACUUAACCAAACCUAAUUAAAUUUUAGCCAAACUAAACUUACCGAAUGUGUGUAGUCCACAAAGUACAACGGGAUUGAAAGAAAAGAAUCGAAAAAGGAAAAGAUGAGGGAAAAAUCAGGAGGAAAUUUGGCAGCAAAAGGGAAGCACCAACGCCAAAAAGAAAGGGAAAAAGAGUUUUUUUAGGGGAAAAAAGUGAACAGAAAUCUAUCAGAUUACUCCCCACUACUUACCACACACAAAAUCCCUAAUAUCUCUCCCUCAAUUCCUACUACACAACCACUACUCAGAACCCUAGUUCAGCACUAGCUGAAAUUAGGAGCAAAAAUACUAUCCAUUGCCUAUAUAGAGAUUUGAACACAGGACCUUCAGCACACCAAUACUCUACUUAACCACUAGACUAGCAAACCCAUUUUGACAUGUUUUCAUAAAUAAUUGAAUAAAAUCUACUGAACAGAGAUAGGGCUUUAUUCAUAAAAUAGCAAAAUUUAACUCAAUUAAGGCUUGAACUUGGGACCUCACAUACACACCCAGAAUACAUAACCACUGAAGCAGAUACACAUUUAUACCACAAUUUCACAAAACCAAUAUAUAAAUUUUUGGGGCGUUACACUUAUCUCACCAUUACAAAUUUCAAGAUGAGUCUGACCCUACUUGUGACAUUCCAUACUCAACCUAACUGUCGAAUUCGAAAGUGUAACAUCAUAUUACAUUGCUGAAGCAACUCAGACUAACUCACUUCAUUUAUUACGAAUUUAAUUUGAAAUUUGCAAUCAUAUCAAAUUAAUCAUUAUUCAUUACCACAUACAUGCAUUAUAAAUGUUGAAUAUCUUUAAUUAUUGAAUCUUAGAGUUACAUGAGUUCAAACUCAGAUUAGACUUGAAUCCAACUCAAAAUACCAAAAUUCAGUAACGUGUUUCGAGACAAUAGAAUCUUAUCUUAAAAUUGAUCUUCCUUAUUUAAUAUUUAUGCUUUGAAGUAAUUAUGUCUUGAAACACAGGGCUAAUGUUUCAAUACUAAGCUUUUCAUUUCUUGAUACCAGUCUCAAGACAUGCCUUCCAUGUUUUUUUAAUUUUAGCUUUGAUGUUAGGAUGUCUCAAGACAAGGUAUUUGUCUCCAUACCUAAAACAAGGAAAAACUAAUUUAGGUUUAAUUUUUACUGGUCUGGAGACCAUGAAGUACAUGUUUUGAGACCUACCUGUCAACAUGUCUCAAGACUUCUACACAUAAAUGCAUGAUCUGGUCAUUUUUCUUCAUAGUGUCUCAAGACGUAACCAAAGUGUCUCGAGACUAACAUACCAAAUGGUCUAAAAUGCAAUAUCACAAGCAUGAAAAUGAUGCCUAAUGGUCUUUUAAAUCAUGGUUUUAUUAUAACUCACUAUUGCAUACUCAUUUAACUUAUGAAACCAUAUUCUAGCCACUUAUGGUCAUGGCAUUGAAGCAUCAAUUUAUCUCAAUUAUGAUAGGAUAGCAAAACAAGCUAAAACAUACUUUUAACCAACCAAAUUAAGCAUAUAAGUCCACCACAUUACCAACACAUCCACCAUAACAUAUUCAUAACUUAAAACAUUAUAAAGACUUUCAAAAUACUCAACCUAGGUACAUGUCAUACAUAAACUAAUCAAAAUAAGAUUAUUAUGAGGAUUGGUUGAGCUAAGAGUUGGAGAUUUGGAUGCUGACGGAUUUCCAACCUCCUCGAACACUUAUAUAAAGCCUAUACAUGAAAACAAACAAAUCCAUAAGUUGAGUGUUGUAUACUCAGUGGUACUAACAUAAUUUGAAUUCAUAUAAUAAAACUAUUAAGAUAAUAAGCAUAUAACUAAUACAUUAAAUCAAAGUAUUAAUAAUCUAAUGACAUUAUUUCAUUAUAUCAAUUUCAUUAACCAAAUUUAUUUCAUAAUCAAUUCAACAUGAUUGUUACCAUAUAUUAAGCUCAGAAUGACCUUUUAUAAAUAGGAUCAUAAUAGUAUUCAAUUAUUAGGAUCAGAACGACAUUUUAUCAACAAAUCAGAUUAACUUGUCAUUUUUCAGAAUCAUGAUGGAAUAUUAAACUUUUAUUUUUACCCCUAUUAACUAGAUGUAGACACGAGUACUGGUACACAAAUUUAACCCUUAACACUCUAAAAUAAGUACCAAGUGUUGAUUUGGCAUAAAUGCACUAAUCCCCUUAAUGCUCUAUAGAAUGAAUUGCACCGUAGGGCUAGAAUGUUCCCACCAAUAGCAUAUACAAAUCCUAUAGCAUGUCAACUCUACCCUGACUAUGUCUAGCAUCGUUUAAUAGGGCGAUUACGAAAAUUAAUAUAGUAGUUACAAGUAAUAUGGUUUGUAUUAUCAAAUCACCAUAUAUCAUUUUUCUCAUGAUCAUUCAUUAACAUAAAUUCAAUAAACACAUAUUAUGCCACUUACUUCUCAUCAAGAUAACAUAAUAAUCAAACAUCAUAAUAUCGUAGUGGAUUUUGUAUAUACUUACCUAUCAAUUUACCAUUUAUACUAAAAUUCGACAUGGAAUAGUCAAACACAUUCAUCGUGCCAUCAUCACUACAAUUCAAUAAGCUUAGCUGCUUAAUUAAAUUCACAAAAAAGAAAAAACAAUUUAUGAAAGUACAAAUUGAUAUCGCUAAUCCUCGACGGCUUUCGCUUUCCCUUUAUCUGUUGACAAACCAACUUCGUCUACGUAUAACAAAUCUGAUUGUAAACAUGAUAUUAGUUUCACACAAUCAUAAGAAAACACAUCAAUUGAACAUAAAUUACAUCUUAUUUAGUUUAGUCACUAUAAGCCUUAAUAGUCAAAAUGUUCGUAUCUUUCGAUAUUUAAUAUCAAAUCAAAAUCCAAUUUCAUAUUCUUUCAUUAGGAACCCCAAGCUUUCAAUCUAUAACAUAUUUUUUAAUAGCUUACAUUGUUUUCAAUUUAGUCCCUAAUGCCAUAAAAUUAACUAACAAGCUUAGUUAAAUUUCUAAUCAAAUCCAACACCUUUCACCACUUUCUAAAUUAGUCCUAACAUAUUCUGAACUCAUAAUUCAUAAAUUUAUCUCUACCAAGUUUAAUCUUAUCAAUUAUCCAUUAAUAGCAACUUGUAUUUAACUUAGCAAUUUGGAAAUCUAAAACAUCGGUAUGUGAGACUAAGCUUAGAUGAUCAAAUAUAUGUAAAAAUCACAAAGAAAAAGCUUAAUUGCCUUAUUCAAUUUGAUGCCCGAAUGGUUGUAGAAACUUAGAAUUUCUUUCUUUCUUUUUCUUUAGCUUGGACGAAAAAUUGGGAAAGAAGAAUUAAUAUUCUCUUCUCUCUCCCACUCACUUGUUAUAUAUACUUAGAUUAAUAGAAUAAUUAAACUUAAAUAAGACACUAGUAUUAAUUAACUAAAUGAAUUAUCAUUAUUUAUUAUACAUAGUGGAAAUGGAUUGAGUAGAUUGUUCCAUCCACUAACUCAUGAAACAUUAAUGGUUAAAUAAUCAUUAUAUCCUUUGCAUAAUUACUAAUUAGACCCUCAAGCAUUUUCUAAAUUAAAACCUAACUACGAUUUCACUUUUGCAAUUUAGUCCUUGUACUAUAAUUAACGACUUCCUCGAUUUAAUAAUUCGAUAAUUCUAUAAUAUAUUAUUGUACUAAAUACAUAAGCUCUUCUAUCCAUAAUUUUACUAACUCAAUUUAUGGAACUCGACUUUGAAAUCGCGUUUUUUAAUACUAGUCAAAAUUGAGUCAUUACACUACUAAUGCCAUUAUAUAUCGAAGAACUAUUGGUAAAAUCCAAUAUCUUUCAUUUACAAGACUUUAUAUUUGUUUAAUAUGAACAAACUUUCUUAGUUUAUGCAUGCUCCAUCAUUCGUACAUUGGAAAGCAAUGAAACACACUCUUCAAUACUUGAAACAAACCUCCAGCUAUAGUUUUCGAUUCAUUCGCCAUUUGGAUCCAAAUCUUUAUAUGUGCUUAGACACUAAUUGGGCAAGUAAUCAUACUAACCGUAAUUCGGCAACUGGUUUUAUUAUUUAUUUUGGUCCAAACAUAAUAAGUUGGUCCUCAAAGAAACAACCUACCAUUGCCCAGUCCUCCACUAAAGCUAAAUAUUGAGAAAUCACAAUUGCUACCUCUAAAACUCUUUGUUAUGAAAUUGAAAAAAGAGCUCAACUUUCCACUAUCUCAUCCUCCGAAAACGUUUUGUGGCAAUCAAGGUGCAACAUCUUAUAGUCAACACCUAGUUUUGCAUAGUAAAAUAAAAUAUUUUGAGGUGGAUUUACAUUUCAUACAUGAUCAUGUUCAAAAAAAAUUUUGGAUGCCACUCAUAUUUCUACGACUGAUCAAAUUGAUGACACAUUUACCAAAGCACUACCUAAAAUUGCCAUCAUGCAUAACUUCAACAAGCUAGGUGUUGCUCUACAACCUCAAACUCGAGGGGGCAUACUGGCUAACCAAGUCAUAUUACACUUAGACUUCUUUUUAAACUUUGAAUUUAUUUAAAGUAACUUCUCUUAUUUAGGAGUUUUGUUAAUAGUUUAUGUGUAUAAAUAAAUGCUCAUCUCAGGAAUAAAACACAACUCACUUUCAUCUUUUUCAUAAGCUUCUUUAUUUCUUUAUGAACACUAUUUGUGAAUUUUUUUAUUCCAUUGGUAGUGAAUUGAAUGUAUAUAUAUUGAGGAUAUUUAAAGGCAUAUUAAUUACAUCUUUAAGGGUUAAUUUUAGGUAGGGAUAGCAUCUCUCAUCCUUGACCUUGAUUUUAUUUAAAAUUUUAAUAUUUGAAUUCAAUAAAAAAAUCUCUAAAUUUUAGUCUAUUCUUCUUAAAACAUUAAAUAAUUUUUAUAUUUUAAUUCUUACAAAAUUAAAUAAAAUAUACAUUAUAAAAUCAAAUGAAAAUUAAAAAUGCCUAACUAAACUAUAUUUUAAAAGUUAAAAUGUUAUAAAAUUUUACAAAAGUUAAAAAUGAUUAAAAUAUAUAAAAAUUAGUUAUAAAAUUACAAAUGAGGUAUUAGGGUAAAAAAAAUUUGGGCAUGGUAGUACUAAUUUCAUCAAAAUCUGUCCCCAACCUAAACCUAAAAAAACAUAUUUGAAAAUCCUCCCGGCCUUGCCUCAAACUUGACAUUUAAGGGUAAAAAAUCCAUCCUUAUAAGUCAGAUCUGGGUUUUUUGUCCUUAAUUUUAAGUUAAAAAUUUCAAAUCAUUUUACGGAAGUAGCUUUUAGAAUGAAAUACAAAUAUUAAUUUUUAUUAUACCCUUCAAACAUCAUAAAGCAUAAUUUAUUUGGACAAGAAACAUUUCAUUCUCUUUAACCAAUUAGUAUCAAUUGUAUUCAAAUGAAAUCACUAUUCAAUGUACAAACUUCUAAUCAAGAAAAAUAAUCAAGCUAUACUGAAAGUUUACAGAGGGUAAUGAAAUACUACAACUUCAUAAUUAGACUAGACAAAUACUGUCACUUCAAUGAGGACACGGAAGAUCAUCCUUAUUGAGAAUGAGUGUCAUCGAGGAUGGACGUUUGUUAACCUAGCCUUCAAGCUCUAAUCUAUCCUUGUUGCAUUUUACUAGUAAAUCAACAACUUUGUUAGAAAAUCUUCUGACAAGAGAAAUACACACUUGUGCACAUUUCUUCUUCAAGCAAUUGAAGUUAUCCAAAACAGGACUAAUACUCCAUUUUCUAUUAGAAAGCUACUUUUUAAAUUCCUCCACUAUCAUGUUAGAAUUACAUCCCAAUAACAGAUGUUAAAAAAAAUUUCGUAUAGCAAUGCAUCUUCCACAUAAACCUAUUUCUUUCUUCAAUCAUCACUUCCUUCAAAACAUACCUUUCCACAACCCAAUGACCUCUCUUUUGAUAGGCCUUUUGUAUGCACCAUCACAAUUAAUUUUGGCCUAACUUUCCUCAAGUAGAGAUUAACUUACUUGAUCCACCUCAGCAGCCUUAGUUGCCUAAACCUGUUUUUAGGUGCUUUCUCUCUCAUAUUCAAGAUUUCAUUCAUGGACUUCUUAAGCCUACUUAUAGUUCCAAUUACAUUUAAUUCUUUAGUAACAUGAACAAAUUCACACCUCCCUUACCCUAUGUACAAGCAAACUAUAGCCAUAUUAAUUUUAUCACAUAUUAUUGCUCUUUACUGUUGGUGUAAUAUCCCGAAUUAGGGCCUAAUCGGAAUAGUGGUUUCGUGACCAUAAAUCCGAGAUAGAAAUAAUUAUUUUAUAAUUAUUUUUAGGUUUAUGAUAUGAUUGCAUGAUUGUGUGAAAAUUUCGUGAUGAAAUUCUAUGCCUAAAGUGCUUAAAUUGAAAGUAGGGACUAAAUCGAAUAAGUUGCAAAACUUGCAUUCUAGAAGUUUUUAGUAUGAAAUUGUUUUGGAAUAUUAAUGAGGAGGUAUUAAAUAGCAAUUUGACCAAUUUUAAGUUCAUGGACAAAAUUAGGACAUGGAAGGAAUUUUUGGAAAGUUUAGUAGUAAGGGUAUUUUGGUCAUUUAGUUAUUAAAAUGAAUUAAAAACAAAAUUAAAAGCCAAUUUUUGUCCAUCUUCUUCAUUAGGCCGAAAUUUCAAGGGUUCUCCAUAGCUAGGGUUUGUUUCAAGCUUCCAAGCUCCAUAGUAAGUGAUUCCAAGCCCCGUUUUUAAUGAUUUUUACGAUUUUGAGAUCCGGUAACUCGAUAAAGCUUAUGUUAGCAAUAAUUUAACCUAGGGUUUAUAUUUGGAAAAAUACCCAUAGGUGAAAUUUGUGUAUUUUGAUGUUUUAUGAUAGAAUAUGAAGUUUUAAAUUAUGUUAGACAACUUGUACUACUCGAUUUUAAGCAAAAACGAGUAAAAGGGCUUAAUCGGUAAAAAUACUUAAUAGUCACAAGUACAUGUUAGAAUGAGAAUUUGAUGUUGCCAUAGAAGAGAAAAGUGAUCAGCAUGUUGUAAAACAUAAGAAUAAGGAAUAAAUUUUAAUCCCGAGCCUAGGGGCAAAAAUGUAAGUAUGCAAAAGUUUAGGGGUAAAUUUGUAAUUUUGCCAAAAUUUGAGUUAAGGAUUAAUUUGAUAAUGUGAGUAUUAAAUAAGCUAAAUGUGUUAUUUUAGAUCAAGAAAGACGUGGAAUCGACCUCAAUCGAGGAAAAGAAAAGAUUGUGGACUAAAUUGCAAAAUCUUUGUAUUUUGGUACCAAGGUAAUUUCAUGUGUAAAUAAUGUAUCAUAAUGGUUAUUUUUAAGUUAUUGAUGUUAAUUAUAUGUUAUGCUGAAUUGUUAAAUAUAAUUGUGAACUACUUGUUAAAUAUAAUUGUUACCGAGUAUUGAUUUCGGCAUUCUACGGAAGACGGCAAGGAUAAGUGUUCGAGGAAAAAUCCCGUUUGAACCUUAGGAAUAGAUUAGGAUACAAGUGACAUGUCACUAGGAUGAUUGAGCAUCCGAACUCGUUGAGUUGAGUCCGAGUUCACUUAUGGAUGCGAAUGUCCGAACUCGUUGAGUUGAGUCCGAGUUCGUGAGAUGUAACUAGGCAUCCGAACUCGUUGAGUUGAGUCCGAGUUCACUUAUGGAUGCGAACGCCUGAGCUCGUUGAGUUGAGUCCGAGUUCGCUUAUGGGCGGGUUACAUGAUUGCUUGAUUGCAUAUAUGGCACUUAUGUGCAAGUUAUCCAUGUAUCCGAAUUAUAUUCCGAUGUGUUCAACGGGUAAAGUUCUACUCAAUGGAGGAAUAUUCGAGAUGUAAAGAGAAGUAUUGGUGAGUGAUGUGAAAUGGUUAUUUUGGACAGGUAUGUAUUUAACCCUCGGGUUGAGUAUUGAUACAACCACGAUAAGGUAAUAAGAUGAUGAAAAAUGAUUAAAAAUGUGAUAUGUGUUUUAGUGAUACAUGCUAAUGUUGAUUGGUAUGACUGUUUGUUAUGUUACUUAUUAUUUGCAUAUGAACUUACUGAGAAUUUAUGCUUACUCCCUCCUUCUUACUCAUUGUAGUUUUGGACAAGCCAGCUCAGGAGUUGGGAUAGGUCGAAGGCUCAGUCACACUAUCCGGAAGACUUUUGGUAAUGGCUUGUAAAUUUAAGUAUGGCAUGUAUAGCAAUAUAAUUUUUUUGUGUAAAUGAUCUUAUAGUAUGGUGAUGGAAUGGUUGAGGUAAUGCUUGAUAAUGAUAAAUUAUGAAAAUAUUUAGUUUAGAUUAUAUUUGAUGUUAAGGAAAAUUAUUAAGAUACUUAGUGCAUAAAAACUCAUAAAAGGGAUGAAAUUUGCCAUAAACAGAAUACUGCAGCAACACUGACGCGAGUUUAAAAAUUUACUAAAAAUCAUAGAAAUUGAACUUGGUGAUGGAAUACAUAUCAAAUUGAAGCUUAUUAUGUCUAGUUUCACAUGAAAUAAAUGAAACAGGUAAAGGAAUUAUAUGUUACAAGAUAUUUGAAUUUUAGUGAAACAGGAUCAUAGCAGUUUCUGAAUCCCCUGUUCCAACUUUAGAAAUUCACCAUAAAUUGUAAAGAUAUAAUUAGGUAGUGUAUUUUAUAUUCUCAGAAUCCUUAUUGAGUCUAGUUUCAUUAGAAACAAACCUCAUAGUCAUAUGGAUUUUUUUUAUAGAGAGAAAUGUGGUUCGUAGUAAACAGAGGUCAGACCAGUCAAGUCUUGAAACAGGGGUAACUUUAACUAAUAAACUGUACUAAUUGGCCCAACCAAAAAUUCUAGAAAAAAUUAGUAGAUAGGUAUAUGAGUCUAGAUUUAGGGAAAAUUUACGGAUCUUGAUUUCGAGUUUCGUAACUCGAGAUAUGAUUUUUCUUGUGACUGUGAUGCAAGUAGCUUAAAAGCUGUGAAUGUAGAAAUAAAUAAUCCAAAGUUCUAAAUAUGUUAAAUUAAGCUUAGUAACACCUCAUACUCGACUCCGGCGACGGUCUCGGGCGUGGGGGCGUUACAGUUGGUAUUAUAAAAUGCACCAUAUUAUCCUUCACAACCUUUAAUCCAUGUCAUCCUCCAAACCAAACACCACUUGUUGGAUCACACCUCAAAACCAUAUGCUCAACACCUUUUCCUUCUUCUAUAUUGCAAAUUGGGCAAAUAAAAAUAUUAGAUAUUUUUGUUUUGAAGAGCUCAUUAAUAAUAAGAGAGUUAGUACAUAACCUCCAAACAAUGUGCUUGAUUUUGUUAGGCAUAUUAAGACUCUACAAUAUCCUCCAUAUCAUUCUAUCAACCAACUCAAAAUUAGAAUGACCUGGUUCCACCUUGUCUAGUAUUUUCUUUUUCAUAAUCAGUUUAUAACCUCAUCUAACACUCACCUAAUCAAUUUAUUAAUCAAUAGCUCAUUGAGUUAAUGUUGGCUUCUAUAUAUUAAUUUAGAUAAUGUGGAAGAGUUGUUAAUAUUAAGGUAGUUUGCUUUUUGAAUUUGCUUAAAAGUACUUAAUUGAUAUUUGAACUUUUUCUUUACCUAAUUGGUACCUGGAACUUGUAUUUUUUCACUAAGGUUGGUACCCCCACAUUAAUGCCGUUAGUUUGUGCUGACAUGGUACUGAUGGCCAAUCCUAUAGUGACACGUGGUAGCCUCUCAGUAUGACAUGUGGAUGACAUAAACUAAAAUAAAUUAAAAAUCAAUAAAAAAUGUAAAUUAAUUUAAGAAGUAUAAUAUUUUGGACAAGUUCAGGUACCAAUUAGGCAUUUUUGGACAAGUUCAAUAGGCAAACUACAUGUUAACCCUUAAAAAAUUAACGUUGUUAACAAAUUGGGUAAUGUGUACGACAGAACAUAAAUUCAGGUACCAACUAAGUCUUCAUUUGUUGCACUGAAAAUGGAUUCUAGAAAAUAAUUUCUGGAAAAUGACUAAUUACUUACUUUUUUGGAAAAGCUAAUAUUUUUUGGUGUUUGGAUGAAUUUGUGUAAAAUAUUUUCUGUUGUGUGACAAAUUUCUUGAAAAUAUUUCAUAAAAGUUAUUUUCAAUGAAACAAGCAUACAUUUGAGAUUUAUGAUAAGUAGUGAAUUCAUUACAAAGUCAUGUUAAUGUGAAACUAUAGUAAAUAAUGAAUCUUCAUGAUGUUAAGGAUUAAAUUGUAAACUUUAUGAAAUUUAUAAUUGAAACAAAAGAAAUUACAUGCAUGAAAAUUUGUUAUGUGAAAUAAGAUAUUAUAAUGAAUUAUUUGAUUAAAGUGCUUAUAUGGUGAAAAAAUUACAUGGAAAUAGGUACUAAAUUGAAAAAAGAAAAAAAAGUUUAAGUGUGAAUAUGUGAAUAAGGAAAUUAUGAUAAAAGUUUAAUGAAUGUGUUAUGAGACGAUGAAAUAUGCAUAAAGUAUUGUAAAAGUGAAAUUGUGGAAAAAUAUGGAUUUUUUUAUGAUGACAAGGACUAAUUGUAAACUUGAGAAAAUAUGUGGAUGAAAUAAUAGAAGUGAAAUACAUAGAAAUUUGAUAUGUGAAACAAGAUAUUGACAUAAAUUAUGUGAUUAAAGUGUAACGAGAAAGAAAAUUAGUUUAAUAUGAUCAAUUAGUGAAUGUUGAACUUUUAUGACAAAAAUAGGCUAAAUUGAAAAUUUAUGAAAGUUUAUAAGAAAAUAUUUGAUAAGUGAAGAAUGUAGUAGAGAGUGUAACAUCCCGAUGCUUUGACCCGAUGCUCGGGUCAAGUAUGGAGGUAUUACAGUGAUUAGAGCCUUAUUAAUUUGGAAAAUGUCUUAUGGAAAAAAAAAAUUAGUAAGACAUUUUACAGGAGUAUAAAAAAACUUUUUCGAUAUCAUCUAAGUACUUUUGGACAAAUUCAGAAAAUAAACUACGCAUUAAUCGUUAAUAUAAUUAUAGGUGAUUUAUAAAUAUGAUUUGAUUUUUUUAUAAAAAUGUGCCAUACUAAAAACAAUUACUCUUCAAAGGCAAAAAGUUAUAAAUAAAUAAAUAAUGUACAGUAAUUGAUUAAUAAAUAUGAUUGAAUUUGAUGUAGUAUACUCCAUCGCAUAGAGACAUGGGAAGUUUAAAUAUUGGACAAAAGCAUAGAGACAUGAUGCAUGUACUCCAUUGGAAUGGAAAGUUCAAAGAACAUGCCCCCACCCUAUUGCUCGUGACCUUUGCCAAAGCUUUGGCUGCUGUCUAGUGGCUUGUAGUGUCAAAGCACUUUAUUUGUUGGCCUAUCUAUUUCUGUCAUCUUUUCACUUUGAAACACUUUGUUUUAAAGCUUUCAAUAUUAAUGGCAGCUAUUUUACAUUCGCUACUCUUUGUACUUAUCAUCGUUAAAACCUUUUAUUGAUUUUAUAAAUGCUUAAUCAUAAAUUUGGUUAUUAACAAUUACAUGUUUUUGUUAAAAUAGCCUAAAUUAUAUUUUUGAGUAUUUUUUUAUUAUCAAUCUUUAUUCUUUUUUUUUUCAAAUUAUUUUUUAAUAGAUUUGAUGAAAGUACUAUUAAAAAAUUAACAGGAUGAUAUGGAAUUUCAUAUAUAAAAUAUUUUUAAUAAGAUGUAAUUUAUUACUUAGAUAACUUAAUAUAGUAAUUACAUUAGAAAAUAAUAAAAUAAAUAAAUAAUUAAUGAAAUUAAAAAAUAAAUCUUAAUUUAAAGAAAAUAAACGUAAUUAUCUAAAAAAAAGUUUCAAAAUGAAUGCACACAUUCAGUAUUUUCAGUUUGAUUUAUUAAUUAUCUUUUUGAAACCUUUUAGUAAGCAAAUGUAUGAAUUCAUUUCAAAACCUUUUUCUAGAUAAUUACGUUUAUUUUCUUUAAAUUAAGAUUUAUUUUUUUUAAUUUCAUGUAUGAUUUGUAAUGGCCCAAAUUUCAGUGAUAUCGGAACAGUGAUUCGAGAUCACUAAAUCUGAUAUGUGAGUUUAGAUAUUAGUAAGUAAAUGCUAUGUGUGGUUUUAGAAAUAAUUUUGAAUUAGUGAAAUUAUGAAUUAAAAGAAAUUUGUAGAUUAAAUAAGAUAAAAAUGAGGUAUCGAGACCUCAAAUUCAUGAACAGAGCCAUAAGUAUUUUUAGAAAUAUUUAUGGAGUGUUAGUAAGUUAGUAUUAAAGUUUCGUCAAGAAAUUUUAAGGUUUCGAUAGUCAAUUGGGUAAAAAGGACUAAAUUGAAUUAAGUGUAAAAUUAUGAAAUAUGAUUAAAUAACUCUAGUAAUAAUUAAAGGAGGACUAAAUAGGCAAUUAAACACCUAUUGUUGGGCUAGACGGCAUGAGUGUGCAGGAAAAAUAACAAUCAAGUAUGAACAAGGGGCAAAUUUGGAAAUAGGGUAAAAAUUAAAUUGUAAAAUAUGAUAUAUUAGAUAAAAUCUAGAGUUUUCUUCAUUUUUCUUCAUCUUCUCCAGAAAAAACACCAUUGAAGGGUUCUUUUAAGUUUGUAUUUCAUAUUUUAUUACAUGUAAGCUCAAUUCUUGAUUAUUUCUUGUAAUUUUUGUGAUUUUGAGACUUUUACAACUAGGUCCUAAUAUAUAAUUCAUUAGUUUUUGCUUUUAUGAAUAUUUUAGAAAGUUACUAUGAGUAAGAUCUGAAAUUUUAUGAUAAAUUAUCAUGGAAUUGAAGUUUUAAUUUUAUUAUAUGAUGAUUUUGUGAAGAGAUUUUCAUAGAAAUUAAUUUUAGGACCUAAUUGUGAAAGUUGUUGAAAUUAGGGUUUUGUGUUGAAGCUUGGAAUGUCAAAUACUGUGAAGUUGUUUGUAGAGUUUAGAUAAAAUGAUAUUUGAAAGGAAUUAGUUUAAUUGAUGAAUGAAUUGAGCAGGGACUAAAUUGUAAAAAUUGAAAAGUUUGGGGUAAUUACGUAAUUUAAAAAAUUUAAGGGCAUAAAUUGUGAAAUAGAAUGGAAUUGAAAUAGAUGCUAAUGAAGGAAUGAUUUUAUAAUUAUAGAUCAAGAAAACAAAGUGAAUCGUGGAAAGGAGAAAAUUUAAGAAUAGUCCCUGAAUUUCUACGACUUUUGCAAAUUAGCCCAGGUAAGUUCAUAUGGCAAAGUUCAAUUUUUGAUAUGAAAAUCUUAUGAUUGUUAAAGUAUUUUAUUGUAGAUGAAUACUAUCAAAUUGUAUUAACUAAUGAAUAAUGUGUAACUAAAAGAACAAAUUAGUUGGAACAAUGGUUUGAGUGCUUUCAUUUUAUGACCAUAAUGAAUUAACGGAAAAGAUGUGAUAUGUGCUUCCGUAUAAGACCAUAGCUGGGUUAUGGCAUCGGUACAAUGUGAUUCGUGUUCCUGUAUAAGACCAUAGCUGGGCUAUGGCAUCGGUGUGAUGUGAUAAUAUGAUUCCGUAUAAGACCAUAUUUGGGAUAUGGCAUCGGUAUGAUAUGUGAUCCGUGUAAGACUAUGCCAGGGCUAUGGAUUCUGUGUGUGAUGUGUGACAAUGUGAAAGUCCAUAGUUUACUAUGGCAAUGUGAUAAUAAAGCACUCAAUUCCCUUAUUGUUCCCUAAUUUGAAAAUGGAAAUAAAUGAGAAAUGGGCCCAAAGGAGUUAAAUUUGUGAAUAGCAACAUGGAAAUUAUGCAAAUGAGUUUAUUAAUGAAAUUGUGAUUUGUAGGAUGAAUUAGUUAAACUAAUAGAUAUAUAAUUGUGUUCAAUAUUUGGUAAGAUUUGUGUUUUUAUGCCUAUGAGCUUACUAAGCUUUUAUAAGCUUAGUUGUGUAUGAUAUUUGUUUUGUAGAUUGACUUAUAUACAUACGGAGGAUCGGAUCUACAUCAAGGAUCACACUAUCCAAAUUUACUCCGGUAGAUUUUGUUAAAUAACUUUUUGAUUUAUAUGGCAUGUAUAGGAGUUGAUUUGAUAAUGUAAUUGUGUGAAUGAUUAAGUAUGCAAAGCAUGUUGAAUGUGAUGUUUUAUGUUAGAAAAUGAAAUAUACAUGUUUUGGUUUGAAAUAAUUGAUUGGUUGGAUUCUAUUAGUGUAUAGUUGUGUUUAAGUAUAGGAAAUGGAUAGAUGAAUGUUAUUUGAUCAAGAUUUUAUAUGUCAAUGUUUUGGGCAUGAUCUAGUGUGUUUGACAUGUGAAAAUAGCUUUAAAAUGGUGAAAAAUGAGGUUUUCACACGGCCAAGUCACAUAGGCGUGUGCCCAGGCCGUGUGGCAAAGUCAGGAUUGCCCACGGGCUAAUCCCACAGCCGUGUGAAGAUCUGCCCACGGGCUGGCCCCACGGCCAUGGGAGCCCCACGGCCAGGCCACACGGGCAUGUCCCAAGGCACACGGAUGUGUGCCCCUAUUCUCAAGGAAAAGUUUCCAAAGUUUCCGGUUUAGUCCCAAAUCAUUUCCUAAGCAUAUUUUGGGCCUUGUAGGUCUAUAUUAGGGACUUAAAGAUGAAAUUUGAGAAAUUUUAAAUUGAAAUACAGAUUUAUCACUCAAUUUUGUUCGUUAAUUAUUGUUUAAUUCAGGUAGCACCUCGAACCCUACUUUGGAGUCGGAUACGGGCGAGGGGUGUUACAUGAUUUAUUUAUUUUAUUAUUUUCAGAUGUAAUUAUCUUAUUGGGUUACCUAUGUAAUAAAUUACGCCUUAUUAAAAAUAUUCCACAUCAUCCCCGUUAAUUUUUUUAACAGUACUUUCAUCAAAUCUAUUAGAAAAAAUAGUUUGAAAACUAAACAAACAUCGAUGGCCGAAAAAGGCUCAAAAAUACAAUUAGAACUAUUCUGACAAAACAUGUAAACGUUAGUGGCCAAAUUUGUCAUCAAGCCUUUUAUAAAAGACAUUAUGACCUACAAAAUAAACACAAACUUUUAAAGGUUAGUUAUCACAUCCCAAAAAUUAGGUUAGAAGAAAUUGAGUUAGUAAACUAGAAGUUUACUUGUUCCAACUUUUAAAGUUAUGUUUCAACAAUUAUGGAAAAAAUGAGUUAUUGGUCUGGUGGUUAAGAGUUAGUGAGUUCAUCUUUGAAACCCAAGUUCGAUUCCCUCGCAUCAUUCUUAUUCAGUUGAGCUUUGAAUGCCGCCCCAAACAUUGUGUCUCUCUCCAUUGUUGUGUCGUCACUUUGCCUAUUAUUUUUGCUGCCAUUUUUCCAACCAUAUUACUAAUAUUUUUAAUCAUUAAGCCUUAAAACCCUCCUUUGUGUCGCCCAAAAUUAGCCUCUUCUUGAUGCCAUUAAACCUCUAUUGUCGCCAUUCUCCUCUACUCAUAAUGGUGCUUGUUUGUUCCAUUUUCCCUCUCCUUUCUUUUUCUUCUGUUGUCAAUUAUUAAUGAUGUUUUUACAGAAAAUUUAUUACUGUUUACAGCCUCUAAAAGUCAUCCCUAUUGCUACCAAAAAUCCUUCCUUAUGCCGAUCCUAAAUCGGUCCCUUUGUUGCCGCCGUUGGAAGCGUUGCUACCCUUGGAGCACCAUUGUUUUGGUUGUUGUUUUUCUUUCCAUUUGUUGCACAUCCUUGUUGUCAUUUUUUUCACUUUUUCCUUGUUUAAAAAGCCUAUUACCUUGUUGUUUUAGUGCGCAUUCGAUUUCAUUUAAAUCGUCAUCAUAGAUCUAGUCUUCGAGAAGCGUAAGUGUUAUUUUUUGGUUAAAUAUUGUGUCAUUUUUCUCCUCUAUUAUGUUAUAUUAUGGCCGAUUUUCAUUAGUAUCAUAUGAUUUUUGAUGAUUUUUAUGUUGAAGGAUCAAAUCUAAACUCCUUUGGUCAGCAAUGAUGACAAAUCUAAUUCACAUUUUUGUUUAGUAGCGAAAAAGUGUAAGUUGAUCUAUCGAAGUUGGAUCCAAAGUGUCGCUUAUGUCGUAUUGAUUGGACGAACCCCAUAAAGGUGUUUUAGGCUGAUUCUAACAUUGACUUGUCCAUGUGUGUGUUUAGAUUCGUUCGUUUUGAGUCAUGGGAAAUGGCGGAUUCACAAUUGGCACUGCGGACUUGUGUAAUUUAGGUGUGGGACUUAGUUAAAUGUGAAUUGUGAAUGUGAGUACUUUUUGUCUAAUUUGGCCAAAUGUUAAAGGCCCUAUUUAGGAUCGCCUGAAUGUGAAAUUGUCAUAUGUGAUUGACAGAUGGUUUGUUAUUAUUAAGGUUAAUCAUUUGUGUUUGUGACGUGCACUGCAUUGUAUAUUAUGAAAAUUGUUAAUAUUCAUUAGAUGCAUGUAUAACAUGAGACUCUAUGUGACACUGCUUGAAUUGAAUAAUAAGUAUGCCCUGACUGUAUUGUAUAUUGUCUGUUUGUUACAUGUUAUGGAUGCCAUUGAUUGAUUGAUUAAAAGUGUACAAGUCAUACACUGAAAUUUUUAUCGAAAACAUGUUAAACAUGCCAUUGUUUUGCACUAUAACUAUUUUUGUCAUGCAAGAUUGUGUUUCAUUCAUGGCAUAUCAUAUUGCAUUGCAUGAGAAUUGGGAUUGAUGGAUGAUAGAAGAGUUCUAUGGAGUUUUUGUAGCAUUUAAAGUUCGCAAUAUUGUUGUUAGUGCACUGCACCGGAGUAUUGUAGGAGGUAUUGGAUAUUGGAGGCUUGACCACAUCAUUGACAACAUAAUCUGCAUCUUAUUGACAGCUUGUUUGCAUUAUUGGUGGUUUACCGCAAUUUGUUAUUCACAAUUUAUUUGCAUAUCUGGUGGCUCAUCCACAUUACCGAUAGCUUGUCUACAAACUGUUAUUGGUGGUUUAUCCACAGUAAGCUAUAGCUCCUAAUUAUUUUGGUGAUUUGGUAGACGGGUUAAGAGGAACUUAUUGUGUGUAGCUGAUGGAUGGGUAAAACCUUAUUGUAUUGUCAUUCUUUAGCAUGCUUAUGCAUAACGAUUGAAGGCAUCAUGAUUCUGUGAAUACUGUGUACUACUUUGAUUACCGAUAAUCUCUUAGCUUUUGUUCUCAAUUGUUAAAUGAGUUUCUUGCAUGAUUUGUAAGUUUUACAUACUUUGUUUGUCUUUGAUUAAGACUCCCACGGGCUUUUUAAGCUCAUCCCGUUAGUUUUAGAUUUUUCAAGUUGUCCACAAGGUUAAGGCUCAAAUUCGGCAAUUUGGAGGUCUCAUCUCGGUUUUUAUUAAAUAAAUUAUUUUAUUUUUGUAUUUAAUUGGUUUGUAAUAAUUAAUUUUUAUGAAUUGUGGCAUGAGUUUAGAUUUUGGGAUAUAUUUAGUUAUUGCAUGCAUGAACGUUAAGACUUUGAUAAGUUAAAUAAUUGACUGUAUUAAUAAUUGGUCAUUAAAGUUAGUAAUUAUGGUUUUAUUAACAAAUUGUGAACACUGAUUUUUCCAUUGCAAAACUGGAUUUUUGGAAACUUUGAAUAACAAAUAAUGGUUAAAUAUGUAAUAUGUUUUUAAACUUAAAGUGAAUCUUUUAAUUGGAAUUUUAAUUGAACUUGGCAAAAAGAAAUGCCCACUACGAUCUUCUGAAAAAUGAGCGAAUGCUUUGAAAAUAAGUUAAUGAGAGUUCACUUGAUUCUUCUGGGCCAUUUCGACAAUCGAUGUGACCUUCAAAAUCCGGUCAUAACUUUUGGGCCAGGCUGGGGAAGUUAUAUUAAUUUUACUGGUGAUUUUAAAUUAUUUGUUAUCUUAAUUUGUUUAUUUGCUCAAAAUGAAAAUUUAAUGGAAGUGUUAGUAUGUACUGAUCACUACGGUUUAACAUCACAAAAAACUAUGCAAACAAAACAGAAAUAACACAGAGGUUUGUUUGCGCAGUUUGAUUUCCCUAAGUCUAUAGAGCCUAGCUAGCUUAGUGAGUAAUUUCACUAUUUUAUCACAAAUACAACAAGUAAAUCAUACUUUAUCACUCCCCAAGUAUUGAGAUCUCACCUUUGUACCUAAAAACUAAAACACUCACCUUCAGAUCAUUCCUUUACAAACUUAGGCAGUAAACACUUCACCAACAUUUUGCACUCUCUUACAAAAAUGCUCCUCAAUAAACAAAUUAGAAUGCACUCAAUAAGCUCUCAUCACAUAACCUAGACAAGCCUCAAAGCAUAUAUCAAUUUUGGCUUGCUAACAUAGAAUCUAGUUGAAUACAAAGUAACUCAUUGAAAAUAACUAAUACAUCAAGAAUAAUCAAAACAAAAUCACUUGAAGAUAUGCUCUCUAAAAUCAACAGCACUAUCUCAAUCAAGUCUUCACAUUCAAAGGAUUUAAUUGAUUCACUCGAAUCCAAUAUUCAAACUUCAAGUAUUAGUUUUCAUAGAUGAACCAAAGUAUCUUGAAAAUAAUAGCACAUAACCAAGUUCAAAGAACCAAAUAAAGCAAGUUUUAAAGCAUUUCAGUGAUGGUAUGCAAUUGACACUACCAAGUGCUACUCAACUAUUUUCCGCUCAUUUUGCCUCAACAGAAAUUUAAAUUAAUUAUUUCAAAUUUUGAAAUGUUUCUAUUUUAUUCACAAAUAAGGUGUAGUUUCAAUAAGAAUUUUCUAUUAAUUUAAUCUUCAUCAAUUUAAAUAUAAUAUUUAGAUCUUAAUUUAUAAUUUAAUCCAUAAUUUUGAAAAUUAUGGCAACUUUAAAUAUUAAAUUUAUUAAAUAUCAUCAUUUAAAAAUAAUUAUAUAAAGAAAUUCAAUUUAAAUUUUUUUAUCCAUAUUUUAAUUAUCAAAUUUUUAUUUGGUUAAUAUAUAAAGAAAUUUAAUUUAAAGUUUUUUAUCCCUAUUUUAAUUAUCGAAUUUUUAUUUGGUUAAUUUAGUCAUUCCAAUUGAAUUAAUUUCAUAUUCUAGUCACUUAAACAAGAAUGACUAAAUUAAUUAAAAAAAUGAUAACCAAAAACAUGCUAAAACUUGAUUAUCCAAAUAGUAUACCUUUCUUUUAUUAUUAUUUAUAAAAGGAAAAUUUAGAUAAAAGGAGGAAAUGAGUUCAUAAGUCUAGGAUUCGGCUCCUGAGUUUGGCUGGGCUGUAUCAUGUCUUUUAGAUUUUUUGAAUUGUUUAUAAAAAUUUUAUUUGAUUCAGUAUGAUUCUGCAUUGUUUCAUAUUAAUUUUAGAUUUUGAGGUUUAAUUUAGAUUUUAUUUUGAUAAAAUAGGGUUGUUUUAUAAUUUUUGAAUAUUAAUUGAUAAGUUUUAAAAAUUUUCAUAAAUAUUUCUAUAAAAACCAUAAAAUUUUAAGUAAAUAAAAUAUAAUCAGCUUAGCAAAAAAAUAAAUAAAAAUAAUCAAUAACUAUUAUGUAAUAUCUUGAAAAAUAAAUUUUUUAUAAAAUACUGUUAUGUUACUUUUAUUAUUUUAAAUAUAAAACAUUUAUCUUAUUAUAAUUAAAAAAAUUAAUUAUAAAUUAAAUAAAGUAUAGAAAGCAGUUUUUUAAUUUAUAAAAUAUAACCACCCAAAUAGUAUCAUUUCGGAUCGAUUUUUAAUCUCUAGUAUUUUCUAAAUCCUCCCCCAGGACUUGAAAAACUGUGAAGGUGGUCUAGUUCAUACUUGGGUCAAGGCAGUUGAUUUUAACAAACCGACUUUAUUGUCGUUUAAGCAUUUGGGGUAGAGUAGCUUACUUUCUUUGUGUACCAUCCCUUUCUUUUAACUUUUCUUUAUCCCUACAGGAACAGAAAAGAUCCAUACCAUAUUGUGGAAAAGGAAAGGGCCUUUCUAAUGCCUCCAAGGGCCUUGCAUCUCGUGUUUUUUCUUUUCUUAAUUAACCAUAAUGACACCAGUUUUAUUAUCAAAUUUGUUGCCAAAUUAUUUCUUUAUGCAAACUAAGAUGAUGAAUCAGAAAACUGAGUCACCAAAUCAAUGCAUGCAGUGAUUGUUGUAAUACUUGAAUUCUGAUUUGAGAAACCCGACAUUGGUGUAAAUGUGAUAUAUAUAUAUACACAGGCUGAUUGUGUUAAUACGUCGAUUAAAUACUACAAUGAAGCGAAAUGAGCAGUUUGCUUGAGCAAUGAAGAAGAUGAUGCUCGAUCUAAGAGGGACGCAAGUAGAGCUUCACAAAACGAGGGGAAAAAUGGAGGUUAAGUCUAAAACAAGGGGAGGUGGAAAAAUGUUGCAUGUGUUUUGAUCCUUUCUCGAUACAAAAUGCAUCAGUCGUCGUGUUCUUUUGCUGCCAUGCUUAUCACACGACUUGUUUGAUGGAUUCUACUGAAACUAAUAGCACCAACAAAAAAGGGACUGGAGUCACCUUUGAGGGGUUAUAUGAGUACGAGCACGAUGAGGAGGAGGAUGACAAUGGUAGCGAGGCCAGAGAUCCUCGGAUGCGAUGUAUUCUAUGUACUACAGUUACGAGUUAAAUUUGGUUUGCAGGCCUUUAUAUGUGCGUGUGGUGUUUGGGUGUGCGUGCUUUUUGCUGGCAAAUUUUUUUCCGGUCGUGGUUUAGGUUUUGCUUACCUUGUGCUCCAGCCUGUUGACAUUCAUCAUUCUUUCUUUCUUUCUUUUGCCACCUUCUUCUUAUUCUCUUGAAUGCUGUUGUGCCUCAAUCAGUGGCAACUUUUGUAUUAUAUAGAUCCCUCAUCCAUGUAACUAUUGGAAUGUGUAAUUAAUCCUUCUUGGCGGUUGAUGAUUUAUGUAGUGUAUCUUGCACUCUAAACAAAGUUUUCAAUGACAUAAUAUGCUAUGAUUUGCAGCGAGAGCUUGACCACUAUCACAAUCCGUUUUUCAUACACUGAGAAAGUUGUGGAUAAAAAGAUCAUUGUUGGCACGAGUUGGAUCAAAGCUUAGGGUAAUUUUUUAUUAUUUUGGUUGACUUUUGUUGAUACAUCUUUGCUUCUCGCUUUAAAGGUCUGCUUCAAUAGAUAGAGGUCUUUAUGUCAUUAAUUACUAUUAUUAUAUGAACCUUAUUCAUGGUUGGGACGUAUAUCAUUGGAAUACUCGGGAAAAAGUUGAUGAUAUGAUUAUACAUUAAAGGAGAAUUGAGUAUAUCUUAUGUAUAUUUGUAUUCAAUAUUUAUUUUAUAGUGUUAUUUUUGUCACUGACUAAUUCUUUCGCUCCGGCUUUACUUUGAAAAGAUAGACAGGUUGAUAAAAUAUGUGCUUCAUUCUUGUAAACAAGAUCAAACUUCUAACCACAUAGUUAAGAAAUAAAGUGAACAAUCUCCACACCUAAACUUUUUAUUACCAUACGUGUUUUAGCUGUAUUUUGCAUCAUGGGAUCCUUAAUUAGGAACAUGAAAAUAGAGAAUACCAAGUAUAGCAUGCACUUAGGGUAAAAUGGGCGCUGCUAAAGCAUUAAUGAUUAGUGAAGCUCAGUUGAUAUUGGAUUCAUCGAUGCCUGAAAGUUCCUCCGAAAAGGAAAGAGUGAGAAAUCUUAUAAUCACAUCACAUCCCUUUCUUAACUUCUUGUUGUUGGAUUGUCAACAGUACCUUUUUCUUAAAGUGUAGGUGUUUAGCCAGCAUUGUGGAGACUUGGAUUCCAUUUGUGUUAGAGUUAAGCAUCCAUUUGAACCUAACUGCAGCUGAGCAUUAAAAAAAGGAAGAACCAGUUAAGCCAUUGAGCAAGAGGGAAAUACCAACUUUAUACAUUGGUAUUCUGGACUGGGCUUGGGAUUGCCCUUAGAUUCUAAAGGGUGACUACAGUCUUCGUGAGUAAUAUCACAUCGUCCUUUUGGGAGGUUCAGAAGGAUUGUCGAUAUCUGUAUCCUUGUAAAAAGGAGUAGGUUGGGGAAGAGAAAGGGUUUUGUUCAAUUUGAGUUUUUUUUCCAGGUAAACAGAGCAGUGAUAAACCUUAAUGGCCAUACAGACGGAGUUCAAGGUUAGUAACUAGGCCUACUGAUAAUGGGCCAUCAGACCCAAGGAAAACCAAAUUGGAAUUGAGGUUUGAAUCCAAAUCGAUUACUAGAUUCAAAACUGUAGAAAUGGUUGGCAGUGAAGAAGAUGAGAACAUUAGUCGAAAUUGAAUCUGGGGUUAGAUAUAUAUAAUUGGAAUUAGCUGAGAUUGUGUUUGGCAAAUAAUGGGUAGGGAGGCGGAACAAAAGGGAAUUUCCAGAAACGGCUUGUUUAUCUUAUUCUAUUUUACUGAGCUUUCUUUCUUAUCCUGAUUUUUGCUCACUUGCCAUUUUACUCUUAGGAAUUACUUGUGUUAUGCUUUCUUAUUGAUUUUUUUUUAUUUGUUGCUUCUGUGAGCAUUAGUAGUUUUUUUUAUUCAUGUUAAAGUUGGAUCAAAUUGACCAACUGAAUCGAUCAGAUUAGAAAUAGACAGAUUUGAAGAUUGAAUUAUCCCACCAAACCAAAAAAUAUUCAGAGCACUAAAAACCAAUUGAAUCAGGUAAGAAACCAAGUUCAUCAAGCUUCAUCUUCCUAUGCUGCUUUCAUCAGGCUCCAAAAAUUUAUAUAUUAUUAUUAAUUUAAAAUUAGGAUUAAAUUGAAAUAAUUUAUAAUGUUGAGGGUUAAUUCUUUUAAAAUUAUGAUCAAAUUGAUAUAAUAUGUAAAAAUUAAGGUCUAAAUUUAUAUCAAAAGCUUAACGAGAAUAGACCAAAAACAAAUUUGAUUAGAUAGGUAAUUAUUUUGAAAAUUUUAAAAGUUAAGCAACUAAGAAAAAACUUAAACAUAGGUGAAUAACUUAUAAUGUGAUUUAUCCAAAAAUUUAUACACAAGCUUCUAUGCUAUACAAAAUUCAUGGAUACGCACAUAUGACGACAUAAGGAUUAUAUAUUAAGAGAAAAUAAAAGUUGAAAAAAUAUACGCAAUUUCAUUUACAUAUUCUGAAGUUGCUAUCACAGGAUAAAUUUUACAAUGAUUCUGGUCCCCUUCGGCCCUCUCCCAUCAUUUCAUGAUCUCGCUCGUGAAUGAGAUAAAUGGAGACAAUCAAGUAUAAGCCCAAAACCAUUUAGCUGAAAAAGAUUGUGUGCUUCAAAGAAUAUUCUUUCCAAGUUUUCUACGUAAGCAACCCACUGUAAACAUAAUUUCAUUUUAUAUAUUUGUAUAAUUUUUUAAAUGAUUUAUAAUUUAAUUUAGCUAUAAAUUAUAUAAAAUUUUAAAUCAAUCGGACAUUUUUGGAUGUUAUUAAUUUUAAUAUAUACUUAUGGUUGAAACUUCUUUUAUCGAAUAAAUAGUUAUAGCCUUAUAACUUUUUUAAAACUCGACUUAUGCAAUCUAAGUUUAAUAAAAUAUGAAAUAAAAUAAAUAUAAAUGUAUAAAAAGUUUUGCAAUUAUGUAAAAUUAAGUUAAGUUUACACUAAUGGAAGUUAAUUCCUCCUCCGUAUAAUACAUAUAUUACGCAUGCAGAUGAGCAAUAGUUGGGAUUGUGGGCAUGAAAUGAGAUACGCGUUCUGGUAGCUAGCGUUGUUGGGAAGGAAUUAUAAAAGUUCAAAACAUCAUUAAAAUAUAAUAUAUAAUCAUAUGUAUACGAGUUUAUGAAAGCUAUUUUAAUAGCUUAGGAUCAAAUUAGGACUAAAAUGUAAGCAUUUCAAACUAUCGAGUUGACUUGUGACUUCGGGGGUUUAAGGUCGUGACGCAACUCACCAACUUGCCCUCGUUGUGACAUUGCGAGCUUGACAUCGCGACAUCACUCGUUGUUUCCAAAAGGUCCAUAUAGUACCAAUUCAGAACACUUAAAACAAUUGCAUAUUUGAUUCAUUUCAACUAAUAUGCCAACUCUAGUCACACAAAAUAAGUCAUAUCCCAAGUUUAAUUUAACAUUUACAAUCAAAACUUCUAAAUUGACCAUUUACUAUAUCAAGCUGACUCAAAACCUAGGUAUAUGUCGUUUAUCGAAGACAAAAAUAACUAUAAAAACAUUGUUAAGUUGAAGGCUGCAUAUUAGAUGUUGAUUCACUUCUUGGAACUUCGAGAUCCACCUAUACUUGCACACAAAAUAAACAAAUCGGAUGCUGAACAGUAAACUUUAGUGGUACUUUUAUGAUUUAAGACAAUAUAACAAUAGCUUUAACCAUAUAAAUACAACUAAUUCAUGAUUCAUUUGAUUCAAAUAUAUAGGGAAAUUUUUUUUAUAGUACAUUUUUUUUAUACAUGCUAAAAAAAUGCUUAUUUUUAUUUAUAUAUAUUGGUGUAAGUUAUAACUACAUGCUACACCACCAGGCGUAACUUAAGAAAAAAGUUGACAGGACAUAUAACUUAUCUUAUCUGUUAGCAUGUUUGACCAACAUGUCUUGAUUAUUUACUUAUUUAUUAUUGGGGAUUUUGAGUAGUGGAUCUUCCAAGGAGAAUGGAUCAAGUAAGAUUAGUUUUCAUGAAUCCUAGUGUAUUCUACUUAUUAGAUAAUGAUUUUAAUAUAAAGUCAAGCAAAGACUCUUUUGCAAACAUUCAAUGUGAUCAUGUUUCUUUAUAUGAAGAUAUGGCUUACUAUAACAUUUAGCACUAGAACUUGACAAUUUUUCUCAAUUUGGUACCUAAGUUUUUUUUUUGUCCAAUUCAACACAUAAGCUUGAUACUUUUUCCCUAAUCUGGUACUUGAGUUUUUUUUUUGUCUAAUUUGGUACCCUAAACUUGACACUUUGUCUUAAUUUGGUACCUAAACUUUUUUUUAUCCAAUUUGGUACCUAAACUUGUCAAAUGUUAUACAAAGUACCUUAAAACACCUAAGGUGUUAAUUAUUUUUAUGAGCAACAAAAAUAGCUAAUGUAUAACUGAUAUGUAGCAGAAGACAUUGAAUUUAAUGGCAAGAAUGAUUACAUUUAUUUGGAUUUUCCUCUAUUCUAUUAAACAAUAUGUAACAGUCCGAUUUAAGGCCUAGUCGGAACAGUGGUCUCGGGACCACAAAUCUGAAGUUAGAAAAUUUAUUUCAUUACAAUUAUGAGGUUAUAACAUGUUUAUAAUAGUGCAUGAAAAAUUUGGUUAGUCAAUUUUAACGUUUGUGAGCCCAAUUGCGAAAAAGAACUAAAUCACAUAAAAGGUAAAAGUUACUUUUUAGCACCCAAAAGAGUUAAAUACCUAGAGAACUAAAAUUAGGGGAUUUUAAAGAGUAAUUUGACCCCUAUAAGCAAGGUGGCCGGCCAUAGGAAGCAAAUUUAGUCAAAAAGUCAAUGUUAGGUGACUUGAUGACAUAAUCCUAUGAUAAAAUAAUACCUAAGUUGCCUAGCCUUCAUCUCUUUCAUCCCAUUUCUUCUUCUUUGGCCGAUUAUAUCAGCAAAAAUAGGGGUUUCAAGCUCUCAAAAUUUCAUAAAUUUAUUCCUCUCAUAAUGUAAGUGAUCUUCAUGACUUUCUUGAUGAUUUUUACAUUUUUGGCAUGCUUGUUUCAUGGGCUUUCAUAUGAGAGGAAUAUUUUGAAAAGUGGUGAUAAGUCUAGGGAUUUUACAUGAGAGAGUUUAUGUUGUUUCAUGAAAUUUUAUGAAAGAAAAUAAUUCUUAGAAGAGUUCUAAACAACUUUUGUGAAAGGUGUUGGCAUGAAAACACCUAAAGGGACAAUUUUGCAUAAGUUGCAAAAUAAGUUGCAAGUGUGUGAAAUAGUGAGGUUUUGGGGCUGCUAUAAGAGUAAAAAGAGUUUGGCUAGACUUGAAAUAUGAAGAAAUUUGAUAAAAAUCGAUUUUUGAGCAUAGGGGUAAAAUGGUCAUUUUGUAAAGUUUUAGGGGUAAAAUGGUCAGUUUACCAAAGAUGUGAAAUUAUGAAUGACUAAUUGUAAUUAAUGACUAAAUGAGUACAUUUUUGCUAUUAUAGAUCAAGAUUUAUGAAAACCGAGCCUAGAUCGGGGCAAAGCCAAGCAAUCCGAUUAAGCCGUCUAGUCAAGUACUUUUUGUAAAUCGAGGUAAGUUGUAUGUAAAUAAUACAACUAUAUUGUUAAAUGCAUGUAUUCGAUUGUUAUUUAUUUUGAUAUAUUAUGAAUUUCUAGAUUUUGAACUGAGUAUGCAUAUUUAUGAUUGAGAAAGUAGAAAGAUCCAGUGAGAACCCCAGGGAACAAAUCGGAUGUUCAUGCCAUAACAUUGGGUUAUGUGAGAGCCAGUGUAAGACGUGUCCGGGACAUGCAUCGGCUAAGCUUCGUGCUAGUGUAAGACAUGUCUGGGACAUGCAUCCGCACUUACACACGAGAGCUAGUGUAAGACCAUGUCUAGGACAUGGCAUCAGCCUCAAUGAAGAUACCCAGUGUAAGACCAUGUCUUGGACAUGGCAUCGGCAACUUAACCCAUGUUUGAGGCUUAUAGAAUAUCCGGUAGCAUUCCAACCUUAAGAGUUAAGAAAGAGAUUUAAUCAGAAAAGUAUGAUAAUGUUUUGAGUGUUACAGGUACCUAUUUUGGUAUACAUGUGUAAUGAUCUUAAUUAGAAAAUGUGACUUGAAUGGACGGUAAUGAGUAAGUCAAGUUAUGCUUACUUUCUUUCCUUUCUCUUUUCUUUCAGUACUGCCAAAUUUCUUAAGGAUCCCUUGAAGUCAGAGAUAUCGAUCACACUAUCAGCCGUAAUACUCGGUAUAGUUGGAUUUAUAUUUUUUAUUAUGGCAUGUAUAGGGCUAGAAUAGGAAGUUGUAUUAAUGAGAAAUUAUUUAUGUAUAUUGGCUUAAGAUAAAAGCAUUUUAUUUUGUAUUAAGCCUAGAUAAUGGCUAUUAUUUAUUUUGGUAAAUGUAUGUGAUGUUCCUUCUAUGAAUGAAUUGAUGUCUUUUGGGAUGGAAUUAGUAUAUUGAAAUGAUCUUGUGUAGGUUGUGCAAAAUGGCUUGGAAGAUAGCCUAGUUUGUCCACACGGGCAAGACACACGGGCAUGUGUCUAGGCCGUGUAUGACACACGGCUCACCCCAUUAAGUGUGUGCUAUGGCCGUGUGUCCCCUGCACUUAAACUUUUAAGUCAGUAUUGUCCACGGGUAGGCCACACGAGCAUGUGCCAUAGCUGUGUCUAUAAGUCAGUAUUGUCCACGGGUAGGCUACACGGACGUGUGUCAUGGCCGUGCCCUAAAGUCAGUGUUGCACACGGGCUAAGGGCAUGGGCGUGUCUCGAGUCACACGAGCGUGUGGAACCCUAAGGCAUGAACUUUUCCAAGUUUUUCUUAAGUUCUCAGUUUAAACUUCAACCAUCUUGAAUGUAUGUUUUGGGUCUUGUAAGUCCUAUUAAGGGACAGAUUAAGUAUGAAAUGAGAAGUUUUAAAUUGAUAAAAAUUUUAUAGCCCAGUUUUACAUGCGUAUGCUUGAGUUAAGUUAGGUGACACCUCGAACCCUGUCCCGGCAUCGGAUACAAGCGAGGGGUGUUACACAAUAUGUUUGAAUUUUACUUUUCUGUGGAGUUGAGACUUCUUUGAUUGUUAAUAGUAGGAAUGAUUCAAGAGGGACUACAUACUUAAAGCAUGACAUGGUAUUCGCAAAGCCCUCAAUUCCACAAAAAUCGUUAGUAUUAAAGGAAAUCCAUGAUCAAAAUUUGUAUUUUGACGUAUGCUUAACAAAUGGAUGUUGAAGAAGAAAACAAGAGUUUUAAAAACCCAAAAUAAAAUAGGUUCAUUAUAUUAAAUUUAAAAAAAUUGAAAUAAAUUAAAUUGAAAGUAAUUGAACAUAAAAAAAAUAAAAAAAAAUCCAUGUAAGUUGUCACAUGUUGAUCAUACAAUAGUCAUUUUUGCUACCUCAUUAAAAAAUAACAAUGUUAAUAUAUUAGAGUAGUUUUAGCUUGACAAGUUUAGAUACCAAAUUGGACCCAAAAGGCUCAUGUACCAAAUUAGGAAAAGUGUCUAGUUCAAGUGCUAAAUUGGAUAAAAAAAAGUUUAGGCAUCAUAUUAGGAAAAAAGUGUGAAGUUUAGGUAUCAAACUAAAAAAAUAAAAAGAAAAGCUUAGGUACCAAAUUAAGAAAAUGUGUGCAGCUUAGUAACAAAUGUUAUAUUAAGCCAUGAAUAUAUGCGUUUUCCUUAGAAGACUACAUCAAGAAGAUCGUUGCCUCUUUAUUCCAUGUUGGCCUAUAUCGAAGGCUAUUUUUAGGAGAUAAUGAUUCGCACCGAUUGUACUUUAUCAAGUCAAUAAACAUCUUAAUUCAGUGAAGACUUGUAAUUAUUUUUAUGCAUGAUAUUGAGAGAGUAUUUAUAUGUUCUUAUGAGGAACUUGUUUUUAAUACAAAGUUGUUGUAAGCAAGUUGUUUGUGUUGUUCAAUUUGCAACUAAGCUUUCAAGGGAGAACGUCUUAGUAGAAGAGUGAUCUAGAUUAUGUAUAGGAGUGAGGUUGCAACUCAAUGAGUAAGUUGGACUUAAAUCAUGUCUUGUAAUUGUUGAUUUAUAGUGGAUGAUUACUUUUUGGGUAAGACAUUGUAGACGUAAGAAGUUCUCGAACUCCAUGAACAAUUUUUUGUGUUUAUCUCUAAUUUAUAUUAGUAGUUACUUCAUCUCUUUACAAUUGAAUAAAUAUCUGACGGUCUAUGAACUUCAAUAUAUAUAAGACCAAAAUCAAUUAUUCUAACAAAUGCUUGUUGGGUUGAGUGAUAAGGAACUCAAUGCCCCUUAAAUAUAGUUUAAGUAGGGGAUUAAUUAGAAAGUUUUUUGAAAGAGAGGGUUUGAAUUAUAGAUUUUUGAAAGGACUAAAAUGUAAUUUUUAUCACCAUCUUAUCAUAAAAAAUUACAAUUUCUCUAGGGAUUAAAUAAUAAAAUUUUCAUUUUUAGAGGGACAAAUAUUAAAUUUUAAAUUUUAAAGAGUCAAAAUGCAAUUUUACUAUUUGAUUAACAUAAAUUUCUGUAUUUUUAAAAGGGACUAAAUAAAUAACUUUCCAUUUUGCUGUCAAAACAUAUGGUUGCUCCCUAACGCCUAGAGGUGUUCAUGGGUCGGGUCGGGUCGAGUUCGAUUCGGGCCUAAGCAUGAUAUUAACAUACUUUAUGCUUGCCAAAGCCCGGUUUGACCGAAAAUAUGGGCCUAAAAUUUUCCCUAAACCCACCCAUAUUUGUAAAAGACUAACCCAAGCCCAUUUUAAGCGCCCAUAUAAUUUUUUAAUAUUUUUUUAAAAAUAUUUUUAUUUUAUUUUAAUAUUUAAUAUUUUUAUUUAUUUUUUAUUUAUUGAAAGUUUUAAUAUAGUUAUCUUAACAUUACUUUAAUGUUUAUAUUAGAGUUUAAUGUUUAUAUUAGAGUAGUAUUAUAUAUUUAGUACAAAUUUAAUUUUAUGUGUUUUAAAUUACAUAAUAUAUAAAAAUAACAUAAUAUAAAGUAUUAUAAACAUAAAAAAGGAUCGAGCCGGACUACAGCCUUGAAUGUUCAAAUCUGAGCCCGACCCAUAUUUUAAACGGGCCUAAUAUUUUUGCCUAAACCUUCUCAAAUUUCGAACAAACCUUCAAAUCUAUACGAGCAUCCCAACCCAUGAAUCGGUCUACUAGCACCACCCAUAAAUCUAAGGUUUGAGUCUUGUCAAUAUUUAAAAAUUCAAGCACAUUCAAUUUUAAAUUUAAUCAAAUUAGAUAUAACUACCAAAUACAAAACAUCUCAUAUAAAAAAAAUAAAUUACUAUAACAAAAAUAUUCAUACGAAUAGUAAUUUCCUUAUUUUAUAUUUGCUAUCUGGAGAGCGCAGAGAAAAUGGUCAAAUAUUUCAACCAAAAUGAUGGUCUUGGGAUUAUUCAAUUUCAUAACAAUUAAUGCAGGAAGUAAUUACUUUAAUUACGACAUCAAUGAGCGUUACAUCAAAGUUUUGAUUUUGACAUUUAAAUCCAAACAAUGAGAAUCAAUUCCCAAAACUGAAAAGGCCAUUUUUUUUUGGAGGGGGAUAGUGGGAAAAUGUUGGUAAAAAUUUGGGAAGAUAUACUUGAUCAUGUAAAAUAUGUCUAUGUUUCUUUUUUUCUUUUUCUUUUUUAAAUAUCUCUGAGUUAAGGAAAAUCAAAGAAGAAAUAGGUCCUAUCGUUAAAAACAAAAUAAUAUAUUUCAUCAAUAUUUAUACAUUAAAUUUUAAGUUUUUUACCCAUACCAUUGGUUGAAGUGAAAUUAUAAAGAAUGUUGUUUCAUUGUUAUAUUAGUGUUUAUAAAGGUAGAUACUUAAAUGCGCAAGAGACAUUUAUAAAUUUGGCGAAUCACCUUUAUCUUCAACCUCUUAUUUAGUAUUGAAUACACUAACAAGUCUUAAUAGAUAAAACUAUCGUAGAGUCUCCUAUAUUAAGAAUCAUAUUACAUUUGGCUCGAUUUAUUUAAAAUGGACAAAUUCUCUCUUUUAUAUUAGAUAAAAGAACAAUUUGGUUCUUUCUGUUAAAAAAAGUAUAAAUUUCUGCUGUUAAAAUUUGGUGUGUUUGAUGGAAUAACUAGAUAGUUAUACGUGAAAUGUCACGAGUAGCUCAUGUUGAUGUACAGGGACCAAUUUUUAAUAGGAGAAAUGUAUGAAAAUUUUAACAGAAGGAUUAGUUUGCUCUUUGAUCUAACUUGCAGAGGCUAAUUUGCUCAUUGUUUGAGUAGGGGGCAAAAUGUAAUCUGACUCUUAGUACAAUAAUCUCAAUGUGCUUUUACUGUCUUAGUACAAGCACUAAAUUCAAUUCAACCAAUCCAAGGAUUUUUGUGCCCUCAGUCUCGCAUACUUUUAGCAAAUUCUCUUAGCACUUUAACAUCUCCUAUUAAAGGUUAUGGAACAAAUCAAAGGUUGAUAAUAAGCUCUCAAACCAUUAUAACGUUUAUAAGAGAAUUGAAAUGUGCUCUCUCAAUUCCUACAAGAACAAAGGAUUAUACAUGAAUUACCCUCCUUGAAAUGGGGGUUAAAUUGUUGAAAGGUCAAUCCUUAUUAUACAAUAUUAAUCAUAUAUUCUUUUCUAUCAAUCUCCUUUAAUUAAGGAAAGUAUAAAUCUCGUUAGUAUUAAUAUAACACCCCCAACCUGGCCGAUGAGUUUUGGCUGAGUCGAAGGCGUUACGUUGAUCAUUGAGCCAGUACUCAGCCACCGUAAGAGCGACUCUAGUAACGCUCCUGAACAAUUUAGCGCUGUUCGCUUGGAGCCAUUCAGGAACCAACCCUCAAACUCCAGGCACAAUGCAGGUCUCAGUGACCCUCUCCAGAACUCGUAACAUCACUUGGAAUAUAGGGUCGUCCUCGAUUGGCGUAGUCUGAGACCCUAUCUCAGUAGUGAGAUUACCAACGAUCUCGUUGGUCUCCAAAAUGGGUAUGCUACCCUUGGAGGAUGAUUCAACUCGAGCUCCCCCAUGAUGCCCCUAUCGCCCACGCAACCCUCGUCCAUGACUUCCUCAUGAACUCAUACUUUUCAGUGUCUAUAAUGUCAGAAACGCACAGAUCAAUUCAUAUUCCCAUAACAGUUCAUUUCAGUGUGCAAAAUUAACCAACAGGAUUAGUUAUCACUGUAGAAUAUGCACGCAACACAUUAGAAGGGAUACUUAUAGGCGACGUCAGAGACUCAGUCAUUUACUAAGCUUAGUUGUUUAGCUCAAGUCAUAAAAUACUUUAUUUUUAAACAUCUUGUAUUAAAUAGAGGCCCAAUUACACAGUCUGGGUUUUGAUGAACCUGCCUCUGAUACCGCUAAAUGUAACACCCUAAACCCGACCUAGACGAGAAGAUUUAGUUUAGAAUGUCAUAUUGUCUUACCAGAACACAAUCAUACUUAAAUCAUUAUUAAGUUAUAAAAACAUCCAAUAUCUGAAACACAGUCAAAUCCUAGAAGUUAAAAAAACAAAGUUAAAACAUAGAUUCACAUACACAUAUAAGUUUGAUUGAUGACUGAGUCUCACGUCCGCUAGCUGCUUAUUCCUGAGAGUCCCUUGAAAUUCAUUCAAGUAGUUAGUGUGUUACAAUGUAGAACUUAACUUAAAUAUACUAGCCUAUGCAUAAGAAAUCAGAUAUUAAUGAUUAUUCAUAUAACAAUUCAGUCUCCUCAAACAGAUCAACAACCUAAAUGGAUACAGAUACAAUAGUCAUGAUACGUAGCAGAUUAAUAUAAAUGCACGUAUAGCACAAAAAUGAUUAAGUGCACAUGACACACAAUACAAAUACAGAUGCAAUUUCCUAUUUCAUCUGCUACACACCAUCUUUACCCACCCUACACACCAAUAGGUAUAUAACACACAUCCAUCCCUACACACCUUAUAGUGCCAAUAUGACACGUUGCAGUGUUUAUAGUCUCACUGCUAGAUCAGAUAAUAUCAUGGGUGGUUUGACCAUCAAUUCAUUACAGAAUACUUCCUUCAAACCAAACUUUCGCCCCAUACAGAUACAAAACAUAUAGUAGAUAUCAAUAUGUAUUUCAAAUGCAGAUACUAUCACACGUUCUAGUAUACAAGUGUAUAAAUAGAACCAGUUUAUAGUUACAAUAAAGUAUAUCAUACAACUUAAUAUAGUGGUACCUAUCUUACAAGUAGUCUACACUCGCCCCGUACAAUAAUUACGGUAUUACCAAAGUUGGCGAUUUGGGCUCACACACCCAAACGAUGGCCCGUCUCACUCUAUACGGCCUGGUACAAGGCCGUGUGGUCACUUGUGUACACUAUUUAUCAAUUAGUGAGUCACGCGGCCUGGUCACGCACCCGUGUGCUAGCCCAUGUGCCUCACAUGGCUUGGCACGCACCCGUGUCCCCUGCCUGUGUGACUCCAAAUUUGAACUCAAUGAGUUACAUAGCCUAGACACACACACACGUGUAUAUUGUCUGUGUGACUUCAAAUCCUAACUUAAGGAGUUACAUGGCCUGGACACACGCCGUGUGUUUUGCCUGUGUGACCCUGCACCUAGCUUAUUACACACGGUCUAACACACGCCCGUGUGACUUACCUGUGUGACCCCAAAUGGUAGUGUAACCCAUAUAGCCUGUACACACCCUCGUAUGCCAUUGAUAACCCCAUUUGUAAUAGAGAAAAACAUAGAGAAAGGAAGGGUUUCAGUACCCAUCUGCUGAAACUUUAACGUAGAAGCAACAAAGAACACUCCGAAACCUAAAAACAACCAAAAAUUGUCUAGUUAUACAAUUUAAUCGAACUUACAAGACUAAUUAAACAAUCAAUCGAACAUGUCGAAAACCUCAAUGCAAACCCCCAACUCAAAACAACCGUUACCUUCGCACGAUACGACAAUUUCACGAGCCUAAGGCGCUUGGGAAUAGUUUUCCUCGAGAUCUUCUCCUAAUGAACACCAAUUGAACAUUUAGACAGAGAAAUCGAGUAAUUUACUUAGGAAACCAAUUUUGACAAAAAAAUGAACGACAACGAACGUUAGCAGAAUUUUAACACAGCACUUAUCGAAUUGACUUCCAGUAAAAGAACAACAGGAAACAAAACUCUUUCGACCAUAGUAGCAAAAUUUAACAAGUAGAAUUUGAGAACUAAGUGACAAAAAUUACAAAGAAGAAAAAGAAAAUAAAAGAAAACGAUGGAGGGAAGAAGAGAGUUACAUUAACGUAAAAAUAAAAAAAAUAAGAAUUUAUUUCAAUAUCAAAACUAAAUAAUCUCGUGAAGUAACAAAAACAUAUCUCCGUUUUGCUUACACAAGGACUCAAACUCAAGACCACAGAGCAAACAGAAACUUAACCAUUAAACCAACAGACUCAUUCUUGACACAAAUUGUCACUGAAUUCAACUUAAACAAAGAAUCCUAAGCUAAGGGUUUAAGUAAGGAAAUUAACAAAAUUUUAAAAUUUAUGCUACUCGAACCUUAGAUCUUAGGUGAGCAAACAAAACAUACAACCAUAGAAGCAGAACCGUAUUCACUGACACGACUUAUUAAUGAAAACUCAAAUUUUGGGGUGUUACAGAGUUAAUAAGCUAAACAAUCUCAAACCUAAGAUAUAAAAGUAAGAAAUAAUUAAUAAUGGCAACCCUAAAACUGAUUAAGGAAAACUUUAAAUGGAAACUUUAAAAAAAAAAAAAGCUUCUAGUUUGACAUUCCUCCUAUGUCGUACCGAGUCUGAGUUUCCUGCGUUAUCUGAGAGGUAAAGAAAAAGGGGGAGUGAGCUUAUGACUGCUCAGUGUGAGUCUAAUUUUUAAACCACUACAUAUGAUUGUACAAACAGUCAUUCAAUUUUAUAGCAAUAUAGCAAUUAAGCGUAAUGUAAGGAACAUUAAGUAAAUCAGUGCAUAUACAUGUUAUGUUCAUGAUAUAAUGAAAUUUUAGUUUUAAGUUCCCACCCAUCCAUCCUAUCUGCCCUCAAGCAUCGCUCGACACACCAAAACACAUAUAAAAAACUGACCAUUCUGGAUUUCUCGGUGACGAUAGUCAUUCACUUGUCAUCUGUGACGAUAACUUUUACUAUAAUAACUUACCAUCUAAGUUGCCCGAUUUUGACGGCUUUUUAAACUAUCAUCCUGAUUUACCCGGUGUCGAUGAUAUUGCUGCCUACUUCAUGCAGUACUGACUUUCAGUAUGGACUUAAAUUGCCACUUUCUCUUACGAAGCUCCUCUGUCCUCCAUACCCAAUUUCAUGUAACCAUAUAUAUAAAUUCAGCAUGUCAUGCUAGUUAUCAAAAUAUAAUCGAUUACAAUACUUAUCAAGCACAUUUUCCUUUUAAUACGAUGUAUGAAAUUUAAUGCUAACAAUCAUUAGCAUGUAUUUAUGCAAUUAAUUCAUAUCAAUUACACACAUGCAAUUGCUUUAUGUAAACUAAAACAAUUUCAAAAAUUCAGUUUCUUCAUGCGAAUUAACAUUGGGAUAUUAACAUGAUUAGUUCGGCUAACACAUACAUAACAAGUUCUCAUGUAUGACUGGCUGCGCGCGUGCGCUUUAAAACAAAAAAAAUAUAAGACUAUUUUAAAGCCCGGUUUUUGUAAUACCCUAAAAAUUUUUACAGUAAGAUAUUAUCCUUGAUAUAGUAAAAUAAGGAAAUAAAGUGACAAAAAGGGAAAUUUUGAGUUAUGUCAAUAUUGAGAAGUACAUUAUGAUAUAUUAAUUCAAGAAAGGACUAAAUUGUAAAAGUGAGAAAAGUUUUGUUGCACAAGAGUAAAUACUCAAAAUUUGAGGGGAUAAAGUGUAAAUAUGAAAAAGUUGAAGGACCAAUAGUGUAAAUAUUUUAAGAGUGGAAUGAUCUAGAAACUAUAGAAAAUGGAUGAAUUAGGACCAAAUUGAAUAGGUGAAGAACUAUGAGGGACUAAAUUGUAAUUUUACCAAAUUAAAUGAUGACUCAAGGAUGGAAUUUUAAAAGAUAAUAAAGGACAAAAUGGUUAAUUGGAAGAAAGAGAAAUCUAGAAAGUAAUGAUGAUGUUGAUGAUAUUUUAUGAUUAUUUAAUUAGAUAUAUAUUAUUUUAAUGAGAUAUUUUAUUAUUUUAUUAUUAUUUCAUUAUUAUUUUAUUAUUAAUUAUUUAGUAUAAAAGGAAGGAAAGAUGAAGAAUUUUCAUCAUCUUUCCAUGCAUGCAACCAACGUUAGAAGAAAAGGAAAAGAAAGAAAUUUUCUUUUCUUUACAAUUUGGUCCCUCCACCAAAAAUUCACCAUUUUCACCUAGAAAUCAAAAGAAUUUCCAUAGCUACUAAGAGAGAAAAAUGUUAAGGAGACCAUGGGGAGUUAGAAUGUCAAGUUGGAUUUAAGAAAUAGAAGCUGGAGGAGAGAGAAAAUCAAGUUAAAGAUUGGUAUCAAUAGAACAAGGUAAGUACAUCAAGAUUUCAAUAUGUUUUUAAGUUUGUUAUUAUUGACAAAGCAUGGAAAUAAUGUUAUAGUAGAGUUUUCUUACAUAAGGUUCUAUGUUCUUGAUAUGUUAGUGAAGAGAAAGUAAGAGAAAGUGAUGAGAAAUGGUGUAGAAAAAGAAAAUAAGGGUGUUAUAGCAUGGUAAUUAAUAUCUUGCACUAAAACAAUAUUGGAUAGCAGCAGUAGACUAAAUUUGAAAAAUUACCAUAAAUUUCAGAAAUCGAAAUAGAGGAUGAAAAAAAUAUGAAAUUAAAUCUUAUUGAGUCUAGUUUCUCAUAGAGAAACGGUGUAAGCAAUGGAUUUGUAAAUCAUGAGAUAUAAUGAAUUUUGUGAGACAAGGUCAGAAUGAAUUCGGGUUCCCCUGUUCUGACUUUGUAAAAUCAUAAAAAAUUGGAUAAAAAUAAUUAGGGGCUUAAAUUUAUGUGUUAAGAAUCCUGAAUGAGUCUAUUUUCAAGAGAAAUAAACGAGAAUAUCAUUAAAAUUCUGUACGAUGAGAUAAUUAAUUUUUAGUGAAGAAGGGCCAAAACUCUCAGACAUCAGAACAAGGGUAACUUUAAAGAAUAAACUGUACUUAUUGGCUAAACCAAAAAUUCUGAAAAUUUUAUAGUAAGAAUAUAUAUGAGUAUAGUUUCAGGGAAAAUUAGUGGAUAUUAAUUUGGAGUUCUAUAGCUCCAGAUAUAAAUAAUUUAGUGACUAUGACACAGAUGGACAGCUUGAAUAUUCAUAAAAGUAAAUAAUAAAAAUUAUAGAUGAUGUUACUUACAAGUGUGUUAUAUACAUUAAGGAUGUGGAAUGGAGAGGAGGAGGAGGAAAAAGAAUAUGUAUGAAUAUUCAUUUAGCAUGGCUAAUUUGCAUGUUUUAGGCUCAAGGACUAAAUUGAAUAAAAGUGAAACUUUAUGGGUAAUUUUAUAAAAAUGUCAGAUAUGACCAAAUUGCAUGAAAUGGAUUAUUUUAUUAUUUAAAUUACAAAAUUUAAUGAAAUUAUUAAUUUAGUUCAAGAUCGAGGGAAAACAUGUUUUAGGGAUUAAAUUGAAAAGUGUUGAAAUUAUGGAAAAAUUCUGAUAUUUUAUAGAAUUCAUGGACUUUUAUCGAUAGGUAUUAUAAUAAUAGCUGGAAAUAAGGAUUAAAUUGCAAGAAUUUUAUUUUCCUGACCCUAAUGAUGAAAUCGUCAUUAAUUAAAAAUUUAGGGGCAAAAUGGUAAUUUUGCCUAGAGCAUUAAUUAAAUGCAUUAGAAUAUGAAAUGAAUGAAAAUGAUGAUCAAAUUUAUUUAGAUCCGGACGACACAGAUACGAGACUUGAUCGUGGAAAAGAAAAGAUAUCGGAUUAAUGAAAUUAUAAACACACACAAUCAAUGAGGUAAGUUUGUGUAACUUGAAUUGUAUUUUUAAACACUUGAAAUAUGUGGUUAUGUGAUGAAAAUAUGAUUUGAAUGUUCAAUUCAUGAUAAUUGAUGAAAUAUUGAUAAUACUCGAUAUAAAUUGAAAAUAAUCCCGGUUGAAUGGAAUGGAAUUCAUGAUUAUACUUGUGAAUUGUAUUUUUGUCAUGCAUAUGAAAUUGAUAUGGAUAUAUUUGAUACUGCCCGAUAAAAUUAUAAAUCCCGUUGAAUAAAGGAAAAUCGAUGGAUGUAAGUUUCCCGAAUUGGUUGUAGUUCUGCAUAUGUUGUAGACACACCAUAGCUAGAAAGAGUGUCCCGAUAUUAGCCCUCUCGAGCUUCCCGUUAUAUGGUUCUUGCGAGCUUCCUAUUAUAGCUCUUCAGAGCAUCCCGAUAGAUUGUGAUCCGCAUGUGUUGUGGACACACCGUAGCUCUUAAGAGCGUCCCGAUAUAUGGCUCUUCGUGAGCUUCCCGAUAGGCUCUUUGUGAGCUUCCCGAUAGUGCUUGCUUGAACUUCCCUAUAUAUGGCUAUCCGGAGCUUCCCGAUAGGCUCUUCAUGAGCUUCCCAAUAUGGUUCUUUGUGAACUACCUGAUUUCGGCUCUAUUGAGCUUCCCGUUAUAGCCCGGAUUAGCUUCCCGAUAUUGCUCUUUAUGAGCUUCCCUUUAAAUAGCUCGAGACGGUAAAAAGGAUCUAUCCCGGACGGGUGAUCCUAUCCUGAUAUAGCCCUCUCGAAGAAUAUGUGGAAAAUGGAUUUAGCCCAGACAGGUAAAUCUGAAUUAGGGGCUAAAUUUAGCCUGGACUAGUAAUUCAGAUCCAAGCUCAUUAGAGUAAUUAUCGUUGCAGGGGAUUUGGCCUGGACUGGUAAUCCUGACAAUACUCUAUGAGUUUAUAUUACAGGGGAUUUAGCCUAGACUGGUAAUCCCGCUGUAAGGAUGAGGUUCGCGGGAGUGUGCUCUCUGGAAAAAGGGGUAUAUCCAUAUGUGUACAAAUUAACAGACCCGAAAUUGUACACUAAAAGUGUACCUCUGAAAAUCCAUCGAAAUUUCGAGAAAUUCAACGGGAUAAAUAUGAGAAAUGGAAGAACAUGAAAAUUAUGGAAUUAAUGAGCUCAUCAAUCAUUUAUCUUUGUAUUGAAUUUAUAUUAUGAUUUGUACAUGUUAUAUGGACACAUGGUGUGGAAAGUAUAUGGUACAUGAAAUGUUAAUAUAAUGAAAUGAAUGAUAUAUGUUAUUAAAGAAAUGGUAAGAGAAUGAUAUGUAUCAUGACAAUUACAUAUGAGAUUAUCUUUUAUAUGUUAAUAUAAGGAAAAUAUGUAAGUUAAGACGAGUAUUAAAUUCAAACAUGACAUAUUGAGAAAAUAAGAAUUUAUAUUAAAUAUGUGUAAGUACGCUAACAAGUGUUGUUGUUGAUACUUAGGCAAGUGCCAAGCCAUUGAUUGAAUGGUGAUAUAUUUAUUGAUGCAUUGAAUCGGUAAGUAUUUAAGUGAAUUUUUUUAAGUGAUCUGCAAAUGGUAGUAAUGCUCCGAAACCCUGUUCUGGCAGCAGAUACAGGUUAGGGGUGUUACAGUUUUACUACAGGCGUACAGACUAGCUGUAAUAUUUGUGGUGUUAUAAUAGAACACCGGAGUAUUCCAAGGAUCAAACCCAAAGGAGUUGGUGAUUCAACAAUUUCUAUUGAAAAAUGUAUACAAGAAAGGAAUUUAGCUAGCUACUCACUAAUUACUAUAAUAUGACAAACCAUUAAUGAAGUUAAUUAAAACUAAUUACUUAUCUAAAACAAAAAAAUGACUAAAUUGUAAAGAACACAAAACUAAGAAAUUAUUCAAUAAAUAACUAAUGGUGGUUCGUUGAUUUUGAUAUGGUUCAUCUGUCCUUGAAUAAGUGACUUAAAUCACUUAAAUUACUAAGUGGCUCUAUUUUAUCUUCUGAUCUCAAUUUUAUUGACUUAGCUCUAUUCAAUUUAGUUAAAUUUAUUACGUUUUAGUCCUUGGUCCAAAGAUUUCAGUUUACCCAUAUCUUCAUCAACCAACCCCCUAAGGUUUAGUUACCCAUUACCUUAUUAAAGCUAACAAAUAUGAAAGAAACAACUAAGAUAUCCACAAGCAUCAAAUGCAAGAAAAUAAAGAUAAAAGAUUGGAUUUUUAAUAGAGAAAACUAAAAGCAAAGUGAAGAUGAACAACUAGCAUCAAGGUAAGAAGCAAGAAACAUUAGAGGUAGAAUGUUUAACAACUAAAACUAAAGAAAACUAAAAUAACAUUAAGCAAAGAUUAAAGAGUGAUUACAAGAAAGUUUAAAGUCUUUAACAUGUAAAUAAAACUAAAUUAAAGUAAAAACUAACUUACUAAUAACUAUGAAACUAAGUAAAACCAGAAAGAAACAUAAACUAAAACCCAAGAACUAUAGAGAAGAAAAUCACCUUACUCUUAAGCUAAAAGCUAAAAGAAACCCUAAAACUAAAAAGCUUUUUAACUUAAAACUACAACCUCUUCUUGUUCUUAGCCAAAAAUGGCUUUAAAUAGCUGAUUACAACCCAAUUUUUAGUGACCAAAAUGCCCUUAGAUGUUGUAUUUUAGUUGGUGUUGGUGUUGGACAAAAACUAUCCCCUACAGUCAUUUUUCUCCACAUCAGAUAACAAUAUCGCUAUACCUAGUCUUGGGUAUCGCAAUACCAACAAUAGUUUACAAGUGGGGGUCUUUUGGGGUGGAUAUCGUGAUACCCAAAGGUAGGUAUCGUGACACCACUGUAGAUGGAUCUUUUUCUUCUUCAUUUCAGACCUCUAUAGGCUUCUAAUUUUCUUUCAAGUCAACCCAUGUGAACCUUGAGAAACCAUAAACUCAAACAAAAACAUAUAUUUUCCCUCAAAGCUCUAAGCUUGUUCACAACAUAUGAUCAAUGAAAAGCUUGUUCACCAAAAGCUUGUUCACUAUAUUCUUUUGGUUCUGUCUCUAAGCUUGUUGCAACUUUGGACAUAACAACUUUUGACCUAACAAUGAAAACAACAUAAUUGCUUACAUGUUCUUCAUGUUCUCCUUCCUCAUUCCAACAUCCUUGUCAGUCCAAGUAACGUUAAGGACUUUAUGUUCUUAAGAGUAUUUACUCAUUCUACAUGAAUGUGACCAAAUCUCUCACAUUUAUGGCAUUGGGUUCUCUAGUUUUUUUCCCCAGACUUUUCUAUUAUAACCUUAUUUUAAUUAAUUAAGUAUAUUAUAAUCCCUUUGUUUUUUUCCCUUACAAAUCAACCACCAUAUGCAAUUUUAUUCUUCCUAUAAAAAUUUCUAAAUGCUUUCUUGAAGUAUUUUUUUUAUGAAAAGUUCCAAUUGUUCUCAUAGCUUUUCUAUUGAAGCAAAUGUUGGAAUAUCUAUAACAAUAAUAGCUUAUCAUUAAGUCAAACAUUUUUUUUUGUUUUUUCAUUUUCCCUUUUAUUUUUCUUGUAUUAAUUUCAAAGGUUUGUAAUGAGCCAAUCAAUGCAUCCACCCUUAUGGUGAAGAUGUCUUUGACUUCAAUUAUCAUUGUGACUUUUAUGAUAAAAUAUUUUGGUAAGAAUCUUAUCACCUUUUGAACCAGCUUGACCUCAUAAUACACCUCAUUAAAAGCAUAACCUUCAUUAUUAAUGUUACAUAAUUUUGCAUAAAAUUUAGAAAUAUUUCAUUACCUAGAUAUGUGAAUUUGUAACGUUGAUGUUUUGACUUCUUAAGUCCCUUCAAGAGUCAUACUUCUGUAUUCGAAACACAUUAAAACUUGCUUGGAUUCUUGAUAAUCUACUCUAUUGAAUAUUACAUUGAGUGCCUUGGAGUUGAUGUUUGUUUUUUUUCUUCCUUUAUUGUUUGAGCUUCCUCAGAUUUAGCAAGUUAUGGGUCAUAUGCAUUGGUUGUAGUAGAGAGUUCCCAGCUUGCCAAGAUUGCAUUUAUGCUUUGUUAUUAAUAGCCUAAAUGAAAACUCUCAAACAAACCUUUUGAUAUGAAUAAUUUGAGUCAUUUAAUAAAACUGGUCAUGAGAUAGAGUUUUCUUCCAUUGUGGAAUCAGUGAUUACCUGCUAAGCAUAAGAUCACACCAAGUAUGUUUGUGGUAGGAUCUAAUACCAAUUAAAAAUAUCUAACUAAAAUGAUAUUAAAAGGAAUGUUAUAUUGAUAUUUAUAACAAAUGUUCUAACUAUGUAAAACAAGCAGAAAGUAGAAACUUAAAUGCACCAAAGAUGUUUACAUAAUUCAAUGAACCACCUACAGCUAUAGGGCCUUAUUGAGUUUAAUCCACUAACAUGCCAAAGAAUUUUUAAUCUUAGUCUUACUUAUUGUUAAUUAAUUCUCUGAGCACUUUAGCCUCUCCUACUAAAGGUUAUAAAACAAGUCAAUGGUUGAUAAAAACUUCUCAAAUGUACCAAAAUAAGGAUCCUAGAUGAACUAAAAUAUGCUCUCUCAAUUUGUACAACAAAUGAUUAUGCUGUUAUAAAAUAAAGAGAGAUGGAGAGAAUAAAGAAUAAAGAAAAUAUUAAAGCAACAGAGAAUGUACUUUAUUGACCAAAAGGAGUGGUUACAAUGCUUCAUCAGAAUCUCUAUUUAUAGGCAUAAGAAGUAUAAAAGAAGUAGAGAUCUAAUUCUAAUAACUAUUAGAAUUUAAAGUAUACCAAAACUUUAUCUUGAUCAUGAUGGACAUCCACUUAAUAAGAUAUCUAUACACUCCCCCUUAGAUGUCUAUUGGUAGAUAAUGUGCCUCAUUAAAACCUUAUUACGAAAAAUCCUGUGGGAUAAAAACCUAACAAGAGAAAAAGAGUACACAAUCUAUAAUACGCAUAAUAUGUUGCCUUAUUAAAAACCUUACUAGGAAAAUCCAAAAGGACAAAACCUCGGUUAAGGGAAAAAGAGUACAAUGCGUAUUUACUCCCCCUCAUGAAAACAUCACAUAUUUUCUCAUAUUCUACGUAUUCAAUCUUGAAUAUUGGUUUUUCAAAUGACUAUUUGAGUGUGUUUGAUAAGCAUUUAUAUUACCAUUCUUUUAAAAAUCAUGAGUGAGGAAAAAUUUUGGAUAAUAUAUUUUGAUCUCUUCAGAAGAUUCAACAAUAAUCAUAACAAACUUUAAUCAUGAUCCUUAUAUAAAACACAAAUAGUUAUUUUGGAUCAUUUUAUAAUCCUCAUUCAACUACUCAAAUUUACCACAUAUAUUCAAAUUAUUUCAAUUCAUAUAAAUGAAUAAUUUCCCGAGAAUUUCAAUAUGCUUUUAGCAUUCUAAAUCCUUCAAGGAUUUUAAUAUAAACUUUACUAUAUAGUGAUUUAUAAAGGUUGUAACAACAACCAUUAGACGCAAGUUAAAUCUUUUAUGAAUUGUCAAUUUAAUAAUAUAUCUAAAGGUUAUUGCAUCCACCAUAAAAGAAUAUUAUAUCUUUCAUAAUCAAUAUCAGUACUUAGCAAAAAACUUCAUAUUUUUAUUUCGCUUUUGCAAAACUACUUCAUUUGCACCCUCAUUGGCUUUAUACCUUUAGAUAUUUGGACUACUAGUCCAAAAACUCUUCGAAUUUAAUUAUACUUGAGUUGCGUCUUUCUAUUUUGAUCAAUUUAUUUCAUAUCUAUAUUUCUCAAUAGAUUUAUUUAAUAUCAUCCUUUUAUUUUAUUAUUUCAAUAAUAAUAUUGCAUGCAAAAUCAUUGUCGACCACUUUUAUUAUUCGGUUCCACAUUUUCUCUAAUUGACAUAACUUAUCGAGAUAUCUUAUUUUCAUUAUUUUAAAAUUUAGUUUCAGGUACUUGAAUCUCUUCUGAAGUUUUACUUAUUAGUUAUGUCUUAGAUCUCUUCUGGAGCACUCGCCUCCACUAUAUGACCAUCUAGAAGAAUUUUUCAUCUUUGGAACAGAUCAAUUUAUAUAACAUUUGGUUAUUUUUAUUAAGUUUGUAAAUACAUCUAAUAGUUAACUUGUAAUGAGUUAUCCUUUUUGAACUUCUGGUUCAAAUUACUCUCUCCCUAAUAAGUUAUUAUUUCUCUCCCCCUAAUGUUGGGAAAACUGACAACUCAUGUCAUAAUUAAAUCUCAAAUUAAUAGCUCAAAAAUAUUAUAAGGAGACUCAUAUAAAUAUACAUUCCCAAUCUCUUAUUAUGAACCAUCUUUGUGCAUUGUAGUGGAGUAGUUGGAACAUAUAUCGUACAUCUAAAAAUUUUAAGAUGGGAAAUAUUUGGCUCUUGACCAAAAAUAAAUUGUAAUGGGGAGUAUUUAUAAUUUAUUGGCUUGAUGCGUACAACAUGUAAAUUAUUACAAUCUCAUGUUGAAAUAGAAAGUUUUGUUCUCAUAAGUAAUGAUUUAGCUAUUAGUUGGAGGCAUUUGAUAAACAAUUCAGCUAAAUCAUUUUGUGUGUGAAUAUAAGCUACAGGAUGUUCAACUUUUAUCCCAAUUGACAUGCAAUAAUCAUUGAAAAGUUGGGAUGUAAACUCACCAACAUUAGCAAGAUGAAUUGUUUUAUUGCAUAAUCUGAAAUUAAUCAUUUAAACAAGCAAUCUCGCAAAUGACAGGUUGCGAGUUGAUAAAGCAUGUGAUUAUUUUGUUUAUGCAUGUACCAAAAUCAUAUAAUAUCAAAACCAUCCACAGGGUGGAUGAAUGGGCCCAUAUUCAUUUUAGAAAUGCAAGACAUUAAAUCUCAACUUUAGCUAGUGAGUUUCUAAGAACCAAUUUUCAUUGAGAACAAGCAACAAAUGAGAAUUCUUUAAAUUAAAGAAUAUUCUAGUUCUUUAAUGGAUAUCCAUAUGAAUUCUCAAUUAAUUUUCAUAUCAUAUACGAUCCACGAUAGUCUAACUGGUCACGCCAAGUAGUAAACGCUUUUGUAUUAGUAAACUUAUUGUUUAUUUUAACAUGUGUUUCAAUUGUACUAAAUUGUAACAAAUUGAUAAUUUUAUUGUCAUUCUUUUUAUUUUGUAUCCAUAUUAAAUACUAUUGUGACAUUUACUACUGGAAAUGUCUAAACCACUGUGAAUUCUAUAAUGCCACUAAGUCAAUAAAUAUAAUUUCCAAAUAAUUAUAUACAGUAUUCGCUUCAGGGAAUAUGCCAAAAUCUUCAAAUGCCCAAAAAUCUAUUAAUAGCAAACUUUGAGAGUUGAUCUUAUUUUCCAUGUGUAUAACAGGUACACAACUAAUGACUUUUCAUACAUAAGUUUUCUCUCUUACAAGUUCUCAUUAGUAAUAUUUUACCACGUAAUUUUAAUUGAGAACUUAUUCUGAAUACUGUAAAGUUAUACUUACAAUUUUUAAAAAAAUACUUGCAACUUUAGAUGCAUCCAACCAUAAUAAGCUUUAGAUAGAAUUAUCAUAAUCUAUUGCUCAUAAAUAGAUCUUUCACCGUCAAAUAUUUUGCUUUCAACUCUUUAAUAGGGAUGAUGACAAAAGAAUAUCAUAAAUAUUAUAAAUUAAUAACUCAAUCCAUUUUUUUUAUUCAUAUGAAAUAGAAUCUUUUCUUCAUUCACAAUCUCAUUAUGAGAUUCAUUACAAAUAACUUUUAAAAGUAAUGCAUUAACCAUCACAAAUUUUGUGCUUUUUAGAUAGUGAUAUAUUAGCUCUUCUGGAGCUUUCAACUAAUUUUGUACUAUCAAAUAUUAGAAUAAUAUUUGUUUGUUUCAAUACCAAAUAAGAUAAAUAUUUUCUAUCUAUAAUGAUAGAAUUCAUUCCUACAUUUUCAUAUCCUUCCUCAAAGAAUAUUAACAGAAAUAAAAUAUUUGGGCAUACGCCACAUAUGUGGCCAAUAAUAUUUCAUAUCACAUAUAUUGAUAACAUAAGUUAUAUUUACCCUUUAAAGAGCUAUCUUGAGAACUCUCAUUGUUCUCUCUUUUAUUACUAUGCCCACUUUUAGUGGUCCAUUAAUAUAUAUUUUAUUUUCUUUAUGUUUACAUUCACUUCGGGGAAUGCAACAAAUCUAGUAGGACAGACUUAUAAACAUCUGAAUAGAUUAUUUAUUUCAUAAUUACCAUCACAAACAUGUGUGAGAUUUCAAAUCAAAAUCUAUCUAUGCAUGUUGUCAUGGUUAGUCUCCAAUUAUAAUAAACAAUAAAUAAAACAUAGUAAAAUAUAUCUGAAAAUCUUUAACAUCAUCGUCAUCACUAGAAGGUAUGAGAUAAUUCGAAAAUAUUCUUGAUUUCAUAUGGAUAACGAUAUCAAAUCUUUCACCAUCCUUAAGAACAAAAAGUAAAAUAAGUUAAUCAGAACAAUGAUAACAUAUGAUGAAAGAAGAAUGAAAAAUAAUAAUCAGAUAUGAAACAUUAAAUAAAAGAAAUUUCCUGUAAAAACUUUACAUCUUUUUUUUUUACUGAUAAGUUGAAAAUGAGUUUGGAUUUGAAAAAAAAAUGGAAUCGAGAUGCAAUCAACCCCCCUAUGGACAGAUCUACUCUCUACUAUGUUCAAAUUUAAAAUUUAAUUUUUUCACUUUAAUUUGACAUAGUGAUUUUUUAUCCUGUAAAAUCAUUAGAUAGUAACAUUAGUUAAAAUAUUUACAUGGAAUUUUUUAUAAUUAGAGUUGGUGUUUUUAGAAAAAAAAAUUCAGGUGCUUUAACCAUAAUAGUUAGUGAUAAUUAUUUAGAUUAAGUAAUUAUAGUAUAUAUAUCAAAUUAAAGUAAAGAUAUUAAAAUUUAAAUCAUAUAUAUUAUCUUACAAGAUCUUAAGUUAACCGUUAACGUAGACGACUUAUUUUAAUGACAGGUGACAAUUUUUUUUAAUUUAUGAAUAUCAACUUAAUUAAAUUAUAAUUUUAAAAAAUUUAAUAAAAUAACAUAAUAAAAAGAAAAGAAAAAUGAUAAUUUUAUACGUAAUGAUUUAUGUUAUUAAGUUAAGUUUUAAAGUUUUAUUAUAUUAUGAUAUUAUAUGAUAUUCAUUGAGUACUAUAUUACGUCAUUUUAAAAAAUCUAUUAUAUUAAACAUAUUACCAAUUAAGCAUAAGUUUAUACAAUAUUUAUAAAUAAAAUAAGAUAAAACCAUAAAGUUUUGCGUUUUUUUUAAAGAAUAAAGCUUUAUGUUAUUAAAUUAAAUUUUAAAGUUUUAUUAUAUUACGAUAUUAUACAAUAUUAAUUGAGUACUAUAUUAUGUAUUUUUAAAAAUGUUUAUUGUAUUACAAUAUUAAUAAUUAAGCAUAAAAUUAUACUACAUCUAAACAAUUGUUGUGUCAUCUACAAUAACAUAUUUUAAUAAGAUAAAUCAUAAAUUUAAAUAUAAAUAUAUUGUGGUGUGUAAUUCAGACAUGCAGUGAAAUGGUGAUACCCAUGGGCAUCGGGAAAAGGACGAUGUUCCAACCUGAGUCAUUCAACCUAAACGACUUUAUACAAGAAUGCAAGUCACUCUAUGGCGUUCCUCCUCGCCCUCAUUGGGUCACUUCUUACUACGGUGGCCAUGUACUUUCAAUCUUUUCUUCACUAUAUUUAUUUUUCUUACACUUAUUUUACUAUACAUAAAUCUUUAAUUUUUACUCUUAUUAUUUGUAAAUGCAAAAUUUUGCAGGAUAUAAAACUUAUUCUCCACAGAUUUGGUAGCAACAUCAUUUUUUCAAAUGGAUUGCGAGAUCCCUACAGUCGGGGAGGGUAAUUGUUACGAAAAAUACUUCAAUAAAAAUGUUAUAUUUAUACUCACGUUUUCAAUAUUUUUUAAAUAAUAUUUUAAAUUUGAAUGUUGUGAAUAAAUAAAACAAAAUUGAGAAAGUUUUAUUUUUUUAAAGGUUCAACUUAAUUUUACUCCCCAUAUGAAAAGUCAAGAUUAAAAAAGUGCGGACAAAAAGAAAAAGUCAAAUUUAUAUCUAAUAUUAUUAUAUUUUAAUUUAAUGUAGGGUUUUGGAAAACAUUUCGGAGAGUGUUCUUGCCGUACAUACUAUAAAUGGUAAGCAUAACUAUAUAGGAAAAUGAUUAUAUGAAACAGUGACGCCACAUCAUCUGUAUUAUUUUUCAAUAGUUUUAUGCCACAUCAGUAUUCUUAUCCUGAAUUUCAGGAUUUUAUCCUAAAAAAAUUAAAUCCAAAUUAAAAUAGUAAAAUUUAAGAUAAAAUCUUAAAAUUCAGGAUAAGAAUACCGAUGUGACAUAAAACUAUUGGAAAGGGAUACAGAUGACGUGGUGUCACUGUUUCAUACAAUCCUUUCUCAACUAUAUAUAUCUCCAUAAAAAAAAAAGAAUGAAAAUGAUAAUAAUAUGUAUAAAAUGCAUGAUCUCAUUGCUUGGAUAUACUUCCAGAAAUGAAAAGCGAUCCAGAAUGGUUGGUGAAGCAACGAGAAACAGAGGUGAAGAUUAUAAAAGGAUGGAUGGCUCAGUACUAUGCUGAUCUCAAAGCCAUUCAAAUUAAACCAUAGGAAUUAAUUAAUUAGUUUCCCAGAUGGAAAUUAAAUCAAUUUGGUUCUCUUCAUUAAUUAAUUACCCAGACUUGCUCUUCUCUUAUCAAUGUUUAAAAAUACACAUUUGUAUCCUUUCUCCAUGUUGCGUUUAAUUCACUUAUUCAUAUUUCACUAUAGGUUCAAAUCACAAAUGAUAUAUGUACCUUGUCUAAAUCACACUACAAUUAGCAAUAAUGUGAAAUUGAAGAUGUGUUGAUUGAGAUUUCCUAGAAUUUGUUUGGGUGAAGACGGGUUGGGUUUUGUACCUCAUCCCUUUCUAAGUCUGUACUGGUUAAUGGAUCUUCGACGAAAAGCCUUCAAUAGGGGUAUUAUAGUUAGCAAUUUGGGACAAUAUGCAGACGAUUGGAUUGUUUUUUAGGAGGCGGAUGAGGCACAGAUCAGAGCAUUAAUUACUGUCGAUUCAUCUUUGAGUUGUGGUGAAAUCUGGUAAUCAGAAAAUGUGAACAGAAAGGCUUGAAUAUGAAAAAACAAAGAAUCAGACACAUCAUUACUUUAGCCUCUAAUAGUACGUAGGGGUGAGUCCGUACUUUCUCUCAAUUUUAUAAUGGACUUUAGACUUGGGUUUAGAAACAGGUUAGACAUGUUCUAUAAAGUAAUGGUAUAUAGGGGUUAGUUGAAUUCAAUUUUAUUUUUUUUGGUUUUUUAAAUUGUUUGUGAUAAUUUGAUUUUUUAUUUUUUAUAUUUAUAAAAAAAUUAUAAAAGUUCUAGUUAAACACGAAAAAAUAAAAUGAUAAUAUUUUAAUAGAAAAUACAUGUAAUCCUAAUAAGAUUAUUAGGUGGGCAAUGCAAACCCUUUUGUGGAAACCCAUAUAUUAUGUUUUUUUUAUAUAAAAAUAACUUUAAAAUUUUAAUUAAUUAUUUAAAUAAUUUAUUUUUAUAAAAUACGAAAAUAACUCAAAAUUUAUAGUAAAAGUUGGUGGAACCAGCCAGAGUGUUUGGCGCCACUAACAUGCUACGUCAGCAAUCUAUAUUAAAAAAUAUUUUUUUGUGGAGCCUUGUAGUAUGACGCCACUUAUAUAAAUACUAAGAAAAUACUGUAACUUUUAAAAGUAUAAAAGGAAUUUUAGCAAUUUUACCUUUCUCUAGUGGAGCCAAAUAUAUUGGGUCCACUAGAUUUCAAAAUAUUUCCUAACAUCCUAUCUGCUAUUUCCCUAUUCAAAGUUUCAAAAUGUUUUGAGUCAAAUUUUUUAUAUUUUUUCCUGUCGAAUUCUUUGUUUUGGUUUUUUACUUUUUUUUUCUUUCUUUUUAUUUAUUUACUUUUUUUUAAGUUUUUUUAUUUGUCCUUAUUUUAUUUUAUUUUAUUUAUUUGUUUAUUAUUGAUUUUAAAAAACUUGAAAUGUAUAUUUGAAAUGUUUUAUAAUAUUUUUUUAAAAUUUUAAAUAUAUUUUUUAAAAUUAUUUUUUAAAAUUUUAAAUAUUUUUUAAUAAUAUAAAAUAUUUAAAUAUUUUAAAGAUAUGACCUUUCAAAUUUAUUAUUAGUUUUAUAAUAUUUUAAAUUUUAAAUAUAUUUAAUUUGUUUUAAAAUAUUUUUAAUAUUUUUAAUUUGUUUUAUAAUAUUUUUAAUUUGUUUAAAAUAUAUUAUUUUUAAAGAUAUGACCUUUCAAAUUUAUUAUUUGUUUUAUAAUAUUUUAGAUGUAUAUUUUAAAUAUUUUUAAAAUUUUAAAUAUAAUUUUUUAAAAAAAAUUAUUAAUUUUAAAAUUUAAUAUUUUAUUUGGUGGAACCAUUCUAAAUGACUCCAUCACUUUAUAGUGUACUUUUUAUAUUUUUUUAAUAUAAAAAAUUUAAUAUUUAAUAUUUUGUUUUGGUGGAGUCAUUCUUUAUGGCUCCACCUCUUAGUUCUCUAGCAUAUAUAAAAUGGUGAAAUUGUUGUGUUCAGUAGGAGAGUUCAAAAAAUCUAUUGAAGAUGAAUAAUGAGGUGUUUUUGGUGUAUGUUCUUUUUUAUGAUGAAAUUGUAAAAGGUGAUGUUGGUUCUGUAUUUCAAGGUCAGCAAAGAGUAGGUUUGUGAUUCAAAAAAAAUGUGAAGUUAGCAGAAAUGAAAAGGAAAAUCAGUGCGAAAAUAGCUAUCCAUUGUGGAAGGGUGUUGUCCAAAUUAUUUUACAAGUUUCCAAUCUCUACAGAUCCAUUCAAAUUUUGUGAGAUGCAGCUGUUAGAUGAUGAUGACUUAGGCACUAUAAUGGAAAUAUGGUGGUCGACUAGGAGUGAGAACCCCCAACCAAUUGAAUUAUUUGCUGAGUUAACAGACUUAGAGCCUGUUGAGAAUGUUAGUCCAAUAAGUAAACAUCGCGAAUUUGACUUUAAUCUUAAUGUUGGAUGGACAGACCAAUUAGAAUGUGAAGGGACGUCGCAGAUACCCAAAAAUCCUAAUUAUGGUGGGAGUUCGUAUAACAACCCUACGCCCGGUCUCCGUCUACAAAUACAUUCGGAGGUGAUAAUAAGCACAGAGGCAAAUGUUAGAGAAAUGACCAAUAAUGGUGAAGAUUCUAAUCAAGACGUUGAAGAUUUUAGUGACCUCGAUGUUGAUGAGGUUCCUGACGAUAUCGAUGAUGAAGGCCCGAAAGAGGUUGAAUAUGUUCACGGCCCUUCAUUUAGUAACCCGAGUCGUGGCAUUAUUUUACAAAAUGAACCUGGGGGCGACAUGUUGAACAUAGAUCCAGAUAUAGCGCGUGCAUCUGAGUUCCUUGAGUACGUUGAUAUAGUACCUGCUCAUAGAUUGGCAUCAAAUUCAUAGUUCAAGGAGUUGUUCGCUAGGCAACAGUUCAAGAAUAAGGCGGACUGUGUGUUUGCCAUCAAAUAAUAUAACAUGAAGUUGUCGAUUGAUUGUAAGGUUGCCAAAUCUACACCGACAUUAUAUGUUAGGGAAUGUUAGAGAGCUGGUGAUGGGUGUGGUUGGCAAGUUCGAGCUGCAUUUAUACAGAGGACUCAACAGUGGCAAAUAAGAAAAUUAAAAAGGCGUCAUACAUGUACUAUCGCACAUAUGUCUCAAGAACACCAGAAAUUAGAUGCAAAAAUUAUUUGUAACUGCAUCAUGCCACUAGUGAAAGAUAGCCCAAUCAUUCAUGUGUCGACAUUGAUCACAGACAUGCAAGCUCAAUUUCAGUAUAAAGUGUUAUAAAGGAAAGCGUGGUGGACAAAACAAAUGGCCAUGCAACAAUUGUACGGCAACUGGGAUGAGUCAUACAAUGAACUUUAAGAUUGGAUUUCAGCGAUGGUGGAGUACAUCUCAGGAAUUGUCGUGGACUUGCAAACGUUGCCUUAUAGAGGCCCUAAUGGACAAUUGGAACUGGGGAGAAGAGCUUUUCGUUGACUGUUCUGGGCUUUUGAUCUAUGUGUUAGGGUCUUUUCCCACUGCAAACCGCUAGUGCAAGUUGAUAGAACAUGGCUUUAUGGAAAAUACACGCAGAUACUUCUUAUUGCGGUUGCACGAGACAGUAACAAAAAUGUACUACCAAUCGCUUUUGUCAUCGUGUCGGAAAACUCCGAAUCGUGGGCAUAUUUCAUCUAGAACUUGCGGAGACAUGUUGUCAAGCAAGACAACAUUUGCAUUAUCUCUGACAAAUCGAAGGGUCUUGUUGCUACAAUUCAACAAUCCGAGGUUCCGUGGAGGUUCAUCUAUUGUAUUCGUCACAUCACUGUCAACUUCCACAAUGAGUAUAAGAACAAAGACUGACGCAAACGAAUUGUGAACAUGGGUAAAAAUAUUGUAUUUAAAUUCAUAUUUGUAAAUAUUCUGAGUCCAUUUCCUAAUUCGGAUGGUAAUGAAUUUUAUCAAAAUACAUACGUAGGAUAUGAGCUGGAAGCACCCCAAUUCAGACAUAAGUUGGCGAGGUUAGAGACUGAUAUGGUGAGGUCCAAACCUUCUUUCAGACAGUGGUUGGGUAGCAUGGAGCUGUAGCAAUGGGCUCAAUAUUUUGACGAAAGGUAUCAAUAUGAUCAUAUGACAACUAACCUCGUUGAGGCUAUUAACUCCGUCUAAAGACGUAUGCGUCACUUCCUAAUUUCAGCGGUUUUUUUAGCCACAUUUUACAGGCUAGUAACCUUAAUGCCAAAAAUGGGGUUGAAACAAGCAAAACAGUUAGAGGCAGGACACGUGCACGUUGAAAAAAUCAGGGAUGCCAUGAAAGAGAAUGCUCAAAGGGCUAGGUCGAUGAAUGCAGAACUACAUUCCCAAUAUUUGGAAACUUUUCAAGUGACAGAGUAUAUCAGUCUCAGCCGAGGAUCCCGCCACGGUCCUGCGGAGUUGAUCUCCAAAACAGGCAGUGUGAGUGCGGGAUGUUUCAAACACUACGGUACUCGUGUGCGCAUGUGAUUGCAGCGUGUGCUACCUACAGUUUGAAUGUCGAACAAUAUAUUGACGAUGUGUACACAUUUGAACAUACGUUGCGUAUUUGGGGUAACGAGUUCCCCAUAUUAAGGGAUGUAUCGAUAUGAGAAGUGCAACUGCAUGCAUUCAAGAUGUUGCUAGAUCGGUCACUUCGUAGGAGAGUCAAAGGUAGACCGACAACAAUGAGGAUUUGGAAUGACAUAGAUAUAAGAGAACAAGUCAAUCCAAAGCGUUGCACCAUAUGUAGAACGGUUGGCCACAAUCGGAGCAAAUGUCCUCAUGGAAACGUCUACACUAGUCAAUCUUCACAGUCUGAAAGAAAUUAAAUGUUGUACCUGAUGUUUGCAUUUUAUGAUCUUUUAGAAAUAAAGUUUGUAUUAUUUAGUGUUAAGCUUUUAUUUGAAAUUAACAGUUGCAACUUUUAAUACUUUAAAAGAUAUUAUAAAUUAUACAAAAAAAAGACUAAUAUAUAAGUUGUGGAACCCUAAACCAAUAAAACAAAUAUUAUAUAACACUUGAAAUUUACAUAACUCAAAAUUGGAAAAAACCGGGAGUGGUAUCGUCGUUCUAGGUAUAGCAGUUUAAGGGCCUUCGUUGACAGGGUGGACGUUGAGGUGUACUGUACACAUUAGGAGGAUCGACAACUGAAUCGAACGUGGCCAGAGAUGGGGUGGAGUACAUGUUAUUACCAAACAUAUCAAAUGAUAUCGGUGGUUACUCUAGGUGAAAUUAACUCAAACUACCUAUGUCCGGAUAAUAUGAACUCAAACCACCCAUAUCUGGGUUAUAUGAACUCGAACCGCCAAUAUUCAAAUGAUAUGAACUGCUCUAUGACUCAUCACAAAAAGUAUCAACCUAUUGGUCCUAUAUGUUCAAAAUUCGGUCCUCCGAGUCGGGCUCCACCAUAUGUUGAUCCUCUAGCUCCCUCAUAGAUUGAUUUUCACGUCUGUAGCUAUGACCCGGUACUAUCAUAAGUUGUCCACCAUAUGAAUAAACGUACCAUCGAGUCAUGUACCACUACAUGUAUUCAGCCGAGGGACUGAAGUCAAACAUACAGGAGUGCAUCUUAAGCCGCCUGUCGUGCCGAGCAUUCCAUAGUGCUACAUAACAUUGAUGUUCCACGCUUUAAUCUGUUGUAUGUUUCCUCCUCAUAGUGUUACCAUGGAUAUCAGCAAAUUCUUGUGGCUCAACUGGUAAAAAUUGUCUAAACCCAAAUUUUUGCAUAACUCGAUCAUCGUUGUACCACUCAAUAGUUGAGAAGUUGAGCACCAACGUGUUAAUACACCACAUAUGGACUUCAGCGUGGACCCACUAAGGAAUAAGGGUUGCAAUGUUUAGUACAGAAUACGGCAUCCACAAGAACUGCACAAUAUAACAUAAUAAGUCAAGUCACAUCACAUACUGAAAGUGGAUAAGUUAAAUCAAUAUUACUUAAAACCAUAUAAAUAUAUAUUACUUUCUGUCCAGCGUAUGCCUCUAUCAUUUAGAGGUAAAUGAUUAAUGUUUGGCUCGCACCAAUUUUCGGAGACAUGGCCCAUCUGAAACCGAAACAAACACGUUAGCAGUUAAACUUUGGAAAAUAUUAUCCACACUUAUGAGUCAUUAAAUGUUAAGUAUAAUUUUGUUUUUACCUAUUUAUAAGUGGCCAUGAAUAUGGUUGGUGCCUAACAGCCGCUAGAAACGCCAUCCUGUAUAAAGCCCAAGACUGCAGUAGACCCAGACAACCAGCUAUGUUACUAACCCCAUGUUUUGUUGCUCGGUAAAGCUCAUAGUACAAUAAGGCCAACACUGCCGAUCCCCAGCUGUAACUAUCGGCACGAGAAAAAUCCUUCAAUAGAGGCAAGUACUUUAAGUGGACCCUAUUAGACGUAUUGUUCGGCAUAAGUACCCCCGAUCACCUGCAUAAUAUAGGCUCGAGCAGCACACAUCAUCUCGUACUCAGUGGCAUUGCUCAAUAACUCCUUAAAAUUUGCUCUCAACUAUGCCAAUGUCAAGCAUGUGAAAUUUUGCUCCCCAUCACUAGGGAACCGUCCAAGCAAUCUGUGGCAUAGUACUGAAGGUUCCAACACUUUGCUUCGACCCGUGACCACAUCACCUUCAACUCGUAACCCAAGUUGCAUAGCGACGUCUUUCAAUGUGAUUGUGCACUCCCCAUACGACAUAAUGAAGGUAUGGGUCUCCGUACACCACCGCUCAACCAAGACGAAUAUUAAGUUCACCCUCAGGUUAAACCUCCGGAUCAAUGCGACAUCCCCAAAUCAUGCCAACUAUAAGUAUGGCAUGACCCGCUCGUCCGGAUCAUACUUGGGAAAAUGAAACUGCAACUUCAAAACCAGAUACCCAUCCUGUAUGGUAAAUUUUUUAUAAAAAUAUGAUAAAUCAAUUAUCUAUAUAAUCUAAACAUAAAAUUAUAUAUUGAAGAGUAAAAUUGAAAGUUUGAGAAAACAAAAACAUCACAAUUAUACUAUCCCAACGUAGCCAUUCUAAGUAUUUUUUUUUAUUUAAGUUAAAUUAAAUAAGUAAUAAUAUAUUAAUAAUAGAAUGAAGAUUUGUCAUAAAAUAUUAAUAAUAACACUUAGAAAUCAAAUGUGAUUAUUAUAUCCUAAUCAUAGUUAAGCAUCAAAACUAAAUGCAACUAUAUAACUACAAAAAGUACAUAAAAAUAAUAAUAAUAAUAAAGUCCUAAAAAACUAUAGGUGGUAUGGGUAAAUAUAAAAAUAAAUUUUUUUUAUUGAAUUGAUAUCUAUAAUAAUAUAUAGAGUUUUAUAUAUAAUAUAAACUAGACAUAUUCAAACUCGAAAAUUUAUCUUACAUACGAGAACUUUUAUAAAAAAAAGUUCACUCGUUAAAGACAAAUAUAACUUUUUUGUACCCCACAAAUGAAACCAAACACAGUAAACAGUAAAAUCAAGCAGAAAGGUCGUCAUAUUAAAAAAUUAAUAUAUAAAUUUAUGAAUGUUUACUAAAAUUAAAAAAUUAUAACUAACAAGUAAAGAUUAAUUUCAUGCAAGAAAAUAGUUAAAAAGGAAUAAUAACAACUAAAUAGAGAUCAGUUUCAUGCAAUCAAAACACGUUGAGCAGAGUAGUGAUUAGCAAGAAAAGACGAGAAACUAAAACGAUUUUUUAUUUAAUUUAUAAUUAAUUUUACUGUUUCGUUGAUCCUAGAUGAAGUGUGAUCCAUAUUUGCUCCAUAAGACAUUUUAAUAUUUGCGGUGAUCCAUAUUUGCUCCAAAAGACAUUUUAAUAUUUGCAUAAUUUGAGAAAAACAUAAAUACAAUAUAAUUAAUUAUUAUAUUACAAUUACUAUAAAAUAUGUAAAUACAAAAUAAAAAUUUUAAAGAACUUACCUUUUUUUUCUUUUUUCUUCCUUCCUUCCAAGGGGGUACCAAACCCCACCUUAUAUAACAUUCAUUCUUUUGUUUUUUUAAUUAAUAUUUAGGUUUAUAACUAGUCACAUUGUUGAUAUCACUGAUGCGAUGUGGCCGAUUAUAAUUUUUUAAAAUUUUUAAUUUAAAUUUUUACUUUUUAAUAUAUAUUUUUUAAAUAAAUAUUUUUAAAAUAAAGUCAUAUUUUUUUAAUAAAUAAAUCCUUUUUUAACAAUUUUUUUAUUUUUUUCUAAUUAAUUCAAAUUUUACUUUUUUAAAUAAAAUAUUAUUUUUUAAAUUUUAAAUAGAAUUUAAAAAAGGUUUGAAUAUCUUUAAAAAUAAUUAAAAAUCAUAAUUUAAAAAAUUAUAUGUAAAAUUAAAAAAUAUUUAAAAUUUAAAAUAUACGUUUAAAAUAUUAUAAAACUAAUAAUAAAUUUGAAAGGUCAUAUCUUUAAAAUAUUUAAAUGUUUUAUAUUAUUAAAAAAUAUAUUUAAAAUUAAAAAAUAUUUUCAAAAAUAUAUAUUUAAAAUUUUAAAAUAUAUUAUAAAUCAUUUCAAAUAUACAUUUCAAGUUUUUUAAAAUCAAUAAUAAACAAAUAAAUAAAAUAAAUAAAUAAAGACAAUAAAGACAAUAAAAAACUUAAAAAAGUAAAUAAAUAAAUAAAUAAAUAAAUAAAUAAGAAAGAAAAAAAAAGUAAUAAAACAAAACAAAGAAUCUGACAAAAAAAAAAAACAAAAUUUACCUCAAAACUGUUUGAAACUUUGAAUAGGGAAAUAGCCAAUAGGGUGUCAGGAAAUUUUUUGAAAUCUGGUGGCGCCAAUAUAUUUGGCUCCACCAGAAAAAGGUAAAUUUGUUAAGGUUCCCCUUAUACUUUUAAAAAUCAUAGUAGUUUCUUAGUAUUUAUACAAGUGACGCCAUUCUACAUAGUUUCACUAAAAAAUUAAUUUUUUAAUAUAAAUUGCUGACGUGACAUAUUGGUGGCGCCAAACACUUUGGCUCCACCAACUUUUACUGUUGAUUUUGGAUUAUUUUCGUAUUUUAUAAAAAAAGGUUAUUUAAGUAAUUAAUUAAUUUUUUAAGGUUAUUUUUAUAAAAAAGCUCAUAUAUUGGGUACAAUUAUAUGUGUUAUUUGAACCUUUAACCAACUCAUAUAAUUUAUUCACUAUCAAUAAUAAAAUUUCUAUUCCCAAAAUAUUAUUUAUUUAUAAUAAAGUUAAUUAAUUUACUCAAUUAAAUUAUUUUCUCAACCCGAUUCUAAUUUUGUUAAAGUCAUAACAAUUUUAUCGUACUAGAAUCUAUGAGUAAAUAAAUUUAAUUGUCUUAUUCAAUCGAACGGCGAUGGCUAAUUAGUUUAAUUUCUACUUUGAAUUUCAAUUAUUUAUUUACAACCAAUUAAACUAUAAUUCGAAGAAAAUAAUUUAAUCUCUAAGUUAUCUCUUGUUCAUAACGAGAGAAUGCAUUUGUUGUGGAUAAUGAUACAUGCGAUCUGUUUUUCUAAUUUGUUGUUUUCAUUUAUUCAUUGUAUCGAUUUCAAAUGCAAACCAUAAAAGUUGUACCGAGCUAGCCGAGGGUCCUAUUAAAUAUAUAUAUAAUUAGGGCUAAAAUAAUUUAUAAUUAAGUUUCGAAUCGUCAUAUAUUAAUUACAAUAUUAUUUAGUCAAGGAGUCAAUCUACGUUCAAAAUCCUUGGUUUUUGGAUUUUCAAAUAUUUUCUCUUUUUUUUUUAUCUUUCCAUUUUUGCUACAUUUAGUUGAAGUAUUAUUUUUUUCAACAUGUUUUGGUGUAUGAGUUAGCAAUAAAGUAACUUUGCUCUGUAAUUUUUAGCCACUCUCGGGAAGGGAAUUCUUUUACUUAUUUUGAAGUGAUUUUUUUUUACAAGAGUUUUAUUCACCCUUCUAAUUUCAAGUAUAAACUUAUACUAAUUAUUCUUUUAUCUUUUAACUAACUAUUUUAAUACUUAUGUGAUAAUUAGGUGAUUUGUUAAGUUAAAUACACUAGAUAACCAAAUGAGGCAUUAAAGUGUAAAUGAGAAUAGGAAAUGGAAAAUGUUUUCUAUAACUAAGGAUUGUUCAAUAGGUAUAUCAUACUUGCAUAUCAAAUAGAAGUAUGAUAAUUGUUUUAGGGUUUGCUAAACUUUUGGUUGCUCGUGCUUUAGGAUAUGGUAUUUCGCAAGUCUAUCUUAAAUGAAUUUGUGGUGAAGAUAAAUCUAGAAACGCCAACAUACAAUAAAAUACUAUUCUUUCAGGAGGAGUGCUUCCCCUUUUCGUGUCUACUUUAGUUUUCAAUGGUGCGACUUAUAGAAGGGAAACUAGUAGAAAUAAGGAGGCUGAACAAUUAGCUGCACGUGUUAUCAUACAAUCACUUCUUGGUAUCUUUCUUGUCCUAUUUAAAAAUUUUCAAACAUAUAUAUGUGCGUGCACACGUGUAAACAUACCCUGAUUUUAAGCCACUUAUUAGCUUGAUAAGUUCUCAUCUCAUUGUUGGAUCAUUCAUAUAGCUGAUGAUAGGUAUGAGACUAUUGUUUCAGAGAUCAUAAAAUCCAAAGCUAAACUUUAUGAUGCCUUGAACUAGUUUUCACAAUACACCUGUUGGGACAAACAGACUGAAUCAUAGUAAAACAAACGUUGCCGUCACUAACCAUGUUCCAAAUACUACACACCUAAGCUGUGGAGCAAAACAUCCACGCCUUGAGUUCGAGACUCCAGAAUCAGGAGAAGGUACUGAUUGUAGGUCAUGAGUUCAUGACUGCAGGCACAAUUGGAAGAUCAAUGCAAUCAGUACCUUCUCCUAAUUUUAGAGUCAGUUUAAGAUAACAAUUUAAAAACAAGAAUGAGUUUAAAAUUUCAUGUCAAGCAGCUAUAGUAUUGAUUCCAUAAGAAUUAAAUCUGAAACCGAUUCAAAAUCUUAAACAUAAUUAGAGUUUUUUUUUUAUGGAAAUUUAUGAGCUAGUUAAUAACAUUGGACAUGACUAAAAUUACAAAUUAGAAAAAUUUAUACAUUUUAUUUAUUAUGAAUUAUUGACAUAUGAGACUAUUUAUGAUAGGAAAUAUUAAUUUGUUUUCCUAUAAAUAAUUCAAGUAAAAAAGAAAGAAAGAAGUCUUGCCCUUUCAAUUCUAUAUAGCAGAGCAGUGGCAUUUACUCCUUUAGCUAGCAGCAAUAUUUUAUAUGUUCCACAAAAAAUAUAUAUACUUUUUAUAUGAUGCUGUACCUAUAAUUAUAUGAAUAGCAUUGAGUGCAAAAUGCUUCAUUGUAUUCAAUAUAGGUGAAGAGUUUACAUAAAAUAGAAGGAUUUUUAUUAUUUUUACAUAAUAUAGCAGCAAUAUUAUUUUUGGGAAAAAAAUUGAAAAACUAAAAACCGAUUCAAAUUAAGGUGUAUGUACAAUUUAUGAAAUGCAAGUUUAGAAGUUAUGGUUAUCCGAAAUUGAAUAGAAUUUUAUUUUUUAUUUAAUAUAUAAUUAAUUCUAAUUGUUUAUGAUAUAAAAAUAAAUAUUUUAUAUUUACAAUAGUGAAAAUAAUUCAAAAGUUCUUAAAAAUUUAUUUUUUUAAAUAUUUAUGAAAAAAAAUAUUUGAAAUUGGGUCAAAUAAAAUUCAAAACUCAUAAAACAAAUUUUAUUUUAGCAAAAUUAAUCUAAAAAUUUAAAAAUUAACAUACAAAAACUGAAAACUAAACUGAACGACGUGUAGGGAACGGCAAGGGGCUAUACUAAAUGUUGGGUUGGCCUGUUGGGAUGUUAGAUUGCGUGCAGAAUAUAGUUAUUUUGUUGUUUCUUGUCAUUUUUGCGUUGCAGUGAAGACCCUCUCAGAGUCUCCCCUAACGUCCUUUCUCUUAUCUCUAGGGAUUUGGGUAUAUUUCUUAGGACCCGGCACUGCACAGUCUAAGAUUUACUCUGUCAAAAUUCAUGAUCCCAACAUAUAUAUAUAGGAAUUUUAGCUUCUUGUAUCAGUGCACCAUGCAUGCAUAUAUAUAGAACCAAGUUAAUUGCUUUAAUACAUAUAAAUAAUUUAGAUUUAAAUCUAUGUAAAGUUAUAAGUUAAUAUAAAUUCUCAAAAUAUUAUAAUUUAAUUUUCGCUUAUAUCAUAAAUAUCUAAAAAUCAAUUUUUUUAUGUCAAAGGAAUUCACUUAUUUUCUUUUUUUUUUCUUCUCCUGUAAAUGAUAAUUACAACUUGGAGCAGAGCAACAUAAUAGCAUCAAUAAUCUACCUGCUUCUGUUUAAUAAUUGCUUUACGUGUAGUCUCUCAGCUUCUGAACUACUAAUUCUGAAGAUAAGAUAAGCCAAUCCCUCUGUUUCCUUGUCGUUUUUACCCUUUUUUUAUUAUUUUUCAUUGUUAUUGAAAUGUCAAUAAAUCCCAUCAAUUCUUUCUUUCUUUCUUUCUUGUUUUGGGUCUAUGAAGUUGAUGCAGCUGGGGAUUGCGUGAUUGCCGCAGCCAUGUUUAAAGCUACACAGGGUUGCUCAACAGGCACCUGCACUCAAUAAUUCAUUAAAUUUUAAUUAUUAGUCUUAAUAAUAAUAUUAACAUACUUAAAUUCACCUCCAUAAUGCAUAUAUCUUCUAAUACCUUUUUUCAGCAAUACAUGACUAAUUUUUAUUUUAUUUUUGGAUAUAUAUACAUAUAUAAAUUGUCAGAUAAGACAUAUCGAUUGACUGACAGUGUCCAGUGCUUUGUCUUUCCUUCACCAUAAAUUUUUCAUUGACAAAUUUCAUUUUAUUAUAUACAUAUAUUGACAUUCUGCAACUAUUUUUUUUUCUUUUGAUCAAUUUUUUUUAUAUAUAUGAUGAGUCUAUGACCUUUUUUCUCCCUCUAAUAAUAGCAUGCAUUAUGAUCAUAUAUAUAUGAAGGUGACGGAUGGAGACAUGACAAUCAUAGUAUUUCUUGAGAUUGAAAAGAUGGGGUUUGAUAAAUAAUGAUUUAGAAGACUUACAAAGUGUCCAGCCCCAAGAAUCCAGAAAAAUUGCAGGUUUUUGUAUGAUUUGAUGAACCCUUUGGUGGCUUGAUCCUCUUUACAGUAAAGAGGAUUUCGAUCCUUGCUUAAAAACUCUUUCAAUCCUUCCCACCUAAAGACAUUAAUACAUAAAUAUAUAUAUAUGAACUAUAUAACUCCAAGAGUCCAUAUGUUUAUAUAAUCCUCAUUUCUUCCCAAUGUCAAAUAUUGCAUAUAUUCAAAUAUUAAAAAGGCUUAAGUUUUUUUUAAUGCAUGUGCUCCAACAUAUAAGUACUGAGUGUAGAUGUCUAAAUUACUUAAUCUUAAACAUUUAUAAAUGCAUAACCUUAGAAUUUGCUAAUAGAAGUAAUUAAAGAAAGAAACAGACAAAAUGCAUUAAAGGUAGGUGUGUUUUUGGAGGGCCAAUAAGGCAUAGAUAGAAAGGGAAAAUAAGAGUCAUACUUGAGCUUAUCAAGCCAAGCUUCAGUUCCCUUUGUUGCACAUAUCACAUCAAGCUGCAAUAACCCAUCCAUCCAACAAUACCAUCGUUAAUUAAUGGUAAAAAUUCAAACCACAAAAAGAAACCCUAAAAAACAGGUAAAAGCUGCCCUAAAUUCAGCUACUUCAUGGAAUUAUUUUGGGUAGCAUUUGACUCAAAUAGCAGUAAAAGUAGCAUAUACUUGUUUAUUAUAAGUUAGUUUUGACUUAAAGGAAAAAAGAUAUUUAGGGUGUAAAAAGUUGUUUAUGGUAGCUGAGAAAGUUUGGAACAGUAUUACCUGCCCACUGUAUAUAGUGACAUUUACUCCUUUUGAAAGGAGUUCAUCAACCUGAAGGGGAAAAAUCAACAAAAUAUAGAAAUUAGAGACACUUAACAUCCCUCUUGAAGUCAAACGAGAAACACAAGCAAAAGGUCAAGAUUAAUUUAGGUUAAGCAAUUUUAACUACUGGUUGUUAAAAAACUUUUUAACUUUUUACCUCAGCAAUUCUUGGCCUCAUAAAAUCACCUGACAAAUAUGAGAAAACAAAGUCUGACUGCCCUCCCCAUCUGUUAAAACACAUGAAUAUUGGUGCUUUUGGAUCAAAAUGUUAAAAGAGUACAUUUGCAGAAAUUAUAUUUCAAAAAACAGAGGAAUUAAAAUCCUUACGUGACAUUAUCAGGGAUAAUCUUAAGCUUCUUCUUGAUGACCCCAUUCAUCAAAGUAUCAAGAUCAGGUCCAUCAUUGCCUGGUGAAACCCUUAAGGAACUCAAAUAUCUUGAGUAUCUAUUGACUGAAAAAACUCCAUUGGAAAAUGCUGAAGUUGUUAAAGCUACAGGUCCCAUCCCUGAAUCCAGAAGGAAAUUGUAGAAAUCCUGCAAAUUUACUCAUAAUUAGGUGGAGAAAAGAAAAAGAAACAAUUUUUGUGGCCAAAUGUGAUAAAAAGAAAUGAAAAAUUAGAAUACCACUGAAUUGCUGUUGGCACCAAUUGUAGAUUCAAGUCGACUCCAUGUGUCAGUUGCAUCAGUAUAUUGACCAUCUUUGAGUUGCUGGCUAAUCUUCUCAGCUAGACUGGUUUUUCCAAAUGGGAUUUUAUCAGAUAACACAAAUACAUUUGCUUUUUGGCAAAAGAAAAGGGGAAAAAAUAAAAAAUCUGUAGACCUGUUUGAUUUUUCCAAGCCAUUGUUAUCUAGCCUUGAAACAUCAUUAAGAAGAGGCCCCCAAGAAAACUGUAAUCAUCCAUAUUUUAAAUAAUACCCAAAUGCAGGCAUUGAAUGCUGCAAAUUGCCCUGGGAAUUUAACAAUUUACAUGAAGAUACUUACUGCAAAAUCCUCUGGUGAGAUCCAGCUAUUCCCCAAGGCAACUCCUACAUUUGUUUUAAGACAAAUUAUUUGGUGGAUUAUUAAUGGCAACAAAGGGGUGUUUGGUGUUUACCUCCAAGUUUGAGCUUCAAUUUACCAGCAUCAAUGGCAUUUAGAAUUGAUAAUCCGGCAGUGACAGCAAAUUUUCCUCCAUAAGACUCUGCCACAAUGUACAAUGGACUCUUUUGGAGGCUUUCAUUUCUAUUAAAUAAUUGCAUCAACAAAGUAGUUAAAUCACUUGCUGCUUCAUUAUCAGUUUUCACCAACAUCUCUGUAUCUUCCACAUAGCUGUACCCUGUUCCAACUGGGUUGUCCUAUAUCGCAUUAAAAUCAUUAAAUUUGCGAUAAAAGAAAAACACACACAUCUUUUUUUCUUUUUUUUCUUUGUGAAUUAUGCAUGACUAACCACAAAUAAAAGAUCAGCUUUUUUCAACCAAGUGGUAUUCCUUGGCUUCAAAUCCGUAUUUAAUGGCCCAAUCUCCUCAAAAUUUCCAAUUCCAACUCCUGAGGCACCCUUUAGAAAAACACAAUUUCAGAUUUCAGAACAUGAAGGGAAAAAAAAGAAGUCAAAACUAUUCUCUGAAUAUUUUAUUCAUAUAGAUUACUUACAGGUCCACCUUGCAACCAAAGAAUGAUUGGCCAUGGCUUUGAAGGCUGUUCAACUCUGUAAGGACUUCUGUAAAGCCACCAAAACAUAUGUGCCUCUAUUUAUAAUAAAAAAAGGAAACAAAACAAUUCAGAUUGAAUUACAUUAAGCCAAAAUGAAUGAGGAUUAUGGAAAUUAUAAAGGUAAUUAUUUUGUUUCUUACUUGGUCUGACUUCAACAUAACCCCAUACUUCUUCUGAUUCACCUAGGGAUUUAACAGCUCUGGAGAUUCCUCCAUGGAACAAACAAGAAAAAGAGAAGAAAACCAAGAGAAGAAGAAAAUGGAAAUUUCCCAUUUUUUCUGUUAAAAUGGAAAGUUUGCAGAUAACCCACUUUACAGUUCUCAGCUUUGAAGCAAAGGAUGUGAGGUAAAUCAGGCUUUAUAUAACCAUCCAAUCUCACAAGGUGAUAGGAUAUGAACUUUUUGUAUCUGUCAUGCAAUAAAAACAAUAUUACUAUGUGAAAACUUCAAAGGCUGCUAUUUCUGUUUAUGGAAUUUAAAAAAAAAAAUUAUUGAUUUGAAAUCUAAAUUCAGUUCCAAUUACAGCCUGCAGUGCAGGGCCAAAAAAGUUUUCUUUAAAAAUAUUAAUUUAAAUUACAUUAUACCAUACUCUUUUAAUUUAAUAUUAGAAAAGAGUGAUUAAUGCAAUAAUGAUGAUUCUUUCAUAGUUUCACAUGAUGAGGAAAUAUUUUUGGAGGACCAAAACUAAUUUUAAUCUUUUUUAUCUUUUACUUAAAGAAGAAGCACAUUAACUUCAAAGGAAUUUAUUUAAGAAGUGAUGGGCCUAUAAAUGGAUGUGUGAUUGAGUGCAGGAAGGUAGCCAGCCAUGUUCUUGUUUGUUUGUUUGUCUUCUGCUGUAAUGAAAUAGACUCUUCGAUAAGUUAUAUUUCGUUUAAAAACUAUAUGGGAGUUCUGCUUUUUUUUUUUAUCUUUUAUUAUCUCAGCCAUUUUUGUAGGGAUUUGGGAUAAGACUCCAAACAAACAAUCAAAGUACUGACCCUUCUUUCUUCUUUCACACAGGUUUCAUUCAAGAAUCAAAGCUCCCAUAAAAACAUUGGAAACUUGAGAUUUUUAUUGGGUCAAAUUUUACAGAGGCUCCAAUACCGGACGAAAUCAGAAAAACUUUGAAAUUAAAUUAUAUAUUUUUAUAAGAGUUAAAAUGUAAUUUUAUAAUUUUAAUAGUUUAUAUAUUUAUAAUUUUUAAAAAAUUAAAUUAAUUAAAAUAUAAUUUUAUAUUUUACUGAAUUAAUUCUUAUAAAAUUUAAAAAGAAAUUUUAGGCGAAACCACAUCGGACGGGCUCCCCCUCCUCUCCCCACGCCACCCUACCACUAUACAAUGAGUUUUUGAUAGAUUCAAUCCUUCUACUAUUACAAUUUGAUUAUUUCUGAUCUGUGUGAAUUUUAGUUACGAUGCCGACUUGCUUACAUUAAUUUCGUCAACUAAUGUUUAAAAUAUAUGGUGAUGGAGCACAUGCGUUUUUUUUUUUUUUUUUUUUUUACAAUUUGAUAAAUAUUUUACAUCUUUCUUUCACAUUCAAAUAAUAUGUUUAGUCUUUUUCUUUAAAAAAAUAUGUUUAAUUAAAAAAAGUUUCAGUGUAUUAUAUAUUUAAAAAAAUAAACCAUAUCAAAUUAUUUAACCAAAUUAAUGGAUAAUAGAUAAAAAUACCAUAAAACCCGUUGUUUUAUAUCUUAGAUUGUAAUUUAGCUCCACCUUCUUUAUUGAGAAAAUAAAUAAAUUAGCCUAUGUGUAUUAGAUAAGUAAGCAAAGCAACUCGUCGCUAAAAUGUGGUAUUUAUAUUCAAUAUAUAAUAAAAAAUUUAGUCCUCAAUAAUUAUACAUUUAUUCAAUUUAAUCCCUAUUGUUUUAUUGGAGUAAAUUAGAAGUUUUUAAAACUAAUAAGGCUAAAGGAUCAAAAAGGCCUUAGUAACAUAUUUUUAAAAAAAAAAAAUCAAUUAAGCCCUUUUAAAGUUUGAAAAAUUAUUAAAAAAUAAUAAAAAUUAUAAACAAAUUUUAUAAAAAAAAAUUAUAAAAAUUUUUAAUUAUAAUUUUUAGUUAAAAAUAACAAUACCAACUCAGUAAAAGAGGAAGGGCCAAAUUGAAUAAAUUUGUAAAAAUUGAGGGCUAAAUUUUUAUUAUACCUUAAAUAUAAACUCCAAAUUUUAACAUAAGAGCUAUUUUGUUCACUCAUCUAACAUACAAGGGCUAAUUUUCUCUUCUUCUUUUUUUUUUUUUGGUAGAGAAGCUAAAAUGCAAUUCAGAAUAUAAUACAAGAGAUUUUAUGGAACUUUUACCAUAGGACUUAAAAUGUAUAUUUCGAAGAGUAGAAAGACGAGAAGUAAUCAAAUUGUAGUAGAAUGACUAAAUACUUAAAAGAAAAAAGAAUAUGUUACAGUGACCUUUUUGAAGAAUUUGACCAUUUUAUUACAAAUUUUUAAUUUAUUGAUGAUAUUUAGAGAAAAAAGGUAGCGUUGCAGUUUGGGAUCCACAUUUGGGUCCCUUCACAGUUCACAUUGCUAAACUUAGCUGUAAACAAUGGAACUUGAGGUGGAUAUUUUGACAAGCUGUUCUCAGAUUUUAUAAUAUCAUACCUAUCAAUCAUCGAGAUAAUAAAACCAAGUAUUAAUUGCUUAAUGUGUGAUCAAUUAUAAUUUAAGUUUUAAAACUUUUAGGAAAUUAAUAUAAGAAAAACCUUAACCAAUAUGUUAUAUGCAUAUAUUUAUGAGCUUUUCAUCGAGAAUUUUGUUUUCUCUUUUACCAUUAUUGGAGGAAAAAGAGGAGAACAAAUGGAGGAGAUGGGCUGGCAUGCUGGACAACAAGAAGUAAAGCUUAAAAGUCGCCCAUGUACUGUAUUGUGGGGAUAUGGACAUUGAAGAUGAUAAGAGUAAUCAUAAAUUCCGAAAACAUCAAUCUUUCAAAUUGAAAUAGAUUUUAACAUGGUAAGAAAUCAACUUGAUUAGGCUCAAUUACAGUAAAAGUAUAAUGGAAGUUCUUAUACCAGAAGUUAGAUUGUAUUUCGUUUUCUCUAUUAAAAAAUGGAUAAAUUAAUUCAUAUACAUUAGAUUAAAAAGUAAAUUGGUCAUUUAUGUUAAAAAUUCUAUUCACUUGUACUGUUAAAAACUGAUGUGGUUAACAAAAUAAUUAAAUAAUGACAUAUGUUGUGCCAUGUGUAUCUCAUAUUGAUGUACAAUGAUAAAUUUUUAACAGCAAAAAAAUAGAUAAUUUUUUUAACAAAAAUGAUCAAUUUACUUUUUGAUCUAAUCUUAUAAAAGUUGAUUUACCUUUUUUUUUAAUAAAUGAAUAAAAUGCAAUUUAACUUCAAACUCCAUAAUAUUUUUACCCUUUAAUUACACUCUUAUUAAUUUUUUCGCAACUAAUAAUAAUAAUAUUUAUCCCACAAAUAAAAAUCUAAAACUUCACAUAAUAAAAUUCGAGUUUGAAUCUGGAAUCAAAAGGAAAAUGAAAUUUUAUAUAUUAUACUUAGUUUCAAAGCCUUGAAUUUAUCAUCAAAGAUUGAAAAGAAAAAAAAACAAUGCUUAAAUUUCCACGAUUAAAGACCCAAGAUUGUCCUUUGCUAAGAAUUUUUCUUUGGAAUUUAUUGCCACUUUUUGCAAUCAGUCAAAACUACAAACACAUCUUUGCUUUAUUUUCUUCUCCGCUUUUGAUUAAAUUUAAAUUUGAGUAAAAUUCGAUUUUAAAAUCAAAGAAAACUCUUUUAACUCUGUUUUCUUCUUUCAUUAUAUUUGAAUUUAAAAUUUUAUUUUAAAAAAAAUUUUAAAAAUAUAAAAAAAAACAAAAGGAGAAGCCAAAAAUCCUUUUUAUUCUUAAUAAAUAAUGCAAAAAACUUAUGUUUCUAAAGAUUUGUAAUGGCUGUAAUGUUAAUAUAAUUUUAUUAGCUAUUUUUUUCCCAAAAACUUAAGUCUUGCACUCUUCUUUUCAUAAUUUUAUUUUUCAUGCAAAAUUAAUAAUUUAAUAACUUAUCCAACUUAUCAAAUUAUUUUUUAAUGAAAAUACUAAUUAAAAUAUUAAUUUUUAACAAUAUUGUUGUGGCAACCAUACCUAUCGCAUGCCAAUGUGGCAUUAAUUGUCUUACAUAUCACAUCAACAAAUAAUUUUAAAAAUAUAAAAUAUUAAAAAACUACAAUUCAAAAUUUACAAAAUUAUAAAUUAUUAAGGAAAAUUAGUACGAAUUAUACGUAAAUUACCAUGUGGGCUACCAUGUUUAGAAAUCACCAUAAUAUCAAAUUUAGCACUUAAUGUUUACAUUUUUUUGUUAAUUUGGUUGAUAUUCUUUUUUUUUUUAUAAUUAAAUUUGAUUCUCACCUUUUUACAAAAGUCAAAGUGAGAGUCAAACUUAAUCAUAAACUUUUCCAAAAGAGUCAAAUUGUUAUUUUUUAAUGGAAAUAUUGAUUGAAACAUUAAGUUUUAAACAUGAUAGUUCACAUGACAAUUUACGUAUAUUUACACCAUUUUUACAAACUUUUUAUUUAUUUUUUUAUUUAUUGAAUAUUUGUAUAAUAUUAAAUUAUUUAAUGACAUGUCAUAUACAUAUAGUGUCUUGUCAAUAUGAAAUAUACAAAAACCGCCACACAUAUUAUCAUGUCAACAUUGUUAAAAAAAUAAUAUUUUAGUCAACAUUUUUGUUUUCUUUUUUUUUAAAGCGAUUUAACUAUUUUUUAAAAAGUUAAUGACCAAAUUUAGCUCAAAAAAUAUAUGGACUAAAUUGACAAAAUAUGUAAACUUUGAGGGCUAAUUUUGGCUUUAUGCCUUAGAAGUUUACCAAUAUUUCUGUUAAAAAGGGAAAAACAACAAUUUAACUAUUUCUAAAAGGCUGAUGGUCAAAGUUGACUCUUUUUAAAAUAUUAAAAACCAAAUUUAACUAUAAAAAAUCAAAUUAAUAAAGAUGUAAACAUUAAUGACCAAAUUAAUCAUUAUAUCUUUAAAUUAUAUUAAAAUGUUAAAAGAAAAAGUAAUUGAAUUUUUUCUAUUAAUUUAAAAUUUUAAAACCAUGAUCCCUUCGAGAUUCCCCCCCCCCCCCUACAAUUUAGUAUUUACAUUUAAGAUGUAUUUAGCAUGAGAGGUAAUAAUUAUCUGACACGAUUUGUUUCUUUUAAAAUUUAUAUGUCACAUUCACCUAAAACAGAAUGAAUAUUGUCUUUCCUUUUUUAACAAAAAAAUAAUUAAAAUUGCUUAUCUUUUUUGAAAGUACUGAAAAUAAAAUCCACAUUUUAGUCCUCACAAAGGUCUGAUUCGUAAGCGAUAAGAUUUCCAUUUUUAUACCAAAAUUUGGCUUCAUAAGAUUAAUCAUGGGGUAUGAGUAUUAUCUUCAAACACAUAAUUAAUAUUACCAUUAAAAUUAAGAUAAUUAUUUAGUAAAGGUUAAACUACUAAAAUAGUCACUUUUGUUUACCUCACGUUAUAUUUUAGUCACUUAUAUUUGAAAUAUUACGUUUUAGUUACUUACAUAAUCGUGUUGUAAUAUUUUUGUCACUGAGCCGUUAACGGUGUAACGGUAAACUGACGUGGCACGUUAAAUCAUCAUUUUAAACAAAAAUUUUAGAUUAAUUUAUACAAUCGGUCCACAUUUUUUCGUUUUGAUCAAUUUAAUUUUUUUCUUUUAUGUUCUUUUAACUUUUUUUCCUUUUUUGCAUUCUCUUCUGCUUCUCCCUCUAUUUUCCUCCCUUCUCUGUAGCACCCCAAACCCGGCCCAAACGUUAUGGCUGGAUCCGACAUGCCAUAUCGAAGCGUUAAAAACAUUUUAUAUUGUUGAUCCAGAAAAACCUACUUAGUGUUUUAAAAGAUAAUUUCAUUAUAGGUUAAAGUGAAUGGAAGCUGUGCACCAGGUAGGAAACCGGAAAAGAGGUGGUGAGUCCAUCGGACUGCUUAAGUACCAAGCUCCCUUCAGAUCCAAUCCUAGACAUGCAUACCGCCAUUGCCACACCUUAACGUCAUGGAUAUUUCUAGGAAACCGAUUUGAUUAAGUCAUUUUUAGGAAAAGUGAUUAAUUUUGGAAAAUACUUUCAUUGCGGAAGCUUUGCUUGUUGUCGUGUUAUUUUGAAAUCAACUGUUGUUUUUGAAAACGCGCCCUAAAGCUAUCCAAUUUCAACAGUUAAAAUAAGUAAUACCUAUCUUAGUAAUACAUAUUAAAACCAUUAAAAAUAAUUAAGCGGCCUUAUUACAUUUAAAAACCCAAAACUUCAAACGUAAAUAAAAGGAUGUCCAGUUCACCAGAAGAAAAUCAAACUUUCAGAACGGGUGGCCACUCCGAAUUCCCUCACAGCUCCAAGCCCACUAUGGUUGGGGAUUUCCUGCGUGGAUGAAAAUAAAAGGGGUGAGUUUGGGGAAACUCAGUGUGUAAGGAAAACCCAUUCAAAGCCCAAGUCAGCUCAAGCCUAUUGGGCUUAAGCCCAUUCAGGUAACAGUGGUACUGGGCUAGAGCCCUUUUCAGAUUACAAUAAACUGGGCCUUAGCCCCUUAUUCAGAUAACAGUAUGGUCCAUAGGCCCAUUUCAAAAUACAUGCAACAUCAGUAAACAUAUGCAAGCCCAUUUGGGGAGACUACUCAACCCACCAACCACUACACUCCACCCGUACCAGCCAUACACUCCAUGUGGGGAAUAGCUCAACCCACCCAGCCCAACACUCCACAGUUGUAGCCUUGCUGCUCAGUUAACAGUAAAUUGAGGCAAAGCCUCCAGUACGUGGACAAGCCACUUUCAGUACUUCCUCCGUCAAUAUCCCAGUCCCAUGCAUCAGAUAAUAACAACAUGGCAUGCAGUAAAUAACAACAGUCAAACAUGCAUUUAGGUCAAUUUAACCCUAGGGGUAUUUCGGUAAUUUAUCUCCUAGGGGUAAAACUGUAAAUUUUCUACUUUUAAAGAUAUUUCAGUAAUUUAAUCUAUUUUAGGGUUUUUCAUGCAUAUUCCUACCUUUCACGUACUAACAGAAUCACUACCGAGGGUUCUUACCGAAUUGGGCCCGUUGGCUCAUCAUUCCAAUUUUGGCCCAUUAAGCCCAAAAAUAUCGAGGGCACAGAAAUCAUGCACUUUGCAAUCCAAAUUUUGCAGUUUACCAAAAACAUUAAUCGAUUUACCUCACGAGCAUUCGCACACUCGCAAAUCUACAAAAUACCGGUUUUCGGCAUUUCGGCUUUUCGACUUUUGUCGAUCCAGACUAAGAAAGAGGGUGUUAGUUACACACCUGUUUGCAACGAUAUGCUGACGAGAUCCACACACGAACCGCCUACAAUUGGAUUACUAACACGUUAAUCUAACUAUUCAAAUACAAACUACGUAUUAACCCCUUACAAUAUUCGGCCAACCACACCUACAUAUCAUAGUAAGUUUAUAAGAAAUCAAUAAGCAACUCAUUAACAAAUUUUUGUCAAUGUUUACCACAUAAUCAUAAUUUCACUGCAAGCUGUCUUCCUGAGAAACAGUCACUAAAUUAUUUAUAACUGGAGCUAAGAAACUCCAAAUCAAGUUCCGUUAAUUUUCCCUAAAAAUAGACUCAUAUAUCUUCUAUCCAUAAAAUUUUCAGAAUUUUUGGUUUAGCCAAUCAAUACCAGAUUUUUCUCAAAGUUUCCCAUGUUUCACUGUUUGACUAAUCUGACCACUCUUCAUUACGAAUCAAAUUUCUCCUUGUACAGAAUUCAAAAUAUGUUCUUGUUUAUUUCAUUAGAAACUAGACUCAAUAAGCUUUAAUUACAUAAUUUAUUCAGCUUCUAAUUCAUCUCCCACAAUUUAUGGUGAUUUUCCAAAGUCAUGUUACUGCUGCUGUCCCAAGCAAAUUUAUUACCAAAUCACUUUUUCACACAUACCUUGCAUGCAUGUUAUUUAAACAUGUAUAUCACCAAUCAAUCAUCACAUAUCUAUGAUUUUACUUAAGAAUAAUCUCCAUUUCAUCAUUUUAAAGCACAACAUGUUAGCUGAUUUUUCCCUUUAACAUCUAAGGCACAUGCAUGCUCAUUUGUUUGGCUCAACUUCACCUAUCUUCCAUUUUUUUCAUCAAAAGAACAUGAAACAACAACCAUUUCCUUCAUUUUAAUUCAUGACUAAAUGCUCACAACACAACUAAAAACCAAAAUAUGCUUCAAGAGUUAAGGUAGAAUCAAGAAGAACUCAUGAAAGAUAGAAGCCAACUACCAUGAACUUACCUUCAAUUUUCUUCCCCAAGUGACCGAACACUCAAGGGCUUUCUCCUCUCCUUUCUCUUCUUUAACUUUCAGCUAUGAUGAACAAAGAUGGACAAAACUUUGUUCUUUUCACCCCUUUUUCUUUUAAUAAAACUUCAUAUUUCAUCCAUUUAAUUCUUUAAUACAAAAGACAUGAAAUUCUUAUCAUGAAACAUUUACCUAACCCAUUAUCAUGAAACAUUUACCUAACCCAUUAUCAUGGAACAUUUACCUAACCCAUUAUCAAUUUGUAUCAAUUUGUACCAUAAAUUAUGGAUAUCAAGUGUACAUUUUGUCUACAACAACAUGAUGGCUGGCCACUUCAUGUAAAAUAGGAGGUUUGUCAUGCAAAUCCUCCUAUUUUGCACUCCUAUUUAUUUGGUCACUUCAAUUUAGCCUAUAGCAUUUUCAAACAUUUUCACAUAGGUCCUAUUUCAUAAUUUCACUCACAAAUGACAAAAUUAAAGCAUGAAAUUUUGCCAACAUUCACAGAAUUCUCGAAAAUUGGGGCGUUACAUUCUCCAUUUCUUUUAACGUAGUUUUUUUAUGUUUUUCAUUUGUUAAAACUAAUAAUUAUACUUUUAUUUCUUUGAACAAUUUAAUUUUUUUCAAGUGAGGCGAGCUUGUAGACUAAUUUUAACAAAUGAAAAACAUAGAAAAACUACAUUAAAAGAAAUGAAGAAGAGAGGAAAACAGAGGGAGGAGUAGAAGAGAAUGAAAAAGAAAGAAAAAAAAAAGAAAGUUAAAAUAACAUAAAAAAGAAUUAAAUUGCUCAAGAUGAAAAAAAAAUAUAUGGACCAAUUGAAUAAUUUAACCUAAUUUUUUUUUUUGAAAUGAUGAUUUAACGUGUCACGUUAGCUUUCUGUUACACCAUUAAUAGCAAUUAACGAUUCAGUGACUAAAAUGUUACAACACAAUAACAAAGUGACUAAAACGUAAUAUUUCAAACAUAAAUAACUAAAAUGUAAUCUGAGGCAAAUAAAAGUGACUAUUUUAAUAGUUUACCUUUUAGUAAAUUAUUAUAAAUUUUUUUAACUUUCACAAGUAGAAUUAAGAAGUUAUUAUUUGUUGUUAGUUAAUAUUAUAAAAUAAUAAUAAAUAAAUGAAUAUAUAACUACUUUUUAAUCUCAUUUGUCAAAUUAAAAAUCUCCACCGUCAUUGCAUCAUAUAAUAAUUCUUAAAAUUAAUACUAGAAAUAUUAUCAAAGGCGUAUACAUGUGGAAAUCACAAAUUUGAAACACAAUAUGUGUUUAAAUAACACAUGAAAUCUAUAUGAUAUUAAAAUAAAAAAAAAUAGAUUAACUUGUAAGUAAAACAAAUUUAAAUACAGAAAUACAUCAAAUUAAUAUUACUAAAUGAAUACAGUUAUUGAUCAUGGUGUUGUCAUCAAUCCUUAGUUGGUGUUGAGUUAAUUUAUGAUACCAUCUCAAUCAACAACAUUAUUAUUAUUAUAUACAAUUGAUGGAGAUAAUAAAAUGUACAUAAUAAAAUUAAAAUGUAUAGAUAUAUUAAUAUGAAACUUUAGUUGAGCAGUAGAUUUAAUGUUUUACUAAUUUAAUUGGCAUGAGUUCAAAUCUUAUUAUUAUUGAAUAAAAAUAUUAAAGUACUCUCAAAUAAUAUAAUAUAUUUUAAAUGUGAAGUGAUAUUAAAGUAAUUUCCUUUAUUAAGUUGGUAGAAGCGAAUUUAGGGAGACUGACAAGACCUCGGUCCAUUUUAGCCCUUUAAAAUUUUAAACUAGUAACAGUAAAAUUGCUCUUUAGCUCCCUAAAAAUGAUAAAAUUUUGAUUUAAUUCUUUAAAAAUUACAUUUUUAUUAUCAUAAAAAUUACAAUUUAAUUUCGGCCCCCUAAAAAUUUUUUUUUGACUUCGCCCCUGUAAGUUGAGAUGCGGUUGAUGAAUGACACCAACUCGGUAAAAAAUUUUAUAACUAGUAUAGAUACUAAAAAAAAAUCCCUACACAUUGUUUAAAUAAAUCUUUGUACUUUUCUUUUAAUAAUUAGAUAAGUCUUUAUUUUCUAAUUUUAAUUUAUAAAAAAUUUUAAUUUAUCUAUAUCUAUAACUUAUUUAAAAUUCAUAAUAAUAUAAAAAAACGAGUUUGGAAACUUUUAAACAGAUCAAUAUAGCCUUUAUUGUUUAUAUAUUACUGAAUUUGUUAUUUAAAAUAUUUUUAUUAUUUAUAAGAUUUAUCAUACUUAUAAAUAAAAAUUUUAAUUUUUACUAAAUUAUUUGGUUAAAUAAAUCUGCUUGAUAAAAAAAAUUACUAUACUUAUAAAUAAGAAAUCUAAUUCUAUUAAAAAAAUUAUAAAAUGAAUUUAUAGGUUACUAAAUAAAAUUUAAAUUUUAUAUUAAAUUACUUUAUAUGCAUUAAAUAUAUUUAAAUUAUUAUGUUUCAAUUAACAAAAAAAGAAAAUAUCAAGAAUUAUACUAAUUUUAUUUUAAAUAGAAAAUUUUUAUUAUUUAUAAAAUAAGUAAUUAUAUAUAUAAUUUUAUAAAUUUUACAUUUAUAUAAUGUAAUCUAAUAUAUUAUAAUUAUAUUAGUUAUUUAUUAAAUACUAAUUGUUAUGGUCAAUUUAUUGGAUAUUAAGAAAAGAGAAAUUUUGAAUUGUGAAGAGCUUAAUUUACAAUAUAUUAAUUUUUUUUAUACUUUGUACAAAUGGUUUAAUAAUGAUUAGGAAAUUCUUAUUAGAACUAUAUUUGAAUGAUGAAAAUAAUUGAUAUACGUUAAUUAUAUUAAUUAAUUAUUAUUUUAAAUAAUAUUAAUUUGUGUUAAUUAUAUGAGGUAAAACUAUAAUCUACAUAGAAUAUGAUAAAAAUGUUUUACUUAAGAUUUGAUUUUUUAUAUAAUAUUUGAAAUGUUAAAUGAAUUAAUAUCUUUUAAUUAUGUUUAAUAAUUCGAAUGACUAAUAUCACUUUUGAUAAACAUAUUAAUUUGUAUAUUUUUUGUGUUUAAUUUGGUUUAUUGUUGAAUUGAACCUUGCUAAUUAAGUGCUUUUAUGAUCUAAUCUUGUCAGGGAUGCAAUUGGUCGAAAAUAAGCUAAAAAGGGCCAAAUUGAAAGACAAUCAUUAAAUUGGGGCGAAAUAAAAAAGAUGGAGAAAGCCAAGGAGUUAUCAAAUUUUGUUAACUUUGUAAAAACCCAAAAAUAGGAAGAUAUUAUUUUUAUUUUUAUUUUAUUAAAUUAGUUAAGUUAUUUUUAGUAAAUUGCAUGUAUAUAAAUAGGGGUAUUUUGUUCUUUGAAAAUCAUCCAUUCAUUUUGUAUUCCUACUUCACUUUGGAGUUGUAUUUUCCUCUUUGCCUUUUCCUACUUCAAUUGGGAAUUGAAUUACUUUUGUCUUGCUUUUACAAAGUUGGUCUAAUUCUCUUUUCAAAUACUUUUCCUUUUCAAUUUCUAUUACCUUUCAUACAAAUCCCAUCAUCUUCCACAACCUUCAAGCAUGAAUAAUUUCAUGCUACACUAAAUUUCAUCUACCUUUAUAGGCCGGUGUUCUUUCCGGUCAAGAAUAGUAAGAUACGAAUUCAUGCUAAAAUUUGUCCAAUCGAUAUUCAUUCUUGUUGCAGGUACGUUUGGCGUCAUGGGCACGACUCUUGACACGACAUUUGACGCGACGUAUAUUUUGUUCAUAAGUGAACACAGAAGUUGAUUACGACGUCCAAUCCCUGUGGAUUCGACCCUACUACCACUCUUACUACUGUUUAGAGUUAUUUAGUAGGAAUUAUUUUUGGUAGAUUAGACAAAAUUUGAUGAGCGUCGAAUCCACCAAAAAUAAUUCUUACUAAAUAACUCUAAAUAGUAGUAAGAGUGGUAGUAGGGUCGAAUCCACAGGGAUUGGACGUUGUAAUCAACUUCUGUGUUCACUUAUGAACAGAAUAUUCGUUGUGUCAAAUGUUGUGUCAAGAGUCGUGCUCACAAUGCCAAACGUACCUGCAACAAGAAUAAACAAUUAAAUCAGGGGAGUUUAUGAGUGUUUAAGAAAGUAAAACAAUCUAAUCAACUUAAAUAAACGAUUAACUACUAUUGAAAAUAAAUGUAAACUGGAAAUAAAUUUAGGCUUUUGUAAACAGAAUUGAUAAGCCUUAACCUUAGACUAGGUAAAUUCCGUGUUAAGAAUCGGUCCUUGAAAAUGAUCUUCUCCUCCAAACGAUAAGCUGUUUAUAGCAGUUAAGAAUGUCCUAACCACCAAUUCUUCCUCUUGUAGUUGGUUUCGGUACGACCUACAAACCAACCCUUAUCGAUUAUCUAAUCGAGAUACAAGUGUUCCCGAUUGAAGAUUCCGGUAGCCUUGCGUUCUGAAAAACCCAACUCGAAUUAACUGCCUCAACCGUGUGGGUCAUUUAAAUUCGAUCACUUAUUCCUAGAUUUGUUCUUGGAGAUUCGAAUACAACACGACUGACUCGUUCCUCCAAAUGUCAGCUAACACGACUCCAACCCAACAUGCAGUUUUUGACUUGUAAUUGAGUUAACCUUAAGGGAUGAGUUGUCAACCCCAAUACUUAGGAAAAGAAUGAAUACCGAUUGGACAAAUUUUAGCACGAAUUCGUAUCUUACAAUUCCCAACCGAAAAGAACACCGGCCUAAAGCUAAGAUGAAAUUUAGUGUAGCAUGAAAUUAUUCAUGCUUGAAGGUUGUGGAAGAUGAUGAGAUUUGUAUGAAAGUAAUAAAAAUUGAGAAGGAAAAGUAUUUGAAAAGAGAAUUAGACCAACUUUGUAAAAGCAAGACAAAAGUAAUUCAAUUCCCAAUUGAAGUAGGAAAAGGCAAAGAGGAAAAUACAACUCCAAAGUGAAGUAGGAAUACAAAAUGAAUGAAUGAUUUUCAAAGAACAAAAUAAUCUUAUUUAUAUACAUGGAGUUUACUAAAAAUAGUCUAACUAAUUUAAUAAAAUAAAAUAAAAUAAUAUCUUCCUAUUUUUGGCUUUUUACAAAGUCAACAAAAUUUGAUAACUCCUUGGCUUUUUCUAUCUUUUUGAUUUGGCCCCAAUUUAACGAUUGUCUUUCAAUUUGGCCCUUUUUAGCUUUUUUCAACCGAUUGUAUCCUUGAAAUGAUUAGAUCAUAAAAGCACAUAAUUAGCUGGGUUCAAUUCAACAAUAAACCAAAUUAAACACAAAAAAUAUGCAAAUUAAUAUAUUUAUCAAAUCCCCCUACUUAGCUCAUGAUUGCCCUCAAGUAUGUUGUUCUUUCAAACAUUAGAAUUCAUUCUAUAAUUUAUUAAAAAUCGAGCCUCUUUUCCACAUCCAAAAUCAAUGCAAACGACAUAGGCAAAAAUAAAUGAAUGUUCAGAAUAUAUAGUUUGAUCAACAAGUGUCAUAAAACUAAAAUAUGUGGACUAAACAAUUUCAUCAAAUUGAGUUUGAAUCUAAUAAUUUGCAAGGCAUUGUUAAUUAACUACGCAUAAGUAUAAAAAAUUUAGACAUGGUCAAACCUUUUUACGCGAACCAGGAUGACAACCCAAGCACCCUAUCCCAGUUACUCAGUUCAAACAGUCUUUAUUUAUUUAUUAUUUUUUUGAGGCUCGGUUAGUGGAAUAUUUGUAAGUUAUCGACUUGUCACUCGAACCUUUUGACGCUAGAUAAGAUGACAACCUAAGCACCUUACCCCAGUUACUAAAUUCGGUCACGUUUUCGAAACUUCACUCAUAACUCGAGCCUAAUUUUUUUAUUUUAUUAAUUUAUUUAUGCACAAGCAAAUAUUUUUCAAAAAAUCAAUUAAUAUGAAAAAUCUAGCUACAUAUAUCAACCUUAAAACAUAAAUGUCGACUAAUCCAUACACUUAAACAUUUAAAAUUAAAAAUUUGUCGAAUUGUCCAAAUUGACUAAGUAUGAGAUUAAAGGCUCAAUUUCAAAUAAACUAUCAAAUGAAUUCAACAUAAGUUUGAACACACGCAAAAGAAAAACAUGCAGCAAAAAUCGUGCAAAAAAGUAUGCAUAUUUGCCAUCAAUUUCAACCCUCCACUUAAACUGUGCUUGUCCUCAAGUAAGUGUUAAAUGAAACAAAAAAACAACAACUCAAAUAAUAAGUAAAAGAAAAGUUCAGAAUACUUCCCAUGUGUCUUUUAACGAUUUUGUUGAUGUUGGGGGUAACGACUUUGUAGGAUGUUAAGGAUUGUUGAGACUUGGUUUUCU
RNAcentral lists this long non-coding RNA (96211 nucleotides) under Gossypium barbadense (sea-island cotton). RNAcentral's name for it is "long non-coding RNA (GBAR_LNC008326)". The stretch from base 49791 to 49935 matches the Rfam family "MIR7502 microRNA precursor family". Lineage: Eukaryota; Viridiplantae; Streptophyta; Magnoliopsida; Malvales; Malvaceae. The record is from RNAcentral.